AGCUGCUCAACAUUUUCAUCAUUAAGCACUCGAGGAUCGAGAAUGUCGAGCAAACGGUCUUCUUUCAUCAAAGAACUGAAGUACAAUGGCAAAACUCGAUUUUCUUCCGGUCUUUUGAAACAUACCACUUUUUGUCCCGUUAACAACUCCAUAAGCACAACCCCGUAGCUGUAAACAUCACUUUUUUCAGUAAGAAGGCUUGAAAGCAUGUAUUCAGGAUCCAAGUAACCGAAAGUUCCUUGCACAAUUGUAGUUAUUUGUGCUUCGUCGGAUGGGAUCAAUCUGGAAGCCCCAAAAUCAGAAACUUUUGGGGUGUAAUUGUCAUCUAACAGUAUGUUUGCCAACUUGAUGUCUCGGUGAAUGAUUGGAAUGGAAGCUGCAGAGUGCAAAUAAGAAAGGGCUUCUGCUGUUUCAGUGGCUAUUCUCAAACGGGUCUCCCAUGAAAGAUAAGAUGUAGCAUCAUCAUUAUGCAAAUGGUGAAAAAGGGUUCUGUUGGUGAUAUAUUCAUAAACUAACAGCGGAACUUGUGUCUCCAAACAACAUCCUAGGAGUUUGACAACAUUCCUAUGGUUGAUUUUGUAGAGCACCAUUAUUUCAUUAAUGAAUUGUUCAACUUGGCUAGGAUCUCCAAUUAUUGACUUUUUGAUGGCAACAAUUUGAUUAUCAGCCAAUAUUCCCUUGUACACUGUCCCUUGCCCUCCCUGUCCUAAAAUUCUGCUUUCAUUGUAAUUGUUUGUUGCCUUCUCGAGUUCCUCAGCUGUAAAUACUUUAACAUCUUCACGGUACCCUUGUCGUUUUGAAAGUUGUUCCCGUAACAAAAUGCCACCAUUUUGCUGAAAGUUAGCUUCUCUUAAUUUGGAAAUUUGCCUUUGCCUCAGCAUCCAACAGCACAAUACUAUCCCCAAGAGAAGACCAAGAAACCCAAUGGCAACCCCUAAGGUCAAAGCAUAAAAUAAUAAUAAUAGUUACAUUAGCCAUGGUAAUGUAAUCUAAAAGUGAAAAGUCAUGCAAAAUUGUAUAUUGAGAGUAAUAAAUAACAAAAUUGUUUGUGUCAAGCAGAUCCAAUUGACUCAAGAUUGAGUUGGGUAAGUUAAGGAUGAGUCCUGCUUGUAAAUCUAGUUCCACUUGUUUACAAAUUACUUCAUAAAAAUAUAAUCGAAAUUAUUGUUAGAUAUAAAAAAUAAUUAUUCCAUAAUGGAAAAUUGUGGUUAAAGAUGAACAUGGACUCACCCCAAGGCUGCAGAGAAGUUUAUUGAUUUUUUUAAGGAUAAAUCUCAAAAUUAUACAUGAAUUAUGGUUUAUUGUGUAAUUGUAUACAUGAAAUUUUGAUUUGAUCCAUUUUUUUGUAAUUUAUUAAUAUAAUUAUUGAUAUAACAUCAUUUCAUGAUUAUGUAUUGUAUACAUAAAUAGUUGUAUUUAUUCAAUAUAAAAAUAAAUUGAUGUAUUUAUUUUUUUAAAUGCGUAUGAUUAAAUCAAAAUUAAAGUUUCAAAUAUACAUUUGAACCACAAUUAGAGUUUCAUGUGUACAAUUGCACAUUAAACCAAAGUUCAUGUAUAAUUUUGAGAUUUAUCUCUUUUUUAUUUUAAUUAUUUAUAUUUUAAAUAAUUUAACCGGAGUAAGAGAACAAGUUGGAUAUGGAUGAGUGUAUAAUAAUUUCAUGUCUUUAAAAAUUGAUAACGAGCCAAAAUUUUAUUGAUGCUUAAAAUCUUUAACUUCAUUUAAUUUUUGAAAAUAUUUUCUAUUUUUUUAAAAAUUAAAAAACAUGUUUGAUAAAGAGGAAUAAAAUUUUGUUUUCAAUAAUGAAAACAGGAUUGGUAAUUAUUUUUCUAUAAAGAAAUAUGAAAAUUGAAAAAAAAAUAAUGAAAACCAAAUUUUUCUAUUUUUAUUUACAAAGUCUUUUUAGUACAAAUAAUGAAAACAAAAUUUUAUUAUUUUUCUAAUUUUUACAUAUUUUCAUAAUUUUUUAAAAAUUAUUUUCAAAAAUUAGAACUAAACACAAUUUCUUGAAUGUUUUUCAUUUUUCAAGGAAAUGAAAUUGGAAUUUACUCCCUGAAACCAAACGGAGUAUUUUAAUGUAUAAUUCGGGGUUACUAACCUAGAGCAACAAUAAGAGGAGAUGUCUUGGACUGAUCCUUGUUGGGUAAACUGCAACCUGUUCCACUUUUCUUACCAUCGCCUUCAUAACCCAUCGGACAUGAACAAUUGUACGUCCCAGGUAAGUUGGUACAUAUUGCCGUUCCAUUGCAAGGGCUCAUACUUUCACACUCGUUUAUAUCUGAAAUUUGCAGAUUGUAUGCAAGUAAUAAAUAACACUAUCUUUAAUGUUAGAAACUACAAAUCUAUGGGGUAUAUAUACCUAUAGUUACCUUGACAUCCAUUAGGGAGGUAAGGGUUCCCCAUGUAACCCUCAAGACACUUGCACAAAUAUCCAGAGUUAUUUUCUGAAUCAACGCAUUUACUAUACUCUUUGCAUGCGAAAUUGUUUACAUCCAUAUUCGCUUCGUUGCAACUCGUAUUCCCGAUUUUCCAAUCAAGAGUGAUUGGAAACUGCCUUCUUUGAAACUCAAAACCACGAAGAUCUGAAGCAGAGAAGGUAUAAUUAUCGACCUCUGCAACAAAUGCAUAGCUGCAGGGGUUUUCGGGCAACACAUUGGUAUGGUUGGCGUAGCUUUUGAGACUUAUGUUGCAGCUCCUCACAUCCCUUGGGAUACUUGUCUGACAGCAACCAAUCCCAGAGCAAGACCCGUUUGAAACAUCAGCGAUGUUGUUACAGAACGACAAACAACCAGUUGCGUAACGUUGUCCGUAGGAAUCUUGCAGGACAGCAUAAGUGUCGCACCCGAUUGCAGUAAACUUGUUCUUGUUAUUGUUUAUUGAAAAUUCAGAAAAUCCGAAGUAGUAAAAUAACCCAUUCCCGUCUAAUGUGUUGUAACAAUCAUAGCUCGUAGGAGAAAGGAUGCGCAACUGACCAUCGGUAGAUAUGUUGAUGACUUCGACGUUACUGUUGCCUAAGAACGCUUUGUUGGGUUUAUUACUGGUGCUACAUGUGAUGAGAAAGUGUUCAGUGAUGUUGCAAUCGCCGCCGGUACCGAACGGGUAUGGGAUGAUAACAUCUCCGCAGCUUUCUCCGCAGCCAAGUUUUGCUACUGCUGGUGUUGAAGCUUUUACUGUCAAUAUAACAGUAAGCAAGAUCAUCAGCUGCAUAAGCACUAGUGAUCUGAUGGAACCCAUGGCUGUUUUUUUCUAGACUGGGGGAUACCAAUGCUUCAAUUUCCAAAUUCGGAAACAUAUAAAAAAGGUUAGGGAAGCCUGCUUGACCUUACUAAAUUCUAACAGGAGGGAGGACGUAAAGUGACCCAAUAGACGAGUGGGGAAUAUCAGUGUGGUCCGUUCUUUGGCUUUCGCUGUUGAAUAGCGCGUGGUGACUUUGGACUGUCCACAAUUUCUUGGAAUGGAUGAGAUGCUAACUUUGAUUCUGUCAAAUUAUAUUUAGUGCUUCCAUAUUUAGUGUCUGAUGGCUUUCUACGGCAGAUAUAAGCUUGUUCUCAAUGUUAGAUGAAAAAUCAUUUUGCAUUAAUUGUACAAGAUAAAUAAAUAUUGAAAAAUUAUUUGGUAAAGAAUUUUUAGAAUUCACGAGUUUCCAUAUGUGACAUAAAUAUUUAAGUAUUAGAAAAAAAAACACACAUGCGGAUUAAGCAUUGCUACUCCAAAAAAAUAUUAAGUGAUUAUUAAAAACAGAUAUUUAAUAUUAAUUUAAAAUUUAUUGAAAAGUCAUAUCUAUCAAAAUCAAGAUUGUGUAUGUUAAUGAUAAAUAUUUAAAAAGAAAAAAGAAAAUCAAAGCAACAUCAAGUUUUACUACUCCAGACAAAUAUGAAGUGAUAGAUGAAUGCAGUUACAACACAAUACUUUCACAUGGAUUAUAAAGUAAAGAUAUUAGAAUUUUUUAUGGAGUAAUGAUUUAUUACAAAUAAUAAAAGGGUUGACGUUUACUUAAAGCUGAUUGGUUAGUUUAACAAAAAAUUCUUGAAGUGGAUGUUAUCAACUCUUUUUCGCAUACUUUGAACUCAAAAACCAAGUAGGUAAGCGUGGUGGUCCAAGGCCAAGGCGAAGACAAAGAUUAACUACGAGUGAUUUUGAAAAUUUUUAAUGGUUAAAUGAUUAUUUAUGUAAUUUAUUUAAAUAUAUUCAUGUAUAUUUAAUAUAUAUGAAAAACUAAAUUAAUUUUUUAUUUAAUUUCAAUAUUUUAUAUUUUAUAUUAUUAAAAAUAUUUACAUAUUUUUAUGAAUGUAAUUAUAUCCAUCUUGCAUUUUUUCAUAUUAUUUUUCUUUUAUAAUUAUUUUUUAACUUAUUAAAUUUUAUUAACUUUAAUUUUUAAAAAUUAUUUUUCGAAACCAUACAAUUAAAAAUAGUAAAGGAUGUAUUUUAAGAUGGUAGCAUUUUUAAAGGCUUGAUAAAUUUAAAUUUUCAAAAUGUUUUAUCCACCCUAAAAGAUGAAAAGAGGAAGCAUAUGUAAUUCUAGUGGCCCAAAUCGAUGGAAAAGGAGACCAAGACGAAUGGGGAAAUGACUGAUGAGAUCAGAAAACCUAUCGAGUCACUUACCAAGUCUUUUCUUCUAGAUUUUUUUUUUCAUUUAAUUCAGUGAUAACUAUCUGAUAUUAGACAUUCAAUCCCCUUUGGUUUAUAUGCAAUUUGCUUUUAAAAUUAUUGUUUUCCUCUGCUUGCACAAGGAAUAUAUAUAACACUAAAUUAGCACAAUAAUAAAUAAAAUCAGUAAAAGAAGUGAAACACAUCUUUGUCUAGUGGAUUCCGUUCUCGUAAUUAAAUCUUAAUCUUUGAGAAAAUUAGAAGAUUGGUAAAAUAAACUUAAAUUAAGAUAAAAUAUGAAUAUAUAUCCAAAAUAAAGAUAUUUAAUUAGAAAAUAUGAAUCCGUAACUAUACAAUUCUUACAUUUAGACAUAGACAUCUAAAACUUGAUAGCAAACAUACAUGUACAAAGUUGUAAUAAGUGAAAAACUUAGGUCUUUUCACUUGGUUUUGCAUGCAAUACAAGUGGAUUUUAUGAUUUUUUUCCAUGAUAAUAUAAUAUAACAAAGUGAAGUUAAAAAUAAUUGAAAUGCGGAUAAAUUUGAUGUGAAAUGAUAAUAAAAUUAUAUAUUUUAAGUUAUCAAGGUUGACUAGGUUUUAAAUUAAGUGUUAUAUAUAUUAGCUGUAAGAUCUAACCUGAAUUCUUUAUUAAUUAAUUAUGAGAUGAAUAAAGAUGUCCUAUGUAAAUGAUAUUAAAUAAUUAAUCAAACAUAAAUCAAAUCAAAGUAAUUGGUAAAAAUAUUUUUGUUUAAGUUGAUUUGAUUUGAUUUGAAUGUUAUGUUUGAUGAUGAAUCAAUUAGUUUGAUCUUUAAAAAAUUGAGUUCCUGUAAGUAUGUUUACUUUUCUUUAAUAAAGAAAAUAAAAGUUAGAAAUAAAUAGUGAAAAAAAACUAAUCAAAUGAAGAUUUUUCAUUUUUAAAUAAAGAUGAGCUUCCAUCAAAAUACUUGGUGGAAAAUUUGUUAGGAAAUAAUAAUAGUAUGAAUGAACCACAAAAUUAAUUGCAUUCUCUUUUAUUAAAAAAUUUAUUAAAAAGUCCAAACUCCAAUCUUUAGAGUUCAAUUGUAAACUCAAAUGGAAUGAAUAAAGUACAACACAUUGAAUAGUCUUUGUUAACAUUCCAAUUGUCUUAAUCAUCACAACUGUACAUAUUGACUAACAAUCUUCAUCAUCACCAAGUAAUUACUCCAAAAUUUGUCGAAACUUAUAUUUAAAAUAUUCUUUAUCUUCCCUGUUUUAGACCCAUUCUAAGCAAUAAACUUCUUGGAAGUAAUCAUGGCUUGCAAAUGACCCUUAUAAUCAUGCAAAUUCUUAAAAGUAAUAGCAAAACGUUUCUCACUAGGACGACAAUCAACCCAAAGUCUAUUUGUGAUUAUACACAAAAAUUGUAAUAAAAGAAGCAUGCUAAACUAAACUUUUAAAAUGAGACGUUUUAUCAACAUCCUUCAAAAUUAAAUUGAUACAAGGUGUUGCGCAUGGUGACCAAAAGAUUUUAGGAUACUUCUCAUGACAAAAUUUCCUAACAACUUUAUAAUUUGCAGCAUUAUAUGUAAUUAGCUAGACCACAUUGCUCAAACCAACAAUUUUUACAAUCUUCGCAAAUAAAUUGCAAAGAGUAUUGACAUCUAAAAUCAUGUCUGAUGUGUUAACGAGUUUGGUAAAGCAUAAUCCUUUAGGAAAAUAGACUAGAAAAUUGGUUGAUGACUUUUGUUUCGUAUCUUUCUACCCACCUCCCAUUAUGGUGCAUCCACAUUCCACCCAAAUGCUGUAAAUCCCUUUUUGAGUAUUCUAGUAGAUUGGUUCACAAUGUAUGAUAUGAUAGAGUUUUGUAUCUCAAUCCCAUAGAUGCUAUGGCAUCAAGGCAUAGUUGAAACUUGUCAAUCUUUGAUUCUAUUUGUGGAGUCUAAAAGCUCCAUUGGCAAUAUACCUAAUAAAUUAUUUAUCUUUUUAAUAUUUUACUAUACCCCUAGAGAACACUUAUCAAUCUCCUGACAUUGUUUAUGGAGUCUAAAAAUUUUAUUGGUAAUAUACCAAAUAAUAUUCCAAAUAAAAAAGUAUUAACUUGACAGUGUACUUUUUUUAUUCCACAAGUAUUGUUAAAAAAUUGGCAUUGUCUUUUUUUUUAAUAUCUAUUUUUUAAAAAUUUCACUAUACUCCUACAAGACAUUUGUCCACCCCUAAUCAUGCUUAUGAAGUCUUAAAAUUCUACUAAGUGUAUCUUGUUAUAAAAUAAAGAGAGAUGGAGAGAAUAAAGAAUAAAGAAAAUAUGGAAGCAAUAGAGAAUGUACUUUAUUGAUCAAUUGGGGUGAUUACAAUGCUUCAUCAUAGUCUCUAUUUAUAGGUAUAAAAAAUAUAAAAGAAGUAGAGAUCUAAUUCUAAUAACUAUUAGAAUUAAAAGGACAUUAAAAUUUUAUCUUGAUCAUGAUGGACAUCCACUUAAUAAGGUGUUCAUAACACUCCCCUUGGAUGUCCAUUGGUAGAUAAUAUACCUCGUUAAAACCUUAUUAAGAAACCUUGUGGGAUAAAAACCUAAUGAAGGAAAAAGAGUACACGAUUUAUAAUACGCAUAAUAUGUUGCCUCAUUAAAAACCUUACCAGGAAAAUCCAAUUAGACAAAACAUCGGUUAAGGGAAAAAGAGUACAACAGGUAUUUACUCCCCCUCAUGAAAACAUCACAUACUUUCUCAUAUUUUACGUAUUCAAUCUUGAAUACUAGUUUUUCAAAUGACCAUUUGAAUGUAUUGCUUAGUAUUUAUAUCACCAUUCUUUCAAAAUUCAUGAGUGAGGGAAAUAUGGAAAUAUAUAUUUUGAUCUCUUUAGGAGAUUCAACAAUAAUCAUAAUAAACUUUAAUCAUGAUUCUUUUAUAAAAACACAAAUAGAUAUUUUGGAUCAUUUUAUAAUCCUCCUUCAACUACUAUUCACUAAGUCAAAUUUAACACAUAUAUUCAAAUUAUUUCAAUUCAUAUAAAUGAACAAUUUCUCGAGAAUUUUAAUAUGCUUCUACCAUACUAAAUCCUUCAUAUAAAGGUUGUAACAAUAACCAUUUAACGUAAGUUAAAUCUUGUAACACCCCUUACCCGAGACCGUUUCCGGAGUCGAGCAUGAGGCAUUACUUAGCUUAUCUCACUAUUUCGGAGCAUAAAAAUUUACUUUGAAAAUUAAUUUCACUAUUUAUAGCAAUCUAUCAAAUUGCGCAGCAGUUACUAAAUUAAUUAUAAAUCGAGCUACGGAGCUUGAAAUUUAACUCCGUAAAUUUUACCUAAAACUAGACUCAUAUAUAUACUUACCAUAAAAUUUAUAGAAUUUUUGGUUCAGCCAAUUAGUACAGUUUAUUAGUUAAAGUCUCCCCAGUUUCAUCACUCGACUGUCCUGACCUCUUGCCACUAAAAAUAAGUUUUCUCAUUGUAGGAUUUUCAUAUGGUGUUCUCACUUAUUUCUAAAGAAAAUAGACUCAAUAAGGAAUCUAUACAUAUAAAUUACAACUCAUAACUAAUUUUUUAAAAUUUAUAGUGAUUUUCUAAACUCAGAAUAGGGGACUCCAAAAACAGUUCUGACUCUGUCUCACCAAAAUUCACAUAUCUCAAAAUAUAAAAUUCUUUUUGAUAAACCGUUAUUUUCCCAUGAAAAUAGACUCAACAAGAUUUCAUUCUAUAUAUCAUACAUCCUCUAAUUCAUUUUAUACCAUCCUAGGUGAUUUUUCAAAUUCACGUCACUGUGCUGCCUGAAUUCUGUUUCUUUGCAAAAUUUUACCCUUUCACAAUUUUCAUGCAUAAUUUAUCACCUAGACUUUUAUAACAACAAACACCUUUAUACUUAACCAUUUUAAUAACCAUUCAUCAUCAAUUACUUAUAAAUCAUUCUUUAGCAAAAUCAUAAUUACAAACAUGCAAAAUAACUAAGUCCCUAUACAUGCCAUAACUCAAACGUGUUUCGUCAUAAAAUACCGAGUAGUUGUUCUUGAUAGUGUAGACGAUCUCCGACUGCUUUAGGAUCCCUGAAGCAGCUUUGCAAUACUAUAAGAGAAAGAAAAAUAAAAGAAGUAAGCAUUAAGCUUAGUAAGUUUACUAGCAAAUAAAUAACAACAUUUAACACAAAGGAUUAUACUCCAAUGUCAAGGUCUCUAAUUUACUCUUUAAUUAAUCUCAUUCUUAUUCUCAUUCUCUUGCUUGUUUACUUUAUUAACUCGUGAUCAUAACUUACACUUCCCUUGUUGAAACGUUGAGUAUCAAUUGAUAAUAUAAUAGUUCUUAACUCUCUUAACUUACCUGAGCUUGCCAUUUGUGCUUUUAAAUAAACUUUCAUUAACAUGAUUCGUUUACUGGCCCGUUGAACUACAUUGGAAUAAUAAGGAUACUUGGGUUUCUUCUAAUAAUAACAUGCCAAAGUCAUGUCCCAGACAUGGUCUUACAUGGGAUGUUCUCAUGUCAGUGCUCAUGCCAUGUCCCAGACAUGGUCUUACAGGGGACCUCUCAUCUCGGUGCCAACGCCAUGUCCCAGACAUGGUCUUACAUGGGACCUCUCGUCUCGGUGCCAACGCCAUGUCCCAAACAUGGUCUUACAUGGGACCUCUCAUGAUCUCAAGGAUGCCAAUGCCAUGUCUCAAACAUGGUCUUACAUGAGAUCUCUUUACCCAAAUGUCAUGACAUUCGUAUCCAGUACCAUCCUUAUGUAUCAACGGGACUUUUUAAUUUUAAUUCUCUAUCGUUUCAUGUUUGGAUCAUCAUUAAUAAAUUCAUGAAAUAAAUUCAUAGUUUCUGGUAAAUAACAAUAUUAAUAAUAAUUAUUGAAAUAUUUCAUUUAUUUACUAUAAACUUACCUCGGUGCCAAAUAUAGCCAAAUUCACCAACUUAGCCUUCAACUUUAUUCUUUCCUUUGUCUAACCUCGAUUUUCGUUCUUCUAGAUCUAAAAUAGCAAAUUUAACUCAUUUAAUACUCACAUUUAUCAAAACAGCCCUCGACUCUAACUUUGUCAAAAUUAUGAUUUUGCCCCUAAACUUUUACAUAAUUACAUUUUUGGCCCAAAGCUCAAAAAUUAAAAUUCAUCUCUUAUUCUUGUGUUUUAUAACAUUUUGAACAUUUUUCCCUUCUAUGACAACAUCAAAUUCUCACUCUAGCAUGUACUUAUGAACAUUAGGUAUUUUUACCGAUUAUGUCGUUUUACUCGUUUUCACUUAAAAUCGGCUAGCAAAAGUUGUUUAAAAUAUUUUCUAGCUUCAUAUUCUAUCAUAAAACAUCAAAAUAAACACUUUUCACCUAUGGGUAUUUUUCCAAAUAUAAACCCUAAGUUAAUUAUUGCUAGAAUAAGCUAAAUUAAGCUAUCGGGAUCUCAAAAACGUAAAAAACAUUAAAAACGGGGCUUGGGAUCACUUACUAUGGAGCUUGGAAGCUUGAAAACCCUAACUAUGACUUCUCCCUUGCUGAUUUCGUUCACCAUGGAGAAGAUGAGCACAUUUUGCCAUCUUUUUCCCUUUUUUAAUUCUUUUUAUUACUAAAUUACCAAAUUACCCCUAACUUAAAAAUUUCCUAUUUCACUUAUCUCAUGUCCAUUUUUGUCUACCAACUUAACCAAUGGUCUAAUUACCAUAUAAGGACCUCCCAUUUAAAGUUUCAUAACAAUUGGACACCUUUAACAUGUAGAAUUCAACUUUUGCACUUUUUACAAUUUAGUCCUAUUGCCUAAAUUGAGUGCCCAAACGUCAAAAUUUUCGAACGAAAUUUUCACAAAAUCAUUCCGUGAAAUCUUAGACCAUAAAAAUAUAAGAAAAAUAAAUUUUUUCUCAUCGGAUUUGUGGUCCCGAAACCACUGUUCCGACUAGGCCCAAAAUCGGGAUGUUACAAAUCUUUUAUGAAUGAUCAAUUUAAUAAUAUAUCUAAAGGUUAUUGCCUCCCCCACAAAAUAAUAUUAUAUCUUUUCAUAAUCAAUGUCAGGACUUAGUAAAAAAUUUCAUACUUUUAUUCCACUUUUGCAGAACUACUUCAAUUGAACCCUCACUAGCUUUAUACCUUUAGAUAUUUGGACUACUGGUCCAAAAACUCGAGGAAUUUAAUUGUACUUGAGUUACGUCUUUCUAUUUUGAUCAAUUUAUUCCAUAUCUAUAUUUCUCAAUAGAUUUAUUCAAGAUCUUCCUUUUAUCUCAUUAUUUUAAUAGUAAUAUUGUAUGCAAAUCAUUGUCGACCAAUUUUAUUAUUCGGUUCCACAUUUUCUCAAAUUGACAUAACUUAUCGAGAUCUCUUAUUUUCAUCAUUUUAAAAUUCAGUUUCAGGUACCUGAAUCUCUUUUAAAUUUUUACUUAUUAGUUAUGUAUUGGGUCUCUUCUAGAGUAGCCGCCUUCAUUAUAUGACUAUCUAGAAGAAUUUUCAUUUUGGAAUCGAUCAAUCUAUUAUUUGUUCUAACUGAUUGUCCUACUGGGACUUUGAUUCAAAUUAAAAUAUUUGAUGGUAUAUGACACUUGGUUGUUCUCAUUAUUCAAAUUAAAAUAAUAUCAAGAAAUGACAUUAUAAGCACAAUCAUUUCUGGUUAAUGAAAUGUAAGCAUAACUAAUUGGCUUUCUAAUUCCAGCUUGAGUUUAUCAUUUUACUUUGUAACUAAAUCUUUAAUUAAGCUUGUAAAUUGACGUGAUAUUAUGAGUUUUAUCAUUUCACUUUGUAGUUAAAUUUUUUUUAAAUGAGUUGAAAAUAAUAUUCCGACGACUGACCUUAUUCCAGUUAUAGCAACUGAUUUAUUUGGUUUACAAACUAAGUUUUUAGAUGUAUAUUUGAGGGAAAAUGGCCCCGAUAACAAUUUUUGUUCAUAAUAUCAUAGAGAAGUUAUUGAUGAAUUCAUUCCAGUGAAAAAAAAGUAAAAGUGGAAAAAAGAUUUGGUUUUGUCAGAUAUAGCAAUAUGACAGAUGCGAGAAGGGUUAUUAGUCGAUCAAACGACUAUGUGAUUUUAGGAAAUAGAUUAUUGGUGGACUUAGCCAAGUUUAAGGGGGGAUAUAGAUAUGGAAAAAAUCUUCAACGGAAGGAAAUGCAAAGCAGAGACAGAACGAAAAAAAAAAGGGAGUAGAACGAAAAGUUGCAAGAAUUUAGCAAAAUGGAAGUAGGAGAAAGUUCCUCGAGGAGUAAUAAUGAUCCGAAUAAGACAGAAAAAGAGGACGACAAGGUGAAGAAUACCAGCAUAGUGGUUCAAGGACAUGUUGAAGAGGAGCAACUUUAGAAGCUUCAUAGAUGUUUGGUGGGUACAACAGCAGCGUGUUGUGGUACGCAGAGUUUAUUUGAAAGAAUAGUUAGGAAUGGAUUAGGGGAAAUUAAAAUCAGAAGAAUUCAAGGAAGGUACUUUUUGAUUGAAAUAUCAGAUGAGGAAUUGUUUGAUGUAUUGAAGCAAAACGAUUGGGCGUACUUAAGAGAGUUCUUUAUCAACAUAUAACUUUGGUCGGGGACAAUAGUGGUAGAGGAAAGAGUGGCGUGGAUUGAAGCAUAUGGUAUCCCCCUACACUGUUGGAACUAUACAUCCUUCAAAAGAAUAGCAAGUGUAUGGGGCGAGUUAAUAUCCCUCAAAGAGAAUCUGGUAAUGGUUAACAGCUUGGAUAAAAUGUCAAUGUUGGUAUCCAUCAAGCAGCCGAAAAGAAUAAAUGAGACAAUCUAUUUAAAGGUGGGGAAGACUAAAUUUCCCAUAAGAGUCAUUGAAAUAGGAUUAUCAAAAUUUAAAGGCGAUAACAGAAAGGUCUAUGGCGUGAAAGAAAGAGAAGAGCAUGAAUUAGUAUAAGAAAUGGAUGACACUUUGUUGAAGUCAACCCCCAUGCAGCAGCCAAGGUGACCAUGCAAGGUGGCCAUGCAGGGAUCGUGCUUUAACAGCAAACCGAAACUGCAUUGUUUCAUUUGGUUACUCAAAUAAACAUUUUGUGUUCUAGUUCAUGUUAAACUAAGUAGGUAAAUGUUUUGAUAUUGAUUGACUGAAAAGUCAGCAAUGCAAGUUGUACAAGCUAAUCUUGUAAGUUUCAAUGCAAAUUAGUGGAGUUAGGUAGUUGAUUAGGUGAUUACUUGUUUGUUUUACUUGUUGACUGAUAUAUGUAAUGGCUUAAUGCCUUGUUGAUGUGUUAAUGAAAGAAAUCAGCUCAUUUUUCAUUCAAUCUUCUUCUCUCUUUUCUGUUUUUUCACUAGCUAGUUUCAUUUUUCUAUUUCUGCUUCCGAGUUUGCUUCUUCACCAAGGCUCGAGGCUUGCUAUUCAAGCAAGACACAAAACAGCUUGUUGCUGCCUCCUGCACCAACAAUUGGUAUCAAGAGCUCUUGUCUUAGUGGACCUGUUGCUUCAAAUCAAGGAACUUGAUGGCUUCUUCAGGAUUUUCACCUGCAGCCCCACCAGUCUUCAAUGGAGAAGGCUUUCACAUAUGGCUGGUCAAGAUGAAGACUUACCUACAGGCCUUCGAUCUGUGGGAAGUUGUUAACACAGAUGCUGAGCCAGCACCACUGAGGGCUAAUCCCACAGUAGCUCAGAUCAGACAACAUGCUGAUGAGAGGACCAAAAGGCACAAAGCCAUGUCCUGUAUUCAGAACUGUGUAUCAGAUGUCAUCUUUACCAGAAUUAUGGCCUGUGAGACUCCAAAACAGGCCUGGGACAAGCUUAAGGAGGAGUUUCAAGGUACUGAGAGAACAAGGCAACAACAGCUGUUGAACUUGAGAAGGGAUUUCGAGAAUUUGAAGAUGAAGGAAGAAGAAACAGUGAAGCAGUAUUCAGAUAGAAUUAUGGCAGUGGUUAACAGCAUAAGGCUCCUAGGUGAGCACUUUGAUAAGGCAAGAAUUGUGGAGAAAGUCCUCUCCACUUUGCCUGAGAGAUAUGAGGCCAAGAUAUCCUCCCUAGAGGACUCAAGAGACCUUGCUAGCAUCUCUUUGACUGAGUUAAUCAACACCUUCUAUACUCAGGAACAAAGGAGAGCUAGCAGAGCUGAAGAUCACCAAGAAGGUGCAUUUCAAGCCAAGGCCAGAGAAGCCUCGAGCACCAAUGCUCAAAGAGGCAAAAAGCCUUGGAAAAACAGGCCUAAGCCUGAUGCUGCAAGGAGCAAUGACCAGCCCUGCAGAUAUUGCAAGAAGCCUGGCCAUCCAGAAGACAGAUGCUGGUUUAGGCCAGAUGCAGUAUGCCAACACUGCAAGAAGAAGGGCCAUGUUGAAAGGGUCUGCAAAAACAGGAGUAAGCCAAGGCAGAAUCAAUUUCAGCAGUCAAAGGUUGAAGCUCGAGUAGCUGAGGACAGUAGUGACCAAGAAGAACAGGUCUUUGCUGUUUCCUGUUUAGCUGCUGAGAAGAAAUGCUCAAAAGGCUGGUUGCUGGACAGUGGUUGCACUAACCACAUGUCACCAGAUGCCUCUUUGUUUAAAACCUUGGACAGAAGUUAUAAAACCAAGGUCAAGGUUGGAAAUGGUCAGUUUAUAAGGGCUGAAGGAAGAGGAGAAGUGCUGAUAUGUACUCCCACAGGCAACAAGAUCAUUCCAAAUGUGCUGUUGGUGCCAGAGAUUGACAGAAACCUUCUCAGCAUAGCUCAACUGCUCGAGAAAGGUUAUUCUGUUGUGUUCAAGGACAAACAAUGCCACAUUGCUGAUCCAAGUGGAUCAAGCCUUAUGACAGUCACAAUGACUGAUAAAUGCUUUGAGGUUCACUGGGCAAAUGACUCAAACUCAGCAUACACAACUUCUGUUGAUGACUUCAAGCUUUGGCAUCAAAGGCUUGGACAUGCCAACUUUAGAUCAAUGGCUCGAUUGGCUAAAGAGGGCAUGGCAGAAAACUUCACCAGCUCAGUGGAGCAUGAUGAUGUGUGUGAAGUUUGCCAAAUGGGGAAACAGGCAAGACUGCCAUUUCCUACAAAUUCAGCUUGGAGAGCUACUGAAAGACUGCAGCUGGUGCACUCUGAUGUAUGUGGCCCGAUGAGGACUGAAUCACUCAGCAAAAACAGGUAUUUCAUCCUCUUUAUUGAUGACCUUACAAGGUUUUGCUGGAUUUUCUUUUUAAAACACAAGUCUGAGGUAGCUCAAGUGUUUGUGAAGUUUAAAAAUGCUGUAGAAACAGAAACAGGUUGCAAGCUGAAAUCGAUAAGGAUUGACAAUGGCACUGAGUACACUUCAGCUCAGUUUCAAGCCAUUUGCAAUGAUGCUGGUAUCAAACAUCAGCUUACAAAUUUCUACACACCUCAGCAGAAUGGGGUAGCUGAAAGAAAGAAUAGAAGUCUGAUGGAUAUGGCCAGAUGUCUUCUGUUUGAAAAGAAACUGCCCAAGACCAUGUGGGCUGAGGCAGUAAACACUGUUGUUUACCUUCAGAACAGGCUUCCUACUAAAGCUCUUGCAUCCGAGACACCUUUCGAGGCUUGGUUCAGUUUCAAGCCUUCCUUGGCACAUCUGAAGGUGUUUGGUUGCCUGUGUUAUGCACAAAUACCAGCAGCAAAGAGAGACAAGCUCUCCAAAAGGGCUCAACCAGGUGUUCUAGUAGGCUACAGCUCAGUCAAAAAGGGCUACAGGGUUCUGGAUCCCUUGACAAACAAAGUCCAAGUGAGCAGAGAUGUCAUCUUUGAUGAAAAAGCCUGCUGGAAUUGGGAGAAAAAUGAGCCAGAAAUAAUUUUAGAAGACCUAGUGCCUAAUCAAGCUGAACUUGAGCAGCUAGGACCUGAAAUGGAUGUUGAUGAUGUGCCUGUGAGAGGCACAAGGCUCCUAGAAGAUAUUUAUGAAAGGGCACAGGUUGCAAUAGCAGAACCUAGCAGUUUUGAAGAGGCUGAGGCAGAUGAAGGUUGGAAACAAGCUAUGGUUGAUGAAAUCAACAUGAUUGUAAAGAAUCAGACAUGGGAGUUGGUUGAAAAGCCUGCCAACAGAAAGACUAUCGGUGUAAAAUGGGUCUAUCGAGUGAAGCACAAUGCGGAUGGAAGUUUAAAUAAGCUAAAGGCCAGACUAGUUGUAAAGGGCUUCAGUCAAAGGUAUGGUCUGGACUACAUGGAAACAUUUGCUCCAGUAGCCAGACUCGAUACAAUCAGAUUACUGAUUGCAGUUGCUGCUCAGAACCAGUGGACAAUCCACCAAAUGGAUGUCAAGUCUGCAUUCCUCAAUGGAUUCCUAGAAGAGGAGAUAUACAUCGAGCAACCCCCAGGUUUUAUAAUGCCUGGUAAGGAACAUUUGGUGUAUAGGCUAAGAAAGGCCUUGUAUGGCCUAAAACAGGCCCCUCGAGCCUGGUAUGCUCGAAUUGACUCAUACUUGGUCAGUUUGGGAUUUGAAAGGAGUGCUAGUGAGCCAACACUCUAUGUUAAGAGGAAUGGAGCUGAAACACAGCUUAUUGUGUCACUAUAUGUUGAUGAUCUUCUAGUGACUGGAGGAGACAAGCUUGUGAUGGCUGAUUUCAAAGCAAAAAUGAAAGAAAUGUUCGAGAUGUCAGAUUUGGGGUUGAUGACUUAUUUCCUUGGAAUAGAGAUACAACAAGCUGAUCAAGGAAUCUUUUUGGGACAAAAGGCGUUUGCUUUGAAAGUUUUAUCCAAGUUUUCAAUGCAAAAUUGCAAGCCAACAUGCACACCUAUGGCAGUUGGCAUAAAACUAUCGAGCCAAGAAGAACACGAGCCUGUCAAUGAAUCAUUUUAUAGGAGCCUUGUUGGUUGUUUGCUGUAUUUAACAGCAACAAGACCUGACAUUCUGUUUGCUGUGAGCAUGCUAUCAAGGUUCAUGCACUGCUGUAACCAGCAACAUUACAAGGCUGGGAAAAGGGUGCUAAGAUACAUCAAAGGUACCUUAAACCAUGGAAUACAGUUUAGAAAGACUGAAGAGUUGAAACUGAUUGGCUACACUGAUAGCGAUUGGGCUGGUUCAAAGGAUGACAUGAAGAGCACUUCUGGCUAUGCUUUUACUCUUGGCUCAGUUAUGAUUUGUUGGAGCUCAAGAAAACAAACAAUGGUGGUUCAAUCGACAGUAGAAGCAGAGUAUGUAGCAGCUGCUAAUGCUGUUAAUCAAGCUAUGUGGCUGAGAAAAAUUUUGGGUGAUUUGAAUCUACAGCAGAAUGAUGCAACUGUGAUACAUUGUGACAACAAGUCAGCAGUUGCUAUUGCUAAAAACCCUAUCUUCCAUGGCAGGACAAAACAUUUCAACAUCAAACUCCAUGUGAUAAGAGAAAUGGAACAAGCUCGAGAGAUCAAGCUAAUUCAUUGCAGCUCAGAAGAUCAAAUCGCUGAUAUCUUCACAAAAUCACUUGGUGCAUCGAGAUUUGUAAACCUAAGGAAGCAACUAGGAGUCUGCUGCAUAGAAGCUGAGGAGGAGUGUUGAAGUCAACCCCCAUGCAGCAGCCAAGGUGACCAUGCAAGGUGGCCAUGCAGGGAUCGUGCUUUAAUAGCAAACCGAAACUGCAUUGUUUCAUUUGGUUACUCAAAUGAACAUUUUGUGUUCUAGUUCAUGUUAAACUAAGUAGGUAAAUGUUUUGAUAUUGAUUGACUGAAAAGUCAGCAAUGCAAGUUGUACAAGCUAAUCUUGUAAGUUUCAAUGCAAAUUAGUGGAGUUAGGUAGUUGAUUAGGUGAUUACUUGUUUGUUUUACUUGUUGACUGAUAUAUGUAAUGGCUUAAUGCCUUGUUGAUGUGUUAAUGAAAGAAAUCAACUCAUUUUUCAUUCAAUCUUCUUCUCUCUUUUCUAUUUUUUCACUAGCUAGUUUCAUUUUUCUGUUUCUGCUUCCGAGUUUGCUUCUUCACCAAGGCUCGAGGCUUGCUAUUCAAGCAAGACACAAAACAGCUUGUUGCUGCCUCCUGCACCAACACACUUUCGUGUCAGAAUCUGAAUCAACGAUGAUAUUAGGAUUGGAACAGAAUCCAGAAGAGAGACAAGGCUGGGAAAAUGAAGCAAUCAAUGCGAUUAUUCUCAAAAAAUCAAACGAUAAUUGCGACUGUCAGAACAUUUCUCAAAACGUGAUUAGGUUGGAAGAGAAAUUGAUCAGUGGAAUUAGGGUCGAAACUAGGGUGGGGGAAGGGUUAAAAACUAGUGCAACAAUCGGGCUAAGGAAUAUAUGAGUAAUAUGGGCUUCGCAAUAGAUUAAUUAGGAUUAGAAAAUAUGGAUAGGGUUUAAGAUAAGCAACAAAACAGUGAGGAGGGUAUGUGAUUGUUGAUGGAUAUGGGCUUACAACAAGUCAAUCCAAAUAAGUUAGAGGGGAAUAGAUUGCAACAAACAAAAUGAAAAAUCGAGUGAUUUGGGAAGGGAAGGAGUAGAUAGAGAAAAAAAGGGUUCAGUUGAAGAAUUUUAAAAAAAUUUUGAACAGAAGAAAAAAAAAGUAAUGGAAGAAAGAUUAGAUCGAUGUCUAAAAUUUAGAAUAGAAUUCUUUCAGUAACAGAGAAGAAGAAGAGAGAUCGGACGUUGAAAAAGCAGAAACGUAAAGGAAUUACAAGCAAAGAGGAAGUUUUUGUUAAUGCUUCUCUCUCAAACUCUGGCAUUAGCAAUAGAAAUAGAGUGAUUCUUAGGGAGGCAAGGAACACAUGGAAAGUGGGGAAAAAAUCUUGGGUUCAGCAUUCGGGGUGACGAACAAGAUGUUAAAGAGAAUAUGAAAUUGGAAGAAAGGUAGAUCUGAGCAACAAAGAAAAGUACAGAGGUCAAUAGGCCACAGGUUAGGUUAGUACCGAUUAUAACCGUGAUUUUUUACUGUGAAUGAGAGUGUUUAGGGGGAAAGAAUGAGGAUUUUAUAAUGGAACAUUAGGGGCAUGUCUUCAGAUUUGAAAAAAAAGUUAUCUCAAAAGAGUAAUCUUUAAAGCUAGAGUAGAUGUUUGCUUCAUUUAGGAAUCAAAAUUCGAAAAGGUUACGAAUGUAAUUCAACUAUUGUAGGGAAUUCAGAAGGUGUAAUUAUAGUAUGGGAUAAAGGCAAGUUUCGAGUAGGUAGUUAUAUAUAUUCUAAACAUUUUGUAGUAGUGGAAGGAAAAUGGUUAGAAGAAGGUUUAGAAGAUAUGUUGAUUAAUGUUUAUGCACCUAAUGAGACUUUAGAUAAAAAAUCUUUAUGGGAGGAAAUUAUAGAGUUGAAGGGUUCGUUUGCCUACUCAUGGAUCAUACGGUGAUUUUAACGCAGUAAGAAAAAUGAGUGAAAGAACUAAUUGUGUGGGACUCUUGAAUGGUUCAAAGGUAUUUAACAGUUUCAUUGAUAAUUGUAAAGUGGUGGAUUUACUUCUGACGGGUAAGAAGUUCACUUGGUUCGGGACAAAUAAUAAAAUGAGUAGAUUGGAUUGAUUUUUAUUGGAUGAACAAUGGUUAAUUCGCUUCAAAGACUUUACUCAGAAAGGCUUUUAUAGACCGGUUUCUGAUCAUAUUUCGUUACUACUAUAUAAUGAUUUUGUGGAUUGAGGGCCAUGCCCAUUCAAUUUUCUUAUUGCAUGGAUCACAAAAAAGGAGUGCACGAAUCUUAUUAAUGAAGUAUGGGGAGGGAAGGGCGAAGCUAAAAUAAGGAUGUCCAGAAAGCUAAAGAGGUUGAAACUGGUUAUCUAAGAAUGGAAUGAAAAAUCUGGUGGGAAUGAAGAUUAAAAAAUAAAAUUGAUUGAAAGAAAAUUUUCGGAAUAGGAUGAUAUUGGCGGCCACAAAAAUUUGAAUGAAAAGGAAAUGGAAGUAGUCGAUUGAAUAUAGAGUUGUGGGAUACAAUUAGGUUCAGUGAAUCAGUGUGACGUCAAAAGUCAAGGUUGUUAUGUUUAAAAGAAGGUGAUUCCAACAUUGCUUUCUUUCAUAAAGUAGUGAAAUUUAGAGCUAACAAAAACGAUUCAAAAGCUCAGAUUUGAGUCUUAUUGGUGCACAGAAUCGGAGUUACUGAAGAAAAAAAUGUUCGAGUACUUUAGCAAUCAUAUUAGUUGUCCAGUUAGAAAAUGAGAAGUGAAGAUGGAUCUGAUUUUGAAAAGAUUAACAGAGGAAGAAGCUUCAAGGCUUGAAAUGCCUUUCAUGAUGGAGGAGAUUAAAGACGCGAUUUGGUGUUGCAAUGAGUCCAAAGCUUUAGGGCCUGGUGGAUUUAAUAUGUUAAGAAAUGCUAGUAAGUGAUAAGGUAGGAUUUAUUCAAUAUGAUGAUGGGGUUAUUUAGACUUGAAAAGCUUGAAAAAAGUAUAAAGUCAUCCUUCAUAUCUCUUAUUCCCAAAACCGAUUUGUUUGUUGGGAUCUUUCUAUAAAAUAGUGGCUAAGUGAUGUCUAAACAAAUCCGAGAGGUGAUUGAUGGUGUAGUGAGCAAUACUCAAUGCGCAUUUAUAAAAGGGAGACAGAUUUUUGACAGAAUUCUGGUAGCAAAUGAAAUUAGUCACUCAAUUAUGAAAAAUUCGAGCUCAGGUGGUAGUUUAAUUUUGAAGCUGGAUUUUUCAAAAGCCUAUGAUUAUGUUAGAUGAUGCUUUUUGGUUCAAAUAGGGUUUGGGGUGAAAUGGAGAGGGUGGAUAUCUAAGUGUGUAUCCAUAGUAAGAGCAACUAUUCUUGUUAACUGAUUGACAACAAAUGAGUUCAGAAUAAGAAGGGGGCUCAGACAGGAGAUCCGCUUUUUCCAUUUCUGUUUAUUCUAGUAACAAAAGUGUUUCACUUGAUGCUUGAGAAGGCUAAAGAUAUUGGGUUAAUUGCUAGCAUUUAGAAUAUAAACCUGAAUCAAUCAUUCUCUCUUCUACAAUUUGUAGAUGACACCAUUCUCUUUGUGAAAGCUGAGGAAGAGUAUGUUCUAAAUAUUAUAUAUUUUAAGGUGUUUUGAAUCUUUUUUUGUCUUAGUAUUAAUUUCCAGAAAUCAUGCUUGGUGGGAUUUGAGAUGAAAGAGGAGUUUCUUUUAUGAAUGGUAGCAUUAUGUCGAUGUAAGAUUGGGAAUUUAGCUUUUAAUUAUUUAGGUAUUCCAUUAGGUGCUGAUCCGAGAAAAAUAGCUACUUGGGAGCCAAUUGUGGAAAAAUUUUCAGAAGAAACUAGCUGGUUGGAAAUAUCAGUCGCUCUCUUUCGUUGCAAGAGUAGUACUAACUAAUUUGUUACUAUCAUGCCUCCCUAUAUAUUUCAUGUCAUUAUUUCAAGCCCCUAUCACAGUAAUAAUUAAAAUCGAUAAAAUCAGAAGAAAAUUUAUGUGGUAAGGUUCAAAUUGUAACACCCCUUACCCGUAUUCGACACCGAAAUAGGAUAAGAGGCAUUACCAAAAAUUACGAAACAUUUACGGAUAAUUCGAGUCAUUUACAAUUCACUAUUUCUUCCUGUCAAUCCCAAUUUCAAAUGACAGAUUCAUGUAAAUGAGUUCAAUAUCAUUAGCUGUUUAAUUUCCGUCACUUAAAUUCAUAUACACAUAAUUUAUUAACAUAACCUGUCAAAACAAUCUCUGAAUGAUGAGAUCACAUAAUUGAACUCAAUUUCACUGUUCAAUAUGUUUUAUUACAUAAGAUUUGCUUAAUAGUUACCACAAUUUGUCAAAUUAGAGAACGUCUUACGGAAUUGAGUACUUCGUUUUCACAUUGCCAUAGUAUAACUAUGGUCUUGCACAUUGUCACAUAUCACACACCGAAGCCAUAGCCCAGCUAUGGUCUUACACUGAAACACAUAUCACACUAAUGCCAUAUCCAGAUAUAGUCUUACACGGAAAUCACAUAAUCAUAUUUUCACAUGUUGCCAUGGUCAAACCAUGGUCUUUUCCGUCAAUUCAUCACAUAUCACUGAACGAAAGUACUCAUUCCUGCGUUCUACUCAAUUUGACCUCUUAGUUCUUUUUUCGUACUUUUACAAUAUUCACACUUUAAAUACGAACAUAUGAAAUGAUUCGUCACUUCUUUCAUUUACUAACAAAUAAUUAUUAAAUUCAGCUAUAUGAACUUACAAUUUGAUUUUAUAACAUAACUAUAAUAAUAAUUUCAUAAUAACUAUUUAAAAUAAAACAUUAUAUCAUUUUCUAGAUCAACGUUUAUCGAUUAUAAUCGGGCAUAUGACCAAUUUAUACACAAGUCAUUCAUAUAUUUUCCUCCUCCUCCUCUCCAUUCCACAUCCUUAAUGUGUAUAACACACUUAAACAACAUUAUCCAUACUUUCACUAUUUCCUUGUAUGUAAAUUCAAAGCUGUCUAUUUGAGUCAGAGUCACUAAAUCAUUUUUAUCCGGAGCUACAAAGCUCCAAAUUAAGAUCCGUUAAUUUUACCCAAAACUAGACUAACAUAUAUACUUACCAUAAAAUUUUCAGAAUUUUUUACUUGGCAAAUUAGUACAUUUUAUUCUUUAAAUUCACCCUUGUUUCACAGCUCAACAUCUCUGUCCUCUCUUUACUAAAAAUGAAUUAUCUCAUUGUACAUAUUUUGGAUGGUUCUCUCGUUUGUUUCUCUUAAAAAUAGACUCAUUGAGGAAUUUAAGAAUGUAAAUUACAAACCAUAAUUAUUUAUUUAAAAUUUAUAGUGAUUUUCCAAAGUUGAAACAGGGGAACUCGAAAUCAUUCUGACCUUGUCUCACAAAAUUAAUUAUAUCUCAUGAUUUUCAAUUCCACUGCUUACACCAUUUCUUCUAUGAGAAAUUAGACUCAAUAAAAUUUAAUUUUAUAUUUUAUUCAUCUUCUAAUUCGAUUCCCACAAUUUUUGGUGAUUUUUCAAAGUUAGACCACUGCUGCUGCCCAAAACUGUUUUAGUGUAAAAUAUUGAUUACCAUUUUGACCCUAAACUUUGAAUACAUGUCAAUUUCAUCCCUAGGUUCAGAAAAUGAAAUUAUUUCAAUUUAAUCCUUGAUCCAAGCCUAAGAAUUCUCAUACAUAUCAAUAACAGCCCAUGGAUUCCAUGAAAUUUCAUAAUUUUUCCACAAUUUCAAUACUUUUCAAUUUAAUCUCUAAAACAUGUUUUCAUCCAAAAUUCUUUAAUAAAACACCUUUAAACAUCCAUUAACAUCUUAAUUUCAUCAUCAAAUAACAAAAAUCAUAUGAACUUAUCAAUGGUAUCUUCCAAAACUUUCAACAAAAUGAGAAACUAAUAGAAUUCUAAGUUGGACCUAAUUGUAAAAGUCUAAAAAUAUAAAAAUUUCAAGGAAAAAGCAAGAAUUAAACUUACUUGAAGCUAAGAUAUGGAAUACCAGCUCUAAACCCUCUUCCAUGGUUGUUUUCCACCGAAAUUUCAAGAAGAAAUGGUCUUGAAAUGCUUAAAAUAAAAUUUGGCUACACAAACUUUAUUGUAAUUCCAAUUUUGUCCUUAAAUACAUAAAAAUAUUUGAUUUUUUAAAUGGUAUGCCAUCUCAGCCACUUAAAUUGGUCCAUUUACUCUUUUAUUCCUUCCUUAUUUAAUUGUUAAGCUAUUUAAUCACUUUAGCAAAUUUUGCAUCUUUUCAAUUUAGUCAUUUUUAAUUAAUUAACUGCCGAAACAUUAAAAUUUUCUGACGAAACUUUAACACUACCAUAUUGACACUCCGUAAAUAUUUUUAUAAAUAUUUACAGCUUAGUUUAUAAUAUCGAGGUCUCGAUACCUCUUUUCCUCAAUUUCUUGACUUAAUAAAUUUUUAUAAAACACAAAUUACUAAUUCAAAAAUCUCUAAAAAAUCAUAUUUGGCUUGUAAUAAAAUUUACGAGCUUAUUUUUUGAAUUUGGUGAUCUCGUAUCACUGUUUUCGAUAUUUCUAAAAAUUGUGCUAUUACACAAAUGAAAGAAGAAAAAUGGAAAAAGUUGGUUGGAAUCAAGUGUGUUUACCAAAAAAAUUGAGAGGGGUUGGUGUGGUAAAUCUUAAAAUUAGAAUUGGGCUCUUAUGGCAAAGUGGGGAUAGAAAUACGCUACAAAAAAUAAUGCUUUGUGGAGAAAAGUUAUCCAUUCGAAGUAUGGCUCGCCUUUGUAACAUUAGGGAUUUAAGACAUCCAAACCAAAAGAGAUGUCGAUUGAAUGGCGCGAUAUUAUGGAAAAUUCAAAAUUAGAGGGAGUGUCAAAAUAGAUUGGGUCAGAAUCUUUUAGGUGGGUGAUUGGGAAUGGGAAAUCGUUCCUCUUUUGGAAGGAUAUUUGGUGUGGUAAUUGCCCGCUGGAGGUGGAGUUUCCUAAGUUGUUCAAACUUGCUAUUGUGAAGAAUAUUGUGGUCAAUAAUGUAGCAAAGAAUAAUGGGUUUCAGGAGGUAUAUUGGGGAGGACGUUUUCUCAAGGAAGUUGCUGGGUAAAGAGGUAAUUAUGUUGAACAAUUUGAAGAAUUUGAUUAGGAGUUUUGAACUAGAUCCUAAAGUGGAGGAUUGUAUCAUUUGGAUUCAUGAUAGUGUCAGAGAGUUUACAGUUAGGAAAUUGUCUCAAUUGUUGUCUUAUGAUGGAAUGAGAGCUAUUGAUUUCCCAUUUGAAAGGAUUUGAAAAUUAAAGGUACCACCAAGAGUCUGAAACUUUCUGUUGAUGUUGUUUAUUAAGAGUCUUGCAACAAAGGAUUUUCUGAUUAGCCAGUGGGUGAAUCUGGAUAGGAGUACAAAAAAUAUUGUGGUGGAUUUCGAUUUCAGCGUUAUGUUGGACCGUGUGGUUAGCUUGGAACGAUAAAGUGUUCGAUAGGACAUCGACGAAUCUAGAUACAAUAUUGUACCACUCUAAAAUGAGAGCUUUGAUGUGGGCUAAGGCAGUGCAAGAAGAAUGUCAAUUUUAGGAAGGUUAUUGGUGGUAUUGGCCAGCGAAAUUUAGCUCCUAAAAAAGCAUGGCAAACAUUGAUGUUUACCAUUGGAAGCCACCUCCUCUCGAAUGGAUGAAAUUCAAUGUGGUUGGUUUUGUUUUGAAGGAUGAAGCAGGUUGUGGUGAGUUUUUGAGAGAUGAUAAAGGAGUGACUUGUAUGGUUUUCUCGAGGCGGAUCAAAGCCAGGGGAGCAAAAAUGGCAGAAGUAAUAGCAAUUAAAACAAUAAUGGAUAUGGAUAUUAGAUCGAGUCCAAAGGCAGAUGUUCCAUUAAUAAUUGAAGUAUGCUCGUUUGUUGCUUUAGAAUAGCUGACAAAUAAGAGUUAUAGACCGUGGUUGUUACAAAAAUUGUUUGGUGACAAAGACUAUGGCAUUAAAUAGUUGGCUCAAUUUCAGAUCACAGUUAUUCAUCGACAAAGUAAUGGUAUGGAGGAUGCUUUGGCGAAAGCAGGUAUAUCAAGAUCUUCCUUUUUUAAAGCCUUGUGGUGAAUUUGUUAAAUGUAUCCUUUUGCUUGUUGUGCGGAGGUUUUUGUAUCUGGUUGUCUGUUGUAUUAUUGUCGUAUUCUUGCUUUUCUUAAAACAGUUGGUGGUUCCAAUGUCUUUCUUGAAUUAUUUUAUUCGAUUGAGCAAAAAAAAACUUUAAAUUAUAAUACUUUAGAAAUUCAUAUUAUUUGUUUAUAUUAAAUUAUAAAGUGAAAAUUUAAAACUUAAAAAAUACUACAAACCUCUACAAUUCGUACAUUUAAACAUGGACUUCUAAAACUUGAUAGCAAACAUAUAUGUAGAAAGUAUUAAUUAGUGGAAAACUUAUGUCUUUUCACUUAGUUUUGCAUGCAAUAAAUUUUAUGAUUUUUUUACAUGAUACUAUAAUAUAACAAAGUAAAAUUAAAGAUAAUUGAAAUGUGGAUAAAUUUGAUGUGAAAAUGGGGAUAAUAAAAUUAUAUAUUUUAAGUUAUCAUUAGGUUUUAAAUUAAGUGUAUAUAUUAUCUAGAUUUAAGUUCUAACAUGAUUUUUUUAUUAUAUUAAUUAUAAGAUGAAUCAGUAUGUAAAUAACAUUAAAUAAUUAAUAAAACAUAAAUCAAAUCAAAAUAGUAGGUAAAAAUAUUUUAGUUGAUUUGAUUUGAGUCGAAUAUUUUAUGUUUGAUGAUCAACCGAUUAGUUUGAUCUUUAAAAACUUGAGUUCCCCAAACGUAUGUUUACUUUUAACCUUUUAAUAUAAAAAUAAAAGUUAAAAUAAAUAAUAAAAGAAAAACUAAUCAGAAGAAGAAUUUUCAUUUUUAAAUAAAAAUGAGCUUUCCUACAAAAUAUUUGGUGGAAAAUUCAUUAAGAAAGGAUAUUGUAUGAAUGUACCACAAAAUUAAUCGCAUUCCCUUUGAUUAGAAAAGUAUUAAAAAGAUAAAAAAAACAUCAUAUCCAAACUCCAGUUGCGCCAUUGUCAUUUUGGAAGCGGGUAAUUUUUAAUAUUUCUUUUUGCUAUCUUAUUAACAUUUGAUUGCUUGCAAUUGGUGGCUACUCGUUUGGCUCCUUCACUUUUGUUAUCUUAGGUAACGUUAAUGGAUCUUUAAUCAUUUAGUUUUGGGGUUAUGAAAUGCUAGUGGUGUGCUAUUUUUUAUUCGUUAAUUGUUUAGUUCUACGUUUAGGUGAAGCUCAUGAGAUGUUUGGCACUCAUUCAACAUCGUAGUUUUGUAUGGUUACGGUUUGAUUAAUGGUAAGACUGUGAAAUAAUUUUGGUAUUGGAAGAGUUUAAUUCUUAAUUGCCCCGUGCCUCGUUAAUGUUAUAAUCAUUUUAUUUGUUGUAUUAGGGUCUUAGAGGUCUUGUGGUUCGUUCCCAUUAAAACCGAACCAGGUGGGUAACGAGAAACCUAAAAAUCAGUAAACUACAAAAGGUGGGUAAUGAGAAACCUGAAAAUCAGUAAACUACGAAAGCUGAAAUUGAGGCCUGUUAACGCCACACAGUCUUGGCCAUUUUGGGUCGUAUAGGCCACAUGAGCAUGUGUGGACCACACGAACAAGGCUAAUUUGGGCCGUGUGAGCUAUACGGACGUGUGGACUCAAAUUUCAAAAUUUUUCCCUAGGGUCGUACAAGUCGUCUCGAUUGACUGUGAGCCCUCCAUAUUAAGUAGAGGAAGUGUUCUGUGUGAGGCAUUAACUCGCCAUUAUACUAACAUUUGUUUGAUGAUUAGAUUCUAUUAGCUGAGUUGCAAGUUAAGCCAACUUAGAUUGAUCAGAUUCUGGAUAAACAAUUUAGGGAUGAUUCUCUGGUUCUGCGAUUCUGUUAGGUAGAAGAUGGUAGUACAUCUGAUUUUGGGCUAAAUAGUGGUAGGGUUCCGUGUUUCCGAGAACAGGUUUGUGUACCUAAUGAUUUUGAUUUGAGGCAGUCCAUUCUGAGGAAAGUGUAUAGUAGCCCUUAUGCUUUGCAUCCUAGUGGAAAUAAGAUGUAUCGAGAUCUUCGUGUUCUAUACUAGUGGCAUGUUUGAAACGGGAGGUAAAAAAUUUUAUUUUUUGUUGUCUGAACAUGCCAGCAAGUUAAGGCUAAGCACCAGUUGCCUUCGGGUUUCCUUCAACCCGUUAAGAUUCCCAUGUGGAAAUGAGAACAUGUGACUAUGGACUUUGUUAGUAGGUUACCCCUAACACUUCCUAAGAAGGAUAUUAUGUGGGUCAUCGUAGGUCAAUUAUACAAGUUUGUCGACUUUAUUCCUGAUCGAACAGAUUAUUCUCUUCAAAAGUUGGUCAAAUUAUAUGCUUUCGAGAUUAUGAGACUUCAUGGGGCACCUGUCUCAAUUAUUUCUGAUAGAGAUUCUCACUUCACUUUUUAAUUUUGGAGGAAACUUCAUGAGGCUCUAGGUUCGAGGUUGGACUUCAGUACUGUGUUCCAUCCUCAGACAAUGGUCAAUCUGAGUGAGUGAUUCAGAUACUAGGGGAUAUGCUUCGGAGUUAUGUAAUUGAUUUUCGACGUAGUUGAGAUGAUUUUUUACCGUUAGCCGAGUUCACCUACAAUAACAGCUUUUAGUCUAAUAUUCAGAUGGCGCCUUACGAGGCUCUAUAUAGUCGUAAGUGUCAUACUCCUCUAUGUUGGACUGAGUUAGGUGAGCGACGGGUUUUAGGUCCUGAGUUGGUUUCUGAGACUGAGGAUAAAAUUAGACUAAUUUGGGAUCAUUUUAAAGUGGCUUCUGAUAGAUAGAAGUCCUAUGCAAAUAUGAAAAGAGGGACAUUGAGUAUUCCGUGGGUGACUAUGUGUUCCUUAGUGUGUCUCCAUGGAAGAAAGUUCUACUGUUUGGACGUAAGGGCAAGUUGAGCCUAGGUUCAUUGGGCCCGUAUCGAAUUUUGAAAUGUACGGUAUUAGACAUGUAUUAGUUAGAGCUAAUUUUAAAGUUAGACCGUUUCCAUGAUGUGUUUUACGUCCCUAUGUUGAGGCGGUAUCAGUCACACCCAUCUAAUAUUGUUUCUGUUGAAGAGAUUGAGGUUAGACUAGAUUUAACUUUUGAUGAGGAGUCGAUUUAGAUUUUGGAUUGGGAUGUGAAAGUCUUGAGGAGGAAAUCUAUUCUAUUAGUUAAGGUUCUGUGACGGAAUCAUGGCGCAGAGAAAGCCACUUGGGAACCUGAGGACUCGAUUCGUCAGCAAUAUCCACACCUGUUUGAGUUAGGUAAAUUUCGAGGUUGAAAUUUCUUUUAGAGGGGUAGAGUUGUAAUGAUCCCAAAUAUUUAAUUAUUGCUCUGAUAAAAUUCGUCAUAGUUAAAUAAUUGCUUCAAUGGUUAAGGGCCUUGGGUGUAAAGGGUGGGUCGUGAGUUCAAGUCUUUGGGAGAGUCUUUUGCUAAGUAAUUUUUUGUUAUGUUGUUGAGUAGAAUUUGAGUUAAAGUUUAACUCAAAGAAUGGGGGGGAUAUUUGUUGCUUGAUUAUAGGGAUAGGAGGUGGGUAGUUGUGUUGGUUUAAAUUUUAAGUUUUAAUUUAUUUAAAAACAAAAAGAAAAACUUCUUCCCUCAAACCCAGAUUUCCACUUUCUUUCUUUUCUUGUUUUUAUUUUUUUUCUCUCUUCUUGCUUCACUGUCAUUUUGGAAGUGGGUAAUUUUUAAUCUUUCUUUUUGUUAUCCUAUUGACAUUUGAUUACUUACAAUUGGUGCCUACUUGUUUGGCUUAUUCACUUAUGUUAUCUUAGGUAAUGUUAAUGGAUCUUUAAUCGUUUAAUUUUGGGGUUAUGAGAUGCUAGUGGUGUUAUUGUUUUAUAUUAGUUAAUUAUUUAGUUAUGCGUUUAGCUAAAGGUCGUGAGAUGUUUGGCACUCUUUCAACAUCGUAGUUUCAUAUGGUUGUGGUUUGAUUAACUGUAAGACUAUGGAAGAGUUUUGGUGUUGGAAAAGUUUAAUUCUAGAUUUCCUUGUGCCCUGUUACCAUUAUAAUCAUUUUAUUUGUUGUAUAUUGGUCUCAAAAGUCUUCUGGUUGCAUUCCCUUCGAAAUUGAACCAAAAGGGUAACGAGAAACUCAAAAAUCAGUGAACGGCGAAAGCCAAAAUUGAGGCCUAAAAAUGCAUGUAAUGUGAUGUGAUAUGUAUGAUAUGUUAUUUAUAGGCAUGUUCAAUAUUUGUCAUAUGAGCAUGCAUGAUAUGUAAACUCUGGCCUCUGCUAUUUCUAUUAUUUUCAGUGUUUUGUUCAUAUCUGGUUAUGGGGCAGGUUAUGUAUUAUGUGGAGGAAGUGUUCUGCAUAAGGUGUUAACUCGCCAUUAUACUAGUAGCACUACUGCGAUUAUUCUGAAAAGUGUCAUAAGGAUACUAAGUGGUGUGUAGGGAUAGGUGGGUGUUUUAUACCCCACAUGGUGUGCUAGGAUGGUCAAAGCUGAUGUGUAAAGGAUGGGGGUAGGAUUAUAUUUAUCUGCACUAAUACUACUCUUAUACAAUUCUAAUUCUGUAUAAGAAAUAUGAUUAUAUCUGUUCUUUUAUGUGAUUAUAUUUGAAUUUCUGUUUCUUUUGAGUUACACACUAAGUUAUAAAAACUCACACUUUGUUUGUCUGAUAAUUUUAGGUAACCCUCAGAAUGAGGCAGGUUGGUUCGACGGGAGCUCGGUUAUGUCCACAAUUUUGUAAAACUUUAUUUAAAUAAAUUUGGCUUAUUUAAAAUUUUCGAUUUGAGAGUUUUGUAAUUUUUGGACUCUCUAGACAUUUAGGUUUGUUAUUGGUUUGGAUUUUGUUUUGGGUUUUUUCUUGAAAUUUGAUAAAAUGAUUUUUUUUUGAAAAACGGCUAUGUUUCUACGAUUAACUGUUUUUAAGAAAACAAACUCGAAUUUUUAAAAUAUAACGCUUUAAGAACUUCCGCUGCAACUUAUUUGAUUUAAUUUAGGAAAUGAAAUCAACUACCGGUUUUAACUAUUAAGUAUGUCAAACGUUUUUCAAUUAAAAUGGACUUUUAACGUUUUUCAAUUAAAAUGGACUUUUAAAUUAAAUAGCAAAGGUUCACGACAUUUUUCAAAAAUCGAAAGUUAGAUUUAUAAUUAUUUUACGCAAUAUUCCAGAUUCAGCCAUAAUGUCUAGGCUGAGUUUUAAGUGCUACGACAUUGCUUGAACCAAAAAUAUUCAUAAUCUCCACAAACAAAUUGCAAAGAGUAUCGACAUCUAAAAUCAUGUCGAAUGCAUUAAGGGAUUUGAUGAAGCAUAAUCCUUUAGGGCAAUGCACUAAAAGAUUGGUUAAUGACUUUUGUUCCAAAUCUUUCUACCCACCUCUCAUUGUGGUGCAUCCACAUUUCACCCAAAUCCUUUUGUAGAAUUCAAACAGCCAUAAAUCCCUUUUUUGAGUACUCUAGUAGAUUGGUUAACAAUGCAUAAUAUGAUAGAGCUUUCUAUCCCAAUCCUAUAGAUGCCAGCUUUCUAUCCCAAUCCUAUAGAUGCUAUGGCAUCAAGGCGCAAUUCAAACUUUGCAAGACCCUUUUGCAUUUCUUUGAUAUUUGAUUGAACUUUUUAAAAGUCUAUUUGGGUGAGAGAUUGGGAAGAAAACUUUCAUUUCUUGCAAAGUUUUAGAAAAUAUUCUGAACAUAUAUUUACUUUUUGGGGUAAACAUAAUAAAUUUUUAAGAAAUUUUAAAAAGGGUUUUGAAUAACCCAAAAUCCCCAUUCAAAUUCCAGAGAUAGUUUUUCAAAUUUCCAUUCAUUUAAUACAUGUGAUCUCACAGUGAAAUAAAAAAAAAGGCUAGCAUUUUGUACAUAUGCAAUGUACUUUUUUAUUUCAAGCAUCCUUAAAAAAUUAUCAUGUGUCUCUUUUUUAAAAUUAUAAACUUUUUGGGUAUGCAUUUGGUAUACUUGUAAUAUUUUUUUCCACAAGCAGUAUUGAAAAAUUGACAAGUCUCUUUUUAUGAAUAUCUAUUUUUUAAUAUUUUACUAUACUUGACACUUGUCAACUCUCUAAUCCUGCUUGUGAAGUCUAAAAACUACACUGAUGGUAUAUCAAAUAUUUUAUAUAACUUUAAAAUGUAAUAUUUGUUUAAUUUCAAUAUUUUUAUAUUUUAUAUUAUUAAAAGUAUUUACAUAUUUUUAUGAAUGUAAUGAUAUCCAUCUUGCAUAUUUUCAUAUUAUUUUUCUUUUAUAAUUAUUUUUUAACUUAUUAAAUUUUAUUAACUUUAUUUUUUUUAAAAAUUAUUUUUCGAAACCAAAAAAUUAAAAAUAUUAAAGGAUGUAUUUUAAAAUGGUAGCAUUUUUAAAGGCUUGAUAAAUUUAAAUUUUCAAAAUGUUUUAUCCACCCUAAAAGAUGAAAAGAUGAAGCAUGUAAUUGUAGUGGCCCGAAGCGACGGCAAAGGAGACCAAGACGAAGGGGGAAAUGAGUGAUGAGAUCACUUACCAAGUCUUUUCUUUUGGAAUUUUCGCCAUUUAACUUAGUGGUAAUUAUCUGAUAGUGACUAUUCAAUUCCCUUUGGUUCAUAUGAAAUUUACUUUUAAAAUUAUUAUUUUCCUCUACUUGCACAAGGAAUAUAUAUAAUACUAAAUUAGCACAAUAAUAAAUAAAAUCAGUAAAAGAAGUGAAAUCCAUCUUCAUAUAGUGGAUUCCGUUCUCGUAAUCAAAUCAUAAUCUUUGAGAAAAUUAGAAGAUUAAUAAAAUAAUUUAUUUAUAUUCAAACUUAAAUAAAGAUAAAAUAUGAAUACAUACCCAAAAUAAAGAUAUUUAAUUAGAAAAUAUGAAUCCGUAACUAUACAGUUCUUACAUUUAGACAUAGACAUCUAAAACUUGAUAGCAACCAUACAUGUACAAAGUUCUAAUAAGUGGAAAACUUAGGUCUUUUCACUUGGUUUUGCUUGCAGUACUAGUAGAUUUUAUGAUUUUUUUUUACAUGAUAAUAUAAUACAACAAAGUGAAGUUAAAAGUAAUUGAAAUGUGGAUAUAUUUGAUUUGAAAAUAGUGAUAAUAAAAUUAUAUAUUUUAAGUUAUUAAUGUUGAUUAGGUUUUUAAAUUAAAUGUUAUAUAUAUAUUAGCUACGAGAUCUAAUCUGAAUUUUUUAUUAAUUAAUUAUGAGAUGAAUAAAGAUGUCCUAUGUAAAUAAUAUUAAAUAAUUAAUCAAACAUAAAUCAAAUCGAAGUAAUUGGUAAAAAUAUUUUAGUUUAAGUUAAUUUGAUUUGAUUUGAAUAUUAUGUUUGAUGAUAAAUUAAUUAGUUUGAUCUUUAAAAAAUUGAAUUCGUAAGCAUGUUUAUUUUGUUUUAAUUAAAAAAUAAAAGUCAGAAAUAAAUAGUGAAAGAAAAAGAAGAUUUUUCACUUUUAAAUAGAGAUGAAUUUCCAUCAAAAUAUUUUGUGGAAAAUUUGUUAGGAAAUAAUAAUUGUAUGAAUGUAACACAAAAUUAAUUGCAUUCUUUAUUAACAUUCCAAUUGUCUUAUUAAAAAGUACAACACAUUGAAUAAUCUUUGUUAACAUUCCAAUUGUCUUAAUCAUCACAACUGUACAUGUUGACUAACAAUCUUCAUCAUCACCAAGUAAUUACUCCAAAAUUUGUCUAAACUAAUAUUAAAAACAUUCUAUACAUUCAAGACCCAUUCUAAGCAAUAAACUCCUUGGAAGUGAUCAUGGCUUGCAAGUGACUCUUAUAAUCAUGCAAAUUCUUCAUUAAUAAAAUUAAUAGCAAAACAUUUCUCACUAGGACAACAAUUAACCCAAAAUCCAUUUGUGAUUGUCGAAACCAUUUUUUAUUGAAUUUGAACAACGGGAAUUGACUUUGAAAAUAGAGUCGCCACCAAUCUUUUAUUGAGGUGUGAUCAAAUCACCUUAAAAAUGAUUUUUGGUCUACGAAUUUUGAGAAAACAAGUCCGGAAGUCGGUUACGCACGAGGAAGUGUUAGCACCCUCGUGACGCCUAAAAUUGGUACCGAAUUGAUUGUUUAAUGUCUUAGUGUCGAAACUUGAAAAGAUUUUUAAAUACGAUCCCAUGAAAUGAAAACUUAAAUAAUUGAAUUGGCUAAAUAGACGGGGACCCAUUUCAAAUAAAUAAACUGUCACACUCAGUUAGUUAGAGUACAAUAGUUCAAUCUUCGAAGUUAGAUUUGUCCUUUUUUAAUUUUUUUUAAAAACCAUAUUGUAGAGCCCAAAUAUGCCCGGGCCCAAUAAAAUUAAAACCCAAGACCCAAACAUCAAGCCCAAAAAUACCAACAGCCCAGCAAGCCCAAAGCUUAACAAAAUUUCAGCCAAAUCAAAAAUCAAAACCCUAGCCGCAUAGCAGCCACCAGCAAGACCCCAGCCGUCGCACGUCUCGGGACUGGCCUCCUCCAUGCGCGCCGUUUUCCCCCACGUUCGCCUGCAAAACGGACUCAAGGAGUCCCAUAGAGAGGAAACAGUAAAGAAUAAUAGCAAAAUCGGGACAACAGUUUGAUUUUUUUUGGCUAUAUAAAGGCUGAUUCUUAUUGUAAAAAUGGGGGGAGGGAAACUUUUGUUUUUUCAGUGUGAGAGAUAUACAAGAAAUAAAAAGAAAUACUGAGGAAAAAAUUUCUUGAAGGUGAAUUGGGUUUUUACAUUUUCUAUUCUGUUUAUUAUUAUUUUAUUUUGUUUUCUAAAGAAACGGUACAAAAGAGGAAAGGGAUAAUACCUUCGAGGAUUGGCCGUUGAACCACGUUCGCCUUGCUCAGAUCGGAGUUUGGCGGUGCGCUGGGAAUUGGCUCGCCUGAGAAUGGCGGCAGUGGGGGUUGGGGGUUAAAAGAAACCCUAGCAAAGAACUUUUUUUUUCUCUGCUGCAAAUGCUCUGUUUUUUUUAGAAAAAAAACUGCUUUAAGUAAAGACACCGAAACGGUGUCGUUCGGCUGAGGCAGGCCCGCGCGGUGACCCGACCCGGAGGGGAGGAUCCGCGCGUCUUGGGCCUAGAUGGUACAUUUCGCGUUUGGUCCCUGAGUUUUUAAAAGUGUGUUUAAAUCAAUUUCUUUGUUUCUCUUAAAUUUGGCCACGCGCUUUAUUUCCGUUUCAUUUGGAUCCCCAUUGAAACGCAACAUUUUAGGGAAAAGGGUUAAUAUCCCAUUUGAUCCCCCUCUGUUCUGUGCGUGUUCAAUAGGGUUCCUAUAUUUGUAUUUAUUCCAAAUUUGCUCUUAAAUUUUCUUGAGUUUCAAAUUAGUCAUUCUGUUAUUAUUAUUAUUAUUAUUAUUAUUAUUAUUAUUAUUAUCAACAUGUAUAUUUUUAAAUGCCCAGCCUCAUUAUAUGUACAUGUAUGCAUUUUUAAUAUAUAUAUAUUUUUUAAGUUUUAUACGCAGGCAUAUAUUUCGUUCUUACAUUUUCAAAAUUUCUUUUGUAUAGUUUUUUUUUGUUUCUUUUUUUUGUUUCAUAUGUUUUAUAUGUUAUACAUACUUACACAUUUCUUUAUUUUGUAAAUAUAGAUAUACAUAACUUUAUAUAUAUAUUUUUCACAUGUACAUAUUAUAUUUUAUUUGUUAUUAUUUUAUUUUCACCAUUCUCAUAUCUUAUAAUGCAUAUACAUUUUAUAAUUUAAAGUUCACAUAUAUUUUCUAUAAUAUAUUUACGUAUACGUUUUUCCUUUAAAAUCAUUAAAUAUUUUAUUGUUUCUAUAAUCUGCUAUUUUAUGUACAUAUACAUGUAAUUUUUGUAAAAUAAACAUACAUAUUUUCUUAGAAGUUAUUAUGGGUUUUACAUAUUUCAUUGUUUUUAUAAGUAUACCUAUAUGUAAGUGUUCUAUUAUGCAUACACGUAUUUCCAAAUUUACUUACAUGUUGUACGUAUUUAUGUAUAUAUACAUUUGUUGUAUAUAUAUAUAUAUAUUUAGCUCAUGUUAAAGUAUUUGUUUUAUGAGGUAUAUUAACUUUUUUAUCAUUUUUUCUAAAAAAGGGAAAAUAUAUUUGGUUUUGUCAAUACAUCAAAAUUAUUUUCUCUCGAUUCAAAGUUUUUUUUGAAUAAAAGCAUUAUUCGAAGUUUGGGGUUUUCAAGGGAAAUUGAGCCCUAACGUAUUGAGUUUUGAUUUUCUUUGUUAAUCUUAAAUAACCGAAGAUAUUCUUUAUUCAAAAUGCAUAAGCAUAAAAAUCAUUUUUGGGAACUUAACCUGUUGUGCCCUAACGUAUUGGGUGUGGCAUGUUACUUUCUCAAAGUGAAGAUUUUCGUAUAAAAUAAAAGUGAUAUUCAAGUUUGGGGAUUAUGAGGAAUUGUACCCUAACGUAUUGGGACUCGAUUUCUUUACAUGACUUGAACAAUUGAUUAUCCUUUUGUCAAUUUCACCAUUCAAGCUUAUUUUAAUAUCUUUUUUAACUUUCGACACAAAGACAUUAAAUAGUCAAUUUGGUACCGAUUUUUGGGUGUUACGAGGGUGCUAACCCUUCCUCGUGCGUAACUGACUCCCGAACCUGUUUUUAAAAUUCGCAGACCAAAAUGAUUUUUGAGGUGGGCCGGUCACACCUUAAUAAAUGAUCGGUGGCGACUCCAGUUUUAUUUUUUAACGUCGACAACUUAAAUUUUUGUUUUCAAAAAAACGGUUUCGACAGCUUGGCGACUCACUGGGGACAUUUGAGAGUCGAGCCAUAAACUGAUUAUAUUUGCCUUUGUGUCGAAAAUCAAAAGUUUUAAAAAAUUCAUGAGUUCCCUUCGCAUUUAUUGUUUUUUUUUUCAUGUUGGUAUGUUGGUAGUUUUGCAUUUGCAUUUUGCAUUUUACCCUUUAAGUGGGAGCGAGAAACUAGUCCUUCGUGAGGUUUUCACCUCCGUGCAGGGUAGUGGACCGCUUCCGGGAUACAUCCGUACCUAUGUCUUCGUGAGAUUUUCAUCUCCGUACAGCCAUAGGGAAAUGUAUUCCCCUGAACUGAACUCGAUUCAUAUGAGCCUAUAAUGGGUGAUGAUCGAGGAAUCUGCUGGUUCGGGUACCUUUACCUUAGUAGCCAAACCGCAUAUAGUGAACCUUAGGAACUUACCCUAGGUAGAAUUACUCUAAACCUUAGUAGAUACCUGACUAGGAGUUUUUAUUAUUUCUUGAUUGUAUUGGAUUUAAUGUUUAUACCCGAUACUAACCCGUUUUGUUUUGUUUUGGUUAUGAUUGCAUUGCAUUUGCAUUGUAGAAAAGAGAUGUUGAUUCAAGUUUGAUUACUAAUUUAGAAAGCCUAUCAUAAGAAAACAGGUUUCUUGAUAAAAUGGAAAAUAGUACGGCAGCCUGAAUAUAUUCCAAGAAAUACAAGAAGGGCGAUGGAAGAAUUCGUGACUUUACUUUAGGGCCCGAGGAUUCAAGAUGAUUUGUCUAAGAGCUUUCAACAUUCCAAAUUUCUUAAAGAAGCUAAUGAGCAUUACGGGGAUAGGUAGACAACGGAUUGCGACCAGAAUCAAGCAGAAGGAGCUAGCAGUGACAUCCAUUGGAAGUUCGCGAGGUUUAUCUUAACAUCCGGAUGAAAAAGGAGAAGAUAUCUUUGUUUCGAGUAUGAGGGAAAAGCCGUAUAUAUAUCCGCUUUAUGUAAAGAAAUUUGUCCUCUAGUAAGGUUUUCUAAAUGGAAUUGAAUCAGAAUCAACGUCUCUUUAUGCAUUCAUUUCAUGCAUUCGCAUUUCAUUACAUCAUAUGCAUCAAAGAUUAUUCAAAGAUACUAAUUAACUAAAAUCAUUGCUCAGUUAACCUGGAAUCCAACCAACCAACCCAACACCGAUACGGCACUCGAGCAAAGACAAAAGAUAUGGAUCAGAGAUUAGAAAAGCUCAAACAGUACCAGAAGGAGAUGCAAGAUCGGCUUCAGCUACAAAUGCAGGAGCGGCUAGACAAGAUGAAACAAGAGAUGUCUGAGAAGAUGCGAGAAUCCCAAGAAGAUAUAGUGGCAAAGUUAACCCGACUGAUAACUAAGGGAGGUGACAAAGGAAAGGGCCCCAUGGCAGAUGUCGAUGAAGGAAAUGAUGAUGAACUUUUCUAUCCUCCAGGUUUCACCCCUCCACAUGAGCGAGCUCAAGCUGAAUACCCACGCAAAUCAACUGUCACCAUCAUGCCUCAGCAAUUUCGAACUGGUGUUUCGAACCUCCAAACUGGGCUGGGUUUUAAUCUCGAAAAUAACCCCGUGAACCCCGCCAUUCCGGACUUUGACGAAGUGGCUGAGAAGGAAAGAAUAAAGGUGGAAUUACCGAAACAGUUAGAGGAUCGAUGCAAGUGGCUCGAGGAGAAGUUCAAAGCGAUGGAAGUCACUGAAAGUUAUCGAGGCAUUGAUGCAAAAGAGCUGAGUUUAGUGCCAGAUCUUGUUCUCCCUCAUAAGUUUAAGAUGCCUGAAUUCGAGAAGUACAAUGGGACGACUUGCCCAGAGGAUCAUAUCACCAUGUUCUGCAGGUGAAUGGCUGGAUACGUUAAUAAUGACCAGCUAUUAAUACAUUGCUUCCAAGACAGCCUUGCAGGGGCAGCAUCCAAGUGGUACAAUCAGUUGAGUCGAGCUACGAUUGGUUCAUGGAGGGACUUGGCGCAAGUAUUCAUGAAACAAUAUAGUCAUGUGACAGACAUGGCUCCUGAUAGAAUCACCCUUCAAAACAUGGAGAAGAAGCCGAGCGAAAGCUUUAGGCAGUACGCACAGAGAUGGAGGGAGGUCGCGGUCCAAGUUCAGCCGCCGCUCUUGGAAAAGGAAAUGACUAUGUUGUUUAUUAACACACUAAAAGCCCCAUUCAUUACGCAUAUGUUAGGAAAUGCUACAAAAAGCUUUCCUGACAUAAUUAUGAAUGGUGAAAUGAUCGAAAAUGCGAUAAGAAGUGGGAAAAUUGAUAUAGAGGAGAGUAACAAGAGGUAAGUCUCAAAAAGAAGAGAAAAUGAGGUGAACAACACGGGUUACUCUAAAUCAGUUACUGUUCAGCCAAGAAAGGUGGUUGGUAAUCAACAAAAUCCAUCGAGGCAAGAUUCCGGCAUAAAGACUGAAAAAUUCCAGUUUACACCAAUCCCAGUACCGUAUAAGGAACUGUAUCAAAAUUUGUUUGAUGCACAUGUUGUUUCCCCUUUUCAUGUGAAGCCUCUACAACCUCCGUAUCCCGAAUGGUAUGAUGCGAACACACAAUGUGACUACCACGCGGGAAUUACGGGACACUCGAUUGAGAAUUGCACUGCCUUCAAGAAGCAAGUUGAAAGACUUAUCAACAUGGGUAUUAUCAAGUUUGGUGACUCAUCUAACGCAGGAAAUCCGCUACCCAAUCAUGAUUGAGGAUGGAGGGACUGCAAUAUAUGAAGAAGUGGUGAGAAAUUUGCACAUCGAUGCCAUAUAUGCAGACACAAUUUAAAGGGUCAUUGUUAGAUAUUUUCCUUAGAGGUGUUCUAAAUAAUGAGACUGCGGAGGAAACCCCUGAAGUAUUUAGAGUCUGUUAGAGUAAUGUUCAGAACACACUUGUUGCUUUCAGCCUAGAAGCAAUAAGGAUUUCUUUGUGAAAUAAGCUCACGUCUGAACAUUAUUAUUUUAAUGAAAUACAUUAUUGCAAUCAUCUUUGAGCAAAUGUUCUUUCAUUCUUUACAUUUUUUUCAUUUUUUUUGGAUUUUUUCUGCCAAACCAUUCAUUCAUAUUAUUCAUACAUUCUUUUGUAUAUUCACGGAUACCUGCUAUGGGUCCCCAGAUAUCAAUGUCAUGAGUAAUGCUGCUACAGACUCAAAAUUUCCUUUUGAGUGAGACAUGUGUUUAGAGGGGUCUCAUGACUUUGAAGAUAACAUAGAUUGUAGCUUAUCUCCAGACUUGAGGAGGGUGAUAGAAUAAGAGGAUAGACAGAUCCUACAUCACAAUGAAUUAUCAGAAAUUGUGAGCUUGGUGAAGAUUGGAAUUGACAUGAUCACAAAGACGAGGCGGGACCUUAUAGAGCUACCACAAGAAUUCAAUGAUGUCUUCACAUGGUCUUACCUAGAUAUGCUCGGGUUAAGCACUAGCUUGUAAUCUGAAUAACAGCAUGAUGUUAGAAAUGGGCAGUAGGUUCAACAUCGAUGCUAUGAACGAUGUAGUAAACUUUCUUUGCUCGGGCAAUAUCCUCCUAUUUGGCUUAUCAUAGCUUUACUCAUUGAAGUCGAAUUGUCAUUUCUCUACAUUUUAUCCUAAGAGGAAGACCCGAAGGUCCGUCCCAAAGAAUUUGACAAGAGGGAACUAAUGUUGAAAAAGAUCCUUCCUAUACAAAAGGAUUUUAGAGGAAGAUAGAGGCCAAAUUAGAAGGGUCUAUAUGUUAUAAAGAAAGCCUUUUUUGGAGAAGCUUUGAUCUUGAGUGAGAUGGAUGGUAAAAAUUUACAAAGUCCUGUAAACUCAGAUUCAGUCAGGAAAUACUCUGCUUAAAAAAGGUGGGACCAAGGUGAAAGCCUACAAAGGGCGCUUUGAGUCAAAAAAAAAAGAGACCAGGGUGAAACCCUACAAAAGGAGCCUUGAGUAAAAAAAAAGGAGAGGCUAAUGUGAAAACUCGCAAAGGGCGCCUUAGACCAAAGGGGAUUUGAGUUGAAAACCCGAAAAAGGGCAGCUCAAAUGUUGAUCAGAAUGGGGCAUGAAGUAAUCAGAGCAGCUCAAAUACUGAUCAGAAUGGGAUAUACAGUGGUCUUGCUAUACCAGAAUCAGCAGGAAAGGGUAUGCGACAUCUUGGGGCAUCGAUAGAGUAUGAUAGAUCUCCUAAACACAUGUUAAGCUCAAAAUCGUCUUCAGAAAGUUUGUACAGAGAAGUUCAAGCUGCGAUGUCUGGGGCACCUAAUCUUUAUACCGUUUUUGCUAUUUUUGGAACACUUCAUUCAUUGCCAAGAUACACAUUCCUAAAUCAAUUUCUUUGUUAUCCAUCUUUAUUGUCCUUGAUAAUUUAUUCAUUUCGAGCUAUGCUCAGAGCCAACUCUAUUCUUAUCCAUGAUCUUUUUGCAAGCAUGUUGCAUUAGAAUAAUGGUUAAUAGACUAAUAAAACUUUCACAAGGGAAGUUUUGCAUAUUACUCUAGAAGUUUCUAAAUAAUGCAGGAACCUGAAACAGGACUAUUGUUUAGAAUGCACCAGGUUGGAAAUCUAAUAAGGAAAUGUCUAAAUUCAGACUAUCCCUUUAAAUUUUGUUACCUAAAACAUCGAUUGGACAAAAUGGCAAUGUGUCAUGUUGGUGACAAGGCUUCAAUGAACAAGCAGGCAAUGAUCACCGAAUAACAAGAAGAAGUUGUUCUUGGAGAGGAAUAUUCUUCAUUUGUGCAUGAGAAUUUGGUAUGACACCCUGGGAAUGGUGUAAGGGACCAAAGAGUUUCAUAUCCUGUAUCCUUGAAUUGUGAUAGUAGAGGAUUGAGAAAAGACCAAAUCUUUUUACUCUUGGGUUACAACGGGAGAAAGAUGGUAUAAAUUUUGCAUCCCAAUGGAUCAAACUUGGAGGUUUACAGUGGGGGGCAAUCUGGUCAAGAGUUUCUUUUGAGACGCCAGCUGAGCAAGAGGGUGCUAUAGCACAUUAGCGAUGAAACUUUAAAUAAACUUUGAGUAAUGAUAACCUAAGUGAAAAUGAGGGAUCAUUCUCGAAAAAAUGACAUUCUGCAUUCAUUCAAAUGUCAUUCAUACACGCCUAGUUAGGAGCAUUUGAUUCAUUUGAUCAUGACAUCCUAAUCAUUUGGCAUAGUUAGGUUCAUAAAGUGAAUUAUACAGGUCAUGUUCCCCAGAGAACAGAUCGGUGAAAUCAUAAAGCCUUAUCUUCCUGAACAACAGUGGAGCAGGUUGAAAAGCAGCAGAUCUUGUCUUCAUGUACUGGCGUGAAGUAGAUCAAAGAUAACAGAUCUCGCCUUCCCAUGCUGGUGGCGAAGCAGAUCGAAGGAAUACAGAUCUUGUCUUCAUGUACUGGCGUGAAGUAGAUCAAAUAUACAGAUCUCGCAUUCCCAUACUGGUGGCGAAGCAGAUCGAAAAAAAGUAGAUAUUGUCUUCAUGUAUCAGCGUGAAGUAGAUCAAAGUCAACAGAUCUUGUCUCCCCAUACUGGUGGUGGAGUAGAUAAAAGAAAGCAAAUCUUGUCUUCAUGUAUCGGCGUGAAGUAGAUCAAAGUCAACAGAUCUUGUCUUCCCAUAUUGGUGGCGUAGCAGAUCAAAGAAAGCAGAUCUUGUCUUCAUGUACUGGCGUGAAGUAGAUCAAAGAAACAGAUCUUGUCUCCCCAUACUGGUGGUGGAGUAGGUUGAAGAAAAUAGAUCGUGUCUUCAUGUACUGGCGUGAAAGAGAUCAAAGAUAGUAGGUCAUGUCUUCCUAUAUUGGUAGCGAAGUGGAUCGAAUAUACAUAUUUUAUCUUCCCAUACCGGCGGCGAAGUAGAUUGAAGAUUACAGAUCUUGCCUCCCUAAGCAGUAGUGAAGCAGAUCGAAGAUGGCGGAUUUUACCUCCCUGAAGUUGCAGUGGAGUAUAUUGAAGCCAGUAAUUCUACCUCCCCGGUCGGCAGUGGAAUCGAUUGAAAAAGCAGAUCCCGUCUUCAUGUACUGGCAUGAAGGAGAUCAAAGUUAGUAGGUCCUGUCUUCCUGUAUUGGUAGCAAAGUGGAUCAAAUAUACAUAUUUUAUCUUCCCAUACCGGCGGCGAAGUAGAUUGAAGAUUACAGAUCUUGCCUCCCUAAGCAGUAGUGGAGCAGAUCGAAGAUGGCGGAUUUUACCUCCCUGAAGUUACAGUGGAGUAUAUUGAAGCCAGCAAUUCUACCUCCCCGGUCGGCAGUGGAAUCGAUUGAAAAAGCAGAUCUUGUCUUCAUGUAUUGGCGUGAAGUAUAUCGAAGAAAGCAGAUAUUGUCUUCCCAUACUGGUGGUGAACUAUUUGAAGCUACAAGUCUUACCUCCCUGAAGUUGCAGUGGAGCAGACAAAAGUAACCAAUCCUAUCUCCUUGAAGUUGCGAUGGAGUGGAUUAAAACCGCAGAUCUCAUCUCUCUGAAGUUGCAGUAGAGCAGAUCGCGUCAGAUUUACCCUUAAGUUGUAGCUGAACAAAUUAAAGCUACAGGUCUUAUCUCCCUGAAGUUGCAGUGGAGCAGAUUAAAGUUAGCAAAUUUAGUUCUUUUGAGAAGCUACAACAUACGAAUCCUAUCUCCCUAACAUACAUUGCAGUGGAGUAGAUUGAAGCACCAGUUCUUAUACCUCUGAAGAUGCAGUAGGAGGGAAUGAGACUAUUUGAAGUAAAAAAGUACUAAAGAAGUCGAGCCUCAAUAAGGCCGGGCACAAUUGGCUUUUAGUCUUUACUCUGUUCCCGUUACACGACAACGAGCAAAGAGGGGCAGCUGUAGAGCCCAAAUAUGCCCGGGCCCAAUAAAAUUAAAACCCAAGAUCCAAACAUCAGGCCCAAAAAUACCAACAGCCCAGCAAGCCCAAAGCUUAACAAAAUUUCAGCCAAAUCAAAAAUCAAAACCCUAGCCGCAUAGCAGCCACCAGCAAGACCCCAGCCAUCGCACGUCUUGGGACUGACCUCCUCUAUGCGCGCCGUUUUCCCCCACGUUCGCCUAUAAAACGGACUCAAGGAGUCCCAUAGAGAGAAAACAGUAAAGAAUAAUAGCAAAAUCGGGAUAAAAGUUUGAUUUUUUUUUGCUAUAUAAAGGCUGAUUCUUAUUGUAAAAAUGGGGGGAUGGAAAUUUUUGUUUUUUCAGUGUGAGAGAUAUACAAGAAAUAAAAAGAAAUAAUGAGGAAAAAAUUUCUUGAAGGUGAAUUGGGUUUUUACAUUUUCUAUUCUGUUUAUUAUUAUUUUAUUUUGUUUUCUAAAGAAACAGUACAAAAGAGAAGAGGGAUAAUACCUUCGAGGAUUGGCCGUUGAACCACGUUCACCUUGCUCAGAUCGGAGUUUGGCGGUGCGCUGGGAAUUGGCUCGCCUGAGAAUGGCGGCAGUGGGGGUUGGGGGUUAAAAAAACCCUAGCAAAGAACUUUUUUUUCUCUGCUGCAAAUGCUCUGUUUUUUUUAGAAAAAAAACUGCUUUAAGUAAAGACACCGAAACGGUGUCGUUCGGCUGAGGCAGGCCCGCGCGGUGACCCGACCCGGAGGGGAGGAUCCGUGCGUCUUGGGCCUAGAUGGUACAUUUGCGCGUUUGGUCCCUGAGUUUUUAAAAGUGUGUUUAAAUCAAUUUCUUUGUUUCUCUUAAAUUUGGCCACGCGCUUUAUUUCCGUUUCAUUUGGAUCCCCAUUGAAACGCAACAUUUUAGGGAAAAGGGUUAAUAUCCCAUUUGAUCCCCCUCUGUUCUGUGCGUGUUCAAUAGGGUUCCUAUAUUUGUAUUUAUUCCAAAUUUGCUCUUAAAUUUUCUUGAGUUUCAAAUUAGUCAUUCUGUUAUUAUUAUUAUUAUUAUUAUUAUUAUUAUUAUUAUUAUUAUUAUCAACAUGUAUAUUUUUAAAUGCCCAGCCUCAUUAUAUGUACAUGUAUGCAUUUUUAAUAUAUAUAUAUUUUUUAAGUUUUAUACGCAGGCAUAUAUUUCGUUCUUACAUUUUCAAAAUUUCUUUUGUAUAGUUUUUUUUUGUUUCUUUUUUUUGUUUCAUAUGUUUUAUAUGUUAUACAUACUUACACAUUUCUUUAUUUUGUAAAUAUAGAUAUACAUAACUUUAUAUAUAUAUAUUUCACAUGUACAUAUUAUAUUUUAUUUGUUAUUAUUUUAUUUUCACCAUUCUCAUAUCUUAUAAUGCAUAUACAUUUUAUAAUUUAAAGUUCACAUAUAUUUUCUAUAAUAUAUUUACGUAUACGUUUUUCCUUUAAAAUCAUUAAAUAUUUUAUUGUUUCUAUAAUCUGCUAUUUUAUGUACAUAUACAUGUAAUUUUUGUAAAAUAAACAUACAUAUUUUCUUAGAAGUUAUUAUGGGUUUUACAUAUUUCAUUGUUUUUAUAAGUAUACCUAUAUGUAAGUGUUCUAUUAUGCAUACACGUAUUUCCAAAUUUACUUACAUGUUGUACGUAUUUAUGUAUAUAUACAUUUGUUGUAUAUAUAUAUAUAUAUUUAGCUCAUGUUAAAGUAUUUGUUUUAUGAGGUAUAUUAACUUUUUAUCAUUUUUUCUAAAAAAGGGAAAAUAUAUUUGGUUUUGUCAAUACAUCAAAAUUAUUUUCUCUCGAUUCAAAGUUUUUUUUGAAUAAAAGCAUUAUUCGAAGUUUGGGGUUUUCAAGGGAAAUUGAGCCCUAACGUAUUGGGCUCUGAUUUUCUUUGUUAAUCUUAAAUAACCGAAGAUAUUCUUUAUUCAAAAUGCAUGAGCAUAAAAAUCAUUUUUGGGAAUUUAACCUGUUGUGCCCUAACGUAUUGGGUGUGGCAUGUUACUUUCUCAAAGUGAAGAUUUUCGUAUAAAAUAAAAGUGAUAUUCAAGUUUGGGGAUUAUGAGGAUUUGUACCCUAACGUAUUGGGACUCGAUUUCUUUACAUGACUUGAACAAUUGAUUAUCCUUUUGUCAAUUUCACCAUUCAAGCUUAUUUUAAUAUCUUUUUUAACUUUCGACACAAAGACAUUAAAUAGUCAAUUUGGUACCGAUUUUUGGGCGUUACGAGGGUGCUAACCCUUCCUCGUGCGUAACUGACUCCCGAACCUGUUUUCAAAAUUCGCAGACCAAAAUGAUUUUUGAGGUGGGCCGGUCACACCUUAAUAAAGGAUCGGUGGCGACUCCAGUUUUAUUUUUUAACGUCGACAACUUAAAUUUUUGUUUUCAAAAAAAAAGUUUCGACACAUAUGUUUUAAGAAGGAUAUUUGAUUAUUUAAGUCAAUCGAGAAAUCAGAAUCCAGUAAGUUAGGGUUCAAUUUCUCGAAAUUCCUAAACAUCAAAUAUUGCCUUUAUUUUAAAAUCGAGAUAACAAAAUGUCAUAUCUAGUAAGUUAGGAUCCAAUAUUUUGAAAUCUUAAGAACUUUAUUUUAAAAAUUGUAUGGUCUUAAUAAAAUGAACACUUGAUUAUCUAAAUUCAUCGAGAAGAAUUGAAGCCCAGUAAGUUAUGGCACAAUUCUCUCGAGAACUUAUGAACACCAAGCUUUUUUUAGGAAUUAUGAAAUAAAAUGAUUAUAGUGCUUUAAUAAAUACAACUCUUACAAAUGGAACAUGAUUGAAUAACAAUACAUAUAAUGUAAAGAUAAAUAACAAUCUCAACUUAAACUAGAAGCAAUCAAGCAAGUAAUAGGCAAAUACAAACAUUGACUUUAAUCAUAUCAUACAAGCUUCAAUAUUAAUAAUUAAGCAACCCAUAAAUUAAUAAUCAAUUAAAAAAAAUACUUCAAGACAAUGAGAAAAAGAAAAAACAAUAAUAACAAUAAAUAAUAUGAAUAUUUGAUACAAUUUGGUAAUAGAACUAAAAAAUAAAUAAAAGGUUUGAAUGAAUUUUAAUGAAAGAUUUAUAAAAAAAAUAAAAAAUAAAAUAAUGAAAUAAAAUAAAAGUGAAUAACUUAAAAUUAAAACCUACACUUUGAUUUAUAUAAAUAAAACCUAGUAUAAAUAAUAGUAUAUACAUAGUAAUAAUACAUAUAAAAGUUAAAAUAAAUAAAAUAACAAAUUUAAAAGGAAUAAGGCUUCCGUGCAUAAAAAAAUAUCACUUGAAAUUAAUAAUAUAUUAUAUAUAUACAUAUGUAUACUAAAAAAAUAUAUUAUAUAUUUAUAUAUAUAAAAAAUAUGAGAUAUUAUUAUUAAAAAAGAUUUGAAGUUAAUUAUAUAUAUAUACAUGAACAAAAAACGUAUGUAUAAAUUAUGCUAAGAUAGUAUAAAAAAAUAUUUAUAAAAUUAAGUUAUGAAUACAUAAAAUAAUAUUAUAUAAUAAAAGAAUUUAUAGUAAAAUUAGGUUAACUAAUAUAUAUAUAUAACUAUUAAAUAUAAUAACAACAAAUAAAAUUAAUAAUAGUAAACCACUUAAUUUAAUAAAAAUGGAUCUAUUUUGAAUUCAAACAAAAUUCUAAGGGUUGAUUUGAGAUAAAUGAGCAAACGUCCGCAUUGAAAACCACUGAAAAUCACAGGGAUUACUAUAGCAAUUUAAUGCAAAAAUUUAGAAUAAUCAAAAUCAAACGUAGAAAACGACACCGUUUAGGCUUGGAUCUAAGUGAAAACAAAGUCAAAUAUGCGGUACAAAUUUUAAAAAAUAAAAGAAAUCAGAUUGAAACUAUUUGAAACAAAAAAAGGACCUGAUGAUUAAAUAGACCAAUCGAUCCAUAAUACGCGGAUCCUACCCGAAUCGAGUCACCAUUCAGAUCGGGUCCUCAAAACAAUGCCGCUUCAGAGCCAUUGCGACUCCAAAUGGCGGCGUUUUAUUCCCGCUUAAAGGCCAAAAAUCUAAAAAUCCUUUUCAUUUUCUUAAAAAAACCUAAAUAGAAUCAGAUGAGUUCUGCGCCGCUCUGUGUACUGAGGGUAUUCGAAUGGUUUCCGAUCCAAGCCCGUUCUCCGAUGACGACGGAGAGGGCCAGAAUCUCGUCACCAGGUACGUUCUCUCUUUUCUUUUUAUUGUUUCCUUCCUUAACAAACGAUUGACGAACACAAAAUAAAAGAAAGAAAAAAACUAACCUGCAAAUGAAAAAGCAAAAGAAACUCAGAAAUCACCUCUUAGUAUUUCGAUUUUUUUUUGUAUUCACUUUCUCGAAUGCGUUGUAUAACCGGUUACAAAUUUCAAUCGAUCCUCUUUAUAGCCAAACCGAGAAAAAGAAAAAAAUAAAAUAAAAUUUUCUCUAUUUUUUUACACUUUCUUCCUAUUUACUGCUAGUAUUUGCUGUCAAUAUGUUAUUGUUGCCCCUCUCUUUGCUGUUGCUAUCUGUUUUGCUGCUUGUUUCUUUGUCCUUCUUACAGGUACGGCGUACGGAGGGUGAACGUGGCGUGUGGAGGCGUCGCGUGCAUGCAAUGGAGAGCAGAGAGGUGCUACUGCUGCAGCGCUAGGAGCCAUUGCUGCUAGGGUUUUUUUGAAACUGUUUUGGGUUGUAUUGGGCUGAGUUGGUUUGCUGGGCUUAGAAUCGGGUUUAGGGAAGGUUUUGGGCUUUGUUGAUUCGGGCCGAUGUAAUUGGACUAUUUAUUUGUAAAUGAACUUUUAAUAUUUUUUGUUUUUGUUAUCUAUAUUGGGUCGGGCAAUAUUGGGCCAUUAUAGUGAUUAUACACAAAAACUGUAAUAGAAGAAGCAUGCUAAACUAAACUCUUAACAUGAGAUGUUUUACCAACAUCUUUCAAAAUUAAAUUGAUAGAAGGUGCUGCACAUGGUGACCAAAAGAUGUUAGGAUACUUCUCAUUAAAAAUUUUCCUAUUAGCUUUGUAAUUUGCAGCAUUAUAUGUAAUUAGCUAGACCACAUUGCUUAAUCCAACAAUCUUUACAAUCUUCGCAAACAAAUUGCAAAGAGUAUCAACAUCUAAAAUCAUGUCUGAUGCAUUAUCAAAUUUGAUAAAGCAUAAUCUUUUAGGAAAAUACACUAGAAAAUUGGUUGAUGACUUUUGUCUCUAUCUUUCUACCCUCUCCCAUUAUAGUGCAUCCACAUUCCACCAAAAUGUUGUAAAUCCCUUUUUGAGUAUUCUAGUAUAUUGGUUCACAAUGUAUGAUAUGAUGGAGCUUUGUAUCCCAAUCCUAUAGAUGCUAUGGCAUCAAGGUACAGUAGAAACUUGUCAAUCCCUCGACGCUAUUUGUGGAAUCUAAAAACUCCACUAGCAAUAUAUCAAAUAAAUUCUUUUAUUUUUUUAAUAUUUUACUAUACCCCUAGAGAACACUUAUCAAUCUCCUGACCUUACUUGUAGAGUCUAAAAACUUUAUUGGUAAUGUACCAAAUGAUAUUCCAAAUAAAAAAGCAUUAAUUUUACAGUUUACUUUUUUUAUUCCUCAAGCAUCCUUAAAAAAUUGACAUUUUCAUUUUUUUUAAUAUCUAUUUUUUAAAUAUUUUCUAUACUCCUAGAAGACAUUUGUCCGCCCUAAUCAUGCUUAUAAAGUCUAAAAACUUUGCUAAUUGUGUAUAAAAUAUUUUCCUUAAUUUUGAAAUGUAAUUUUUAUUUAGUUCCAAUAUUGUUUAUGUACAAGCCCAAUUUUAGCCCGGGCCUAAGACCCAAUUACAAACCCAAAUUAAACCUAACCAAGCCCAAUCCUAAACAAAACCUAAACGACCCAAAAUGGCCCAACACAAAAAAGAAACAGGAAACCCUAAGCCUUAGUUUGCAGCCGCGCCUAGCUAGCGUCUAGCCGCCACUGUCCACGCCACUUGCUCUGCCAUCGUCGGACCUAACUUCUGUCAUCGCCGUACCUAACCCCUUCCCACUGUCACGUCGACCACCCCACUUGCGCCGUCACCUGUAAGACACGCAAUAGGAACAGAAACAAUAGCAAAGUAAUGAAUCGGCUAUAAAAGAGCCAGAAAAAGUUUGUAUUUUGUUUGGAGACUAUCGAACACAAAGAAAAUUUCAAUCAAAAAAAUCAAAAAAGGUUUACUCCCAUUUUAAUUCUUGUUUCAUUAUUAUUAUGUCUUGCUAUUUUAUUUUUCAUAUCUUUACACACGAAAAUAAAGCAAAAAAAAAAGAAAAAAAGAAAUGGGAGAAGAACCUACCGGAGUCGAUCUACGUCUUUGUCGUCGGAGGCUCCUUCUCCGGUGACAGAAUCGGCUAUAGGGAAACGUUGAUGGCCCUUUUGUUUUUUUUUUAGUGUUUUGAGAUCGAAUUUGGGCUAAAGGGGGUUAAGAUCUAGAAAAUAGGUCUUUUUGCCUUCGCCGGCCACCGUGCGCGGCAGCGCCGAUGCCGACGACGGGAGUCCGGCAUGGUGAUCGUCAGUCGGAGCAUGGACCGGAGGAAGGGGGAUUUUGAGAGAGAUUUCAGGUUUUUUUUAAGGAAUGGCAGAAAAUGAAAUUUUAAGGGAAAAAUUUGAUUUAUAUUGGCAUUUAGAACGGCGCCGUUUUGCUAUUAACGGUUAGGUGCCAAAACGACGAUGUUUGGCCUUGAUCCGCGCGGUGACCCUACCCAGGGGAAAGGAUCUGCGUGUUUUGCUUUAGCGGGAUAUUUGCACAAACGGUCCCUCCUCUUUUGCAGUAAGAUGCAAUCGAGUCUUUCUAUUUUUUAUAUUUUGACCUCGAAAAUUUUGUACUUGUUCCAAUUCGUUCCCGCGCGAAAUGCUGCGCACAAGGGGGCUAGAAUAUUUGUUCAUUCGCCCCCUAGUGUUUCAAGCGCAUUACGGAUCAGACCUUUAUCCUAUAUUUUAUUAUUUCGAAUGCUUACCUUGAAAUAUUAUUUAGUUUCCAAUUUAAUACAUAUAUCCCACAUGUUUUAUAAUCCAUAUAUAUACAUACGUCUUUUAUAUUUUAUAAUUUUAAAAUAUGUACAUGCAUACGUUUCUUUUUAUAAUAUAUACAUAAUUUAUAAUUCAUAUAUAUAUUUUAUAUUUAUAAUUUCUAUAUGCGUGUAGGUAUAUAUAUAUCUACAUAUGUAUUUUUUAUUUUUUUUUCAAAUAUAUACAUACUUAUAUAUUUUUCAUAAUUUUUAUGUACAUAUAUAUAUGCAUACUUUUAUAUUCAAUAAUAUAUUUUUCAUAUUUUCAUAAAUUUAUGUACAUACAUAUACAUAUAUAUCUUUUUACAUUUUUAUAAUUUUAUUCCUUUUCUUUACUUAUUUCUUUGUUUACAUUUUUAUUAUUAUUUUAAAAGAAUGUUUUAAUCUUAUUUGCCUAUGUGCUUGAUAUUUUGUAUGCUAUUGAUUUAUCCUUUUUAUUUAACUUAUUUUUGUUGCUAUUGCUCGUAUUAUUUAUGUUUAUGUCAUUGUAUCCAUUUUUAUUUCGUUACUUAUAUUGAUACCGUAUUUUAUUUCAACUAUUUCGAGUUAGAUUAAUUUUAUUUAAUACAUAAAUUAUGAUUUUUGAAUAAACAAAAUUUCGUAUUUAGAUUUGACAAAGUCGUAUCCUAACUUACUGGGUUUUGAUUUUCACAAUAAAUCUAAAUACACGUAUCUUUUCAAACUCAAGUUUUAAAUGAUCUCGGGAAUUAAGAAAAGAUCGUGUCCUAACUUACUGGGCAUGAUCCCCUUUUUUAAUUCGAGAUAGCUAAAUGUCUCUUAAAUAAGUAAAUUUUCGGCAUUCAUUCGCGCAUCUGGAAUUCAAGAUAUUGUGUCCUAACUUAUUGAAUAUAAUUCUCUUUCUCGAUUAACGUGAAAUAUGUUAUUUUCCUACAAAUUUUCAACAUUUCAAUAAAGGAUCGUAUUUUAAAUUUCUUUAAAGUUUUCAAUCUUCGACACUAAGACAUUAAUUAAUCAACUAGGUACCAAUUUUGGGCGUUACGAGGGUGCUUGUCCUUCCUCGUACGUAACCGACUCCUGAACCCAUUUUUCUGAAUUUUGUGGACCAAAAUCGUUGUUUUAAUAAAAUUAAAUUGUUUAUUAGAAACAACCACUUUACGAGGUGAGCCGAUCACACCUCAUCAAAAAGGAUCGGUGGCGACUCCCAUAUUCGUUUUCAUUUUCAAAUCCAAGUCAACCCCAUUUUAUCAAAAAAAUGGUGUCAACAGCUUGGCGACUCUACUGGGGAUCAAAAUAAGUGAGCCAAACCACGAGUUGAUUACUUUUUGCUUUUUUGUCGAAAAUUGAAAACUUGGUUUAAAUAUACGAUCCUUUCGUUGCAUUUCAUUGGUCUUUAUUACGAUCUUCAUCAUUGUGGUUUAUAAUUGUUGUGUUAGUUUAAGUUUUAGUAUCUUUCUGCACAUUGCAUUGCAUGACCGUUGGUCACACCCUUUUAAGUGGGAGUGAGAAACUACGCCUUCGUGAGGUUUUCACCUCCGUAUGGGAUAGUGAAUCGAUUUCGGGAUACAUCCGUACCAAUGUCUUCAUGAGAUUUUCAUCUCCGCAUAGCCAUAGGGAAAUGUAUUCCCCUGAACUGAACUCGGUCCAUAUGAGCAUAUAAUGGGUGAUGAUUGAGGAAUUUACCAGUUCGGGUACCUCAACUUUAGAACCAAACCACAUAUAGUGAACCUUAGGAACCUACCUAGGUAGAACUAUGCCAAACCCCUAGUGGUCACCCAAAUAGGCGCUUUAUGUAUUUCUUUCCUGCUUGCUUUUCAUUUGCACUAACCUAUUUUCUUUUGUUUUGGUUAUAAUUGCAUUGCAUUUUCAUCAUAGAAAAGAGGUGUUGAUUCACGUUCAGUAUCUAAAUAGAGAGCUUGUCAUAAGAAAAUGAGUUUCUUGAUAAAAUGAAAGAUAAUGCGGUCGUCCGACUACGGUCCGAGAAAACGUAAUAAGGCAAAGGUGAUAGUCUGAUUAAUGAAUACAUAACUUUACUUCGUGACCUGAGGAUUCAAGCUGAAAAAGAUUAUUUAUAAAGCCGUCGCACUUUCUUAAAAAAGCUAACGAGCAUCACGAAGAUGACUGAGCGAUGAGCUGCAGCCCGGAUCAAGCAAAAAGGAGCUAGUAGAGACAUCUACUAAAAAUUCGCGAGAUUUAUCCUAGCAUCCGGAUGAGGAAAAGAUCGAUGUCUUCGCCUGGAGUAUGAGGGAAAGGCCGUAUAAGUAUCCAUUUUAUGUAAAAAGAUUCGUUUUCUAGAAAAGUUGUUCUAAUAGAAUUAAAUCAAAAUUAACGCCUCUCCUCUUUUGCAUUCAUAGCAUUUAUUGCAUUCAUGCAUUAGCUUUGCAUUGCAUCAUACACAUUAAAUAUCACAAAAUAACCCUAAAAUUUUGGUAGUUAUCCUAGAAUAUCGGUACACGAGGAAAAACCAAAGUAAUGGACCAAAGAUUGGAAAGACUUGAACAACUCCAAAGGUAGAGGUAGGACCAGCUACUGCUGCAAGAGCGUUAGCUAAGGUCCAACAAAAUAUGAUGGACAAUAAAAAAAUGAAGUUCUGUGAAUGAGUUAAAAGAAAUGUUCACAUCAAUGCCAUACAUGAAGGUAAUUGAAAAUGGACCUUGUUAGAUAUCCACUCUUAUAAACUUAGGAGUGUUCUAAAUAAAUCAGACUGUAGAAAAAAUCUCUAUAGUAUUUAGAGUUUACUUAGAGUAAUGUUCAGAACACACUUUUUGCAUUCAACCUAGAGGCAAUAAGAACUCCUUUAUGAAAUAGGCUCAUGUCUGAACGUCAUUAUUUUAAUACAUCUUUGUGAUCAUUUUUAAGUCAAUAUUCUUUCACCCUUUUUAAAAAAUCAUUUUUGAUUCUUUUGGAUUUUGUUCCAAAUCAUUCUUUCAUUCAUUCAUAGUCAUAUUGUACAAAUAAUUAUUCAUAAUUUUAUACAUUUUUUUGUAUUUGUACCCACAAUAGGUCUCUAGAUAUCAAUGACAUGAGUGACGCUGAUACAGACUUAGAAUCUCUUUUUGAGUGAGACAAGUGUUUAGGGAGAUCUCAUAAAUUUGAAGAUGACAUAGAUUGUAGCCUAUUUUCAGACAUGUUAAGGAUGGUAGAACAAGUUAAGAAACAGAUCAUGCCUUACAAGGAAUCAAGUGGAAAUUGUAAGCUUAGGAAAAGAGAAAGAGGUGAAGACCGGAGCCUGUAUCACUAUAGAGACAAAGCGAGACGGCAUUAAGUUACUUUAAAAAUUCAAAGAUGUUUUCGCAUGAUUGUACCAAGAUAUGCCUGAACUACUAAGACGUAUGGAUGUUAUUAAGGCUAAGAAAAUCUUGAAAGUGGUCUAUAAGGGUGUUUGAGGAACACAUAAUAAUGGUUUUACAAUGGCCAAGCAAAUCAUGAUAUUCGGGUACUGCUGGUCCACCAUAGAAGGGGAUUGCAUCAGUUGUACCAAGAAAUGUCAUAAGUACCAAAUUUAUGAGACAAGAUUUAUGUGCCUCCUUCAUCCCUUCAUGUUAUGACUUUUCCAUAGACUUUCUCUAUGUGGGGCAUAGAUGUUAGUGGGUCAAUCUCAACUAAAGCUUCUGACGGUCAUCGAUUCAUCUAUCUGGUCAUCGAUUACUUUACUAAGUGGGUGGAAGCUGCUUCAUAUGCCAAUGUCACGAAGUCGACAGUCAGCAAAUCCUCGAAAAAUCAUAUCUUUUUAUGGAAUGCCAAAAGGAUCAUAUUUGACAAUACACCAAAUUUGAACAGCGGCACGAUAGCGAAAGUUUGUAGUCUAUUCAAGAAUAGCACCAUGCCGCUCUAAAGUGAACAGUGCAAUAAAAAGUCGAAACAAAAGAAAAAGAAAAACUCUGCUGGGGCAAUGCCUUUCACCUAGGCUUAUCGCGGUUUUUCCUAUUAAAGACAAGAUUCUUUCUUUCUGAGUUUUUUUGAAUCUAACCCGAUUGAAGAGGAAUGUUCAAAGUUAUAUGCCAUGGUCAAAUAUGCAAAAAGCAAAUAAUACGAGCAAAAAAAUUUUGCCCUAGAGGGUUCCAUGAGAGGGACCUGGUAUUGAAGAAUAUCCUUCCCAUACAAAAAGAACUUUAUAAGAAAGUGGAUGCCAAACUGGAAAGGACCUUAUGUGGAAGGCCUUAUCUAGGAAAGCAUUAAUUUUGAUCAGAAGGGAUAUCAAGGACAUGCCUAAUCCUAUGAAUUUAGAUUCAAUCAAAAAAAUAUGUCCAAAAAAAUGAAGAUGAUGAAAAAUAAAAGAAAAGAAAAAGAAAAAAGAGAAUGAAAAAGUCAAAAGGAGAGGCCAAGGUGAAAACCCGCAAGGGUGCCUUGAGACCAAAGGGGAUUUAAGUUGAAAACCCAAAAAGAGCGGCUCAAUUUUUUUAUCAGAAUGGGGCAUGAGGUGAUCAUAGCAGCUCAAAUUUUGAUCAGAAUGGGUCAUGUGGUGGUAUUGACAUACCUGAAUCAGCAGGAAAGGGGUGUGCAACAUCUUGAGGCACCAACAAAGUCCUGUAGAUCUCCUAAACACGUGUCAAACUCAGAAUGAUCUUCAGAAAGUUUGUACAGAGAAGUUCAAGCUGCAAUAUCUGGGGCACCUAGUCUUCAAACUAUUUAUAUUGAAUUUUUUAUUCUUGGAAUACUUCAUUCUCUUUCAAGAUACGUGUUCCCAAUCAAUUUCUUUUUUAUUCUUGCUAUCCUUGAUAAUUUAUUUCAAGCGAUGCUCCCAAAUCAAUUUUAUUUUUUUUCGUCAUAAUAUUUUCCAAGCAUGUUGCAUUGGAAUAAUGAUUAAUGGACUAAUAAUACUUUUACAAAGGAAGUUUUGCAUAUUACUCUAGAAGUUUCUAAAUAAUAUAGGAACCUGAAAUAGGACUACUGUUUAGAAAUCACCAAGUUUAAAGGUUGAAAUAUCUAAGAAGAAAAAGUCUAAUUUAAUAUAAUCCUUUUGGAUUUUGUCGUCAAAACAUUGAUUGAACAAAAUAACAAGAUGUCAGAGCUUCAAUGAACAAACAAGCAAUGUUCACCAAGCAAUAGGAAGAGGUUUUCUAGAGAAGAAAAUUUUACAAUUGUGCAUAAACAUUUGGUACGACACCUUGGGAAUGGUGUAAGGCUAAAGAGAUUCAAGUCUUGUAUCCUUGAAUUACAGUGGGAAGAGGAUGGUUCGAAUUUUAUGUCCCAAAAUUACAAUGGACUUAACCUUAAAGAUUACAGCUGAUUGAACUUUGAAGAUUACAGUGGGGACAAUCCGGUUACGUAAGAGAUGAGUGUUACCAGCCGAACAAGAUAGCAUUCUGACGUGUUGGCAAUAAAGCCUUAUUGAACAAUAAGCAAUAACAACUCGAACAUUGAGGGAUCAUUUCUCAUGACAUUUUUACAUUCAUGCAAAUAUCAUUCAUACACAUCUAGUGAGGAGUAUUUGAUUCAUUUUGAUCAUGACAUCCUAAUCACUAGGCAUAAAUAGGUCUAUGAAAUGGAUUCUACAGGUCAUGUUCCUCAGAGAAUAGAUAAAUGAAGUUACCUAUACUCCUGGCAGUGUAGUGGAGUAGGUUGAAGCUACAACGGUGAAUCUUACUUCCCUGACUUUGCAAUUAAAAAGAUUGAAGCCAUAACAGCAAAUCUUACUUCCCUGACGAUGCAGUGGAACAGAUUAAAGCUACAACGAUGAAUCUUGCUUCCCCGACAUUGCAAUUAAAAAUAUUGAAGCCACAACGACGAAUCUUACUUCCCUGGCAGUGCAGUGGAAUAUAUUGAAGCUAAACGGUGAAUCUUGCUUCCCCGACAUUGCAAUUAAAAAGAUUGAAGCCACAAUAGCGAAUCUUACUUCUCUAGCGGCGCAAUAGAAUAGAUUGAAGUACAACGACGAAUCUUGUUUCCCUGACAUUGUAGUUAAUCAGACUGAAGAUAACGAUCUUACUUCCCUGAAGUUGUAGUGGAACAAAUUGAAGCUAUAAAUUACCGAUCUCAUCCCCUAAAGUUGCAGUGGAGUAGACAAAAGAAACCAAUCCUAUCUCCUUGAAAUUGCAGUAGAGCAGAUCGCAUCUAAUCUUAUCUCCCUGAAGUUGCAGUGGAGCAGAUUGAAGAAAUCAAUCCUAUCUUCCUGAAGUUAUAGUGAAACGGAUUAAAAUGAUGGAUCUUAUCUCUCUGAAGUUGCAGUAGAGCAGAUCGCAUCAGACUUUAUUUUCUUAAAGAUGCAGUAAAACAAGUUGAAGCUACAAGUCUUAUCUCACUGAGGAUGCAGUGUAGCAGACUGAAGAUAGCAAAUGUUUCCUCGAAGAGCCACAGAUCUUAUCUCUCUGAAGUUACAGUAUAGCGGAUCACACCACAACAAGUCUUAUCUCCCUAAAGUUGCAGUGAAGCAGACUGAAGAUAUCAAACCUUAUCUCCCUGAAGCUGCAGUGGAGCAAGUUGAAGCAACAAGUCUUAUCUCCCUGACGUUAUAGUGGAAUAGACUAAAACUAGGAAUCUUGCCCCCUAAAGUUACAACAGAGUGGAUUGAAGCUACAAGUCAUAUCUCUCUGAAGUGCAGUAGAAUGGAUCGAAGCAACAAGACACAGUGGACUGGAAUGAAGCUAUUGAAAGAAGAUGAACACUAGAAUAAGUCAAGAUUCGACGAGACCGGGAAAAAUUGGUCUUUUUUAGUCUUUGCUCUGUUCUCGUUACACGACAACGAGCAAAGAGGGACAGCUGUACAUGCCCAAUUUUAGCUAGGGCCUAAGACCCAAUUACAAAUCCAAAUUAAACCUAUCCCAAACCCAAUCCAAAACAAAGCCUAAACGGCCCAAAAUGGCCCAACACAAAAAAGAAACAGGAAACCUUAAGCCCUAGUUUGCAGUCGCGCCUAGCUAGCGUCUAGCCGCCACUGUCCACGCCACUUGCUCUGCCAUCGCCGCACCUAACUUCUGUCAUCGUCGCACCUAACCCCUGCCUACUGUCACGUCGACCACCCCAUUUGUGCUGUCACCUGCAAGACACGCAAUAGCAACAGAAACAAUAGCAAAGUAAUGAAUCGGCUAUAAAAGAGCCAAAAAAAGUUUGUAUUUUUUUUGGAGACUAUCAGAUACAAAGAAAAUUUCAAUAAAAAAUAUCAAAAAAGGUUUACUCCCAUUUUAAUUCCUGUUUCAUUAUUAUUCUGUCUCGCUAUUUUAUUUUUCAUGUCUUUACACACAAAAAUAAAGCAAAAAAAAAAGGAAAAGGGAGAAGAACCUACCGGAGUCGAUCUACAUCUUUGUCAUCGGAGGCUCCUUCUCCGGUGACGAAAUGGCUGUAAGGAAAUGCUGAUGGCCCUUUUUCUUUUUUCUUUUUUGGUAUUUUGAGACCAGAUUUGGGCCAAAGGGGGUUGAGAUCUAGAAAAUAGGUCUUUUUGCCAUCGCCAGCCACCGCAUGCAGUAGCGCCGACACCGGCGACAGGAGUCCGACACGGUGACCGUCGAUCGGAGCAUGGAUCGGAGGAAGGGGAUUUUUGAGAGAGAUUUCAGGUUUUUUUAAGAAGGGCAAAAAAUGAAAUUUUAAGGAAAAAAUUUGAUUUAUAUAGGCAUUUAAAACAAUAUCGUUUUGCUAUUAAGGGUCAGGUGCCAAAACGACGCUGUUUGGUCCUAACCCGCGCUGUGACCUAACCCAGGAGGAAGGAUCCACAUGUUUUGCUUUAGCGGGAUAUUUGCACAAACGGUCCCUCCGCUUUUGCAGUAAGAUGCAAUCGGGUCUCUCUGUUUUUUAUAUUUUGACUCCGAAAAUUUUGUACUUGUUCCAACUCGAUCUCGCACGAAAUGCUGCGCACAAAGGGGCUGGAAUAUUUGUUCAUUCACCCCUAGUGUUUCCAGCGUAUUACGAAUCGGUCCUUUAUCCUAUAUUUUAUUGUUUCGAAUGCUUACCUUGAAAUAUUAUUUAGUUUCCAAUUUAAUACAUAUAUCCCACAUGUUUUAUAAUCCAUAUAUAUACAUACGUCUUUUAUAUUUUAUAAUUUUAAAAUAUGUACAUGCAUACGUUUUUUUAUAAUAUAUACAUAUUUUAUAAUUCAUAUAUAUAUUUUAUAUUUUAUAAUUUCUAUAUGCGUGUAGGUAUAUAUAUAUCUACAUAUGUAUUUUUUUUUAAUUUUUUUUUCAAAUAUAUACAUACUUAUAUAUUUUUCAUAAUUUUUAUGUACAUAUAUAUAUGCAUACUUACAUAUACUUUUAUAUUCAAUAAUAUAUUUUUCAUAUUUUCAUAAAUUUAUGUACAUACAUAUACAUAUAUAUCUUUUUACAUUUUUAUAAUUUUAUUCCUUUACUUUACUUAUUUCUUUGUUUACAUUUUUAUCAUUAUUUUAAAAGAAUGUUUUAAUCUUAUAUGCCUAUGUACUUGAUAUUUUGUAUGCUAUUGAUUUUUUCUUUUUAUUUAACUUAUUUUUGUUGCUAUUGCUCGUAUUAUUUAUGCUUAUGUCAUUGUAUUCAUUUUUAUUUCAUUACUUAUAUUGAUACCGUAUUUUAUUUCUACUAUUUCGAGUUAGAUUAAUUUUAUUUAAUACAUAAAUUAUGAUUUUUGAAUAAAAAAAUUUUCGUAUUUAGAUUUGAGAAAGUCGUACCCUAACUUACUAGGUUUCGAUUUUCAUAAUAAAUCUAAAUACACGUAUCUUUUCAAACUCAAGUUUUAAACAAUCUCGGGAAUUAAGAAAAGAUCGUGUCCUAACUUACUGGGCAUGAUCCCCUUUUUUAAUCCGAGAUAGCUAAAUAUCUUUUAAAUAAGUAAAUUUUCGGCAUUCAUUCGCAUAUCGAGAAUUCAAGACAUUGUGUCCUAACUUACGGGAUAUAAUUCUCUUUCUCGAUUAACGUGAAAUAUGUCAUUUUCCCGCAAAUUUUCAACAUUUCAAUAAAAAAUCGUAUUUUAAAUUUCUUUAAAGUUUUCAAUCUUUGACACUAAGACAUUAAUUAAUCAACUAUGUACCAAUUUUGGGUGUUACGAGGGUGAUGAUCCUUUCUCGUACGUAACUGACUCCCGAACCAAUUUUUCUGAAUUUCGUGGACCAAAAUCGUUUGUCGAAACCACUUUUUGAAAAAAAAUGUAGUUGUCGACUUUAAAAACAAAAAACUGGAGUCGCCAUCGAUCCUUUAUUAAGGUUUGAUCGGCUCACCAUAAAAACUAUUUUGGUCUACGAAACUUGAGAAAACGGGUUUGAGAGUCAGUUACGCACGAGGAAGGGUUAGCACCCUCGUAAUGCCCAAAACUCGGUACCAAAUUGAUUAUCUAAUGUCUUAAUGUCGAGGAUUAAAAAGAUUUUUUAAAAACACUCAAAUGAUGAAAUCUAAAAAGGAUAAUCAAUUGUUCAAGUCAUAUAAAGCAAUCGAGUCCCAAUACGUUAGGGUACGAUUUCUCAAAAUCCCUGAACUUUGAAUAUCGCUUUUAUUUCAUGCGAAAAUAUUCAUUUUGAGAAAGCAAUAUGCCAUGCCCAAUACAUUAGGACACAACAAGUUAAGUUCCCAAAAAUGAUUUUUAUACUCAUGCAUUUUGAAUAAAGAAUAUUCUCGGUCAUUUAAAAUUAACGAAGAAAAUCAGAACCCAAUGCGUUAGGGCUCAAUUUCCUUGAAAAUCUCAAACUUUGAAUAUUGCUUUUAUUCAAAAAGCUUCGAAUCAAGAGAAAAUGAUUUUGAUAUAUUGACAAAACCAAAAUAUAUUUCUCAAAGGGUAUGUUUAAAGUUAGUGUACAAUAUGAAAUAAAUACUUUAAUUUAAAAUGUACAUGUAUUCAAAGCAACGAUCACAAAAAACGUAAAAAUUAUCAAAAACUAAAAUCAAACUAACCUUGAAUUGAAAUCCCUAAGAUGGUCGAAUGCUAAAGCUUGAAGAACAAAGUUUCUUGCUUUUAUUUUCAGUGGAAAAAGGUGAAGAAAAUGACUUUAUUUUAUAAUAUUUAUGAUAUAAUAUACAUUAUUAUUCUUUUACUAUUUUCACCUUUGUAAAAUAAUAUUGAAAACAUAUAAUGCUUGGAUUUUUAGCCAUCUUGCCGUCCACUAUCUUUUAAAUGGGCUUAUUGCCCUUUUUAGGACUUCAAGUUAAAAAGCCAUUACCAAAUAGGUAUUUUACACUUUAACUAACAACUUUUACUUUUUAUACAAUUUAGUACUUUUAUCAAAUUAAACACAAAAACGGCCAAAUAAAUUUACGAAAUUUUCACACAAUCAAAUUCAAAUAUCACAGACACAGAAAAUAAUAUUAAAAUAUUUUUUAGACUCGGAUUUAUGGUCUCAAAACUACUAUUCUGAUUAGGGUUAAAACCAGGUUGUUACAACUCUUCCCCCUCAGGGAUUUUCGUCCCCGAAAAUCUUACCAGUGAAUAGGUUGGGAUAACGUUCUUUCAUCGAGUCUUCUAAUUCCCAAGUUGCUUCCUUAACCCCGUACUUUUGCCACAAUACUUUGACUAACGAAAUUUUCUUAUUUCGUAAUUCUUUGAUCUCACGAGCCAGAAUGCUAAUCGGUUCUUCUUCAUAUGACAUAUCAGGGUUAAUUUCAAUCUCGGUCGGGGUAAUCAGAUGUGAAGGAUCGGAUCUGUAUCUACGAAGUAUCGAAACAUAAAAUACAUUAUGAAUCUUUUCUAACUCAGAUGGCAACAACAAUUUAUAAGCAACCGGCCCGAUAUGUUCUAUAAUCUCAUAUGGUCCAAUAAAUCUCGAGCUUAAUUUACCUUUGUGACCAAAUCUGAGUACUUUCUUCCACAGUGAGACUUUCAAAAACACUUUGUCCCGAUUUGAAAUUCUAUAUCCUUUCUUUUCAAGUCCGCAUAAGAUUUCUAACGAUCCAAUGCUGAUUUCAAACUAUCCCGAAUUACUUUCACUUUUUGUUCAGUCUCUUUAAUCAAAUCGACCCCGUGUAUCUUAUUUCACUAAGCUCGGUCCAAUACAAUGGUGUACGACAUUUACGACCGUACAAAGCCUCGUAAGGUGCCAUUUUGAUACUAGAUUGAAAGCUAUUAUUAUAUGCAAAUUCAAUCAGAGGUAAGUAUCGUUCCCACGUACCUUCAAACUCAAGAAUGAAACAUCUCAACAUAUCCUCAAGUAUCUGAAUGAUUCACUCAGAUUGACCAUCUAUUUGUGGAUGAAAAGCUAUGCUAAAAUGUAAUUUCGUACCUAAAGCAUCUUGUAGUUUCUUCCAAAAUCGUGAUGUGAACCUCGGGUCUCUGUCCGAAACAAUAGAAAUAGGCACACCAUGCAACCUCACAAUUUGAGAAAUAUACAAUUUGGCAAGUUUAUCGAGUGGGAAAUCUGUGCGGAUCGGAAUAAAGUGUGUCGAUUGUGUCAACCUAUCAACAAUAACCCAGAUUGCAUCUUUCUUACUAGGUGUCAACGGUAAAUCAGAUACAAAAUCUGUCGUGACUCGGUCCCAUUUCCACUCGGGAAUCAUAAUCGACUGAAGUAAUCCAAAUGGUACUUGAUACUCAGCUUUAACUUGCUGACAAAUUAAACAUUUUGAAACAAAUUUAGAAAUAUCUCGUUUCAUACCAUGCCACCAAUAGUUCUGUUUCAGAUCGUUAUACAUUUUCGUACUACCCGGAUGAAUAGAAAAUAGACUAUUAUGAACUUCAUUAAAAAUCAUCUGAAUUAACUUUAAAUUUCUCAGAACACAUAAUCUGUUUUUGAAUCUCAAACAAUCCUCAGCAUCAACUAGAAACUCCGAAUCAACAUUUAAGUCACACUGAGCUCGUUUUGCAAUUAAAUCAUCAUCGACUUUAUGAGCUUCACAAAUCUGCUGAACAAAUAACAGUUUUGCUUUUAACUUAGUUAUUAUCACACCAGCAUCAGACAUAGCCAUAUGCGCUUUCAUUGCAUGCAAAGCAAACAAUGAUUUUCGACUUAAGGCAUCAACGACAACAUUAGCCUUUCCCGAAUGAUAGUCAAUCAAAAGCUCGUAAUUUUUUAGCGAUUCUAACCAUCAGUGCUGUCUCAAAUUCAGAUCUUUCUAAGUCAUCAAAUACUUUAGGCUUUUAUGAUCGGAAUAAACAUGAUAUUUUUCGCCAAACAGGUACUGGCACCAUAUUUUCAAUGUAAACACAAUAGCGGCCAAUUUCAGAUCGUGCGUCGGAUAGUUCUUUUCGUGCGGCUUUAACUUUCUCAAGGCAUAGGCUACAACUUUGCCUUCCUGCAUCAAAACACAACCCAAACCAUUUAAAGAUGCAUUACUAUAGAUAACAGACUCUUUACCCAAUUAUGGCUGAACUAAUACUGGAGCUUCGGUCAAAAGAACCUUCAACUGAUCGAAACAUUUCUGGCACUUUUCUGACCACUCAAACUUAACGUCUUUUUGUAGUAGCUUUUUCAUCAGGGUUGCAAUCAUAGAGAACCCUUUCACGAACCGUCUAUAAUAACCAGUAAGUCCCAGAAAACUUUGAACUUUUGAAACAUUUCUCGGAGGUUUCCAAUCAAGUAUAGCUGAAAUCUUACUCGGAUCAACCCGAAUACCUGAUGCUGAUAUAGCAUGGCCCAAGAAACUAACUUCGCUUAACAAAAACUCACAUUUACUGAAAUUUGCAUACAACAGUUUAUCUCGUAAAGUUUGUAACACAAGUUUCAAAUGUUCGGUAUGCUCUGCCUCAUUACGGGAGUAGAUCAGAAUGUCAUCUAUGAAUGCUAUCACAAAUCGAUCCAGAUACUGUCUAAAAAUUUGAUUCAUCAAAUCCAUGAAAAUAGCAUGUACACUAGUAAGUCCAAAAGACAUAACAAGAAACUCAUAAUGUCCGUACCUCGUUCGAAAAACAGUCUUUGACACAUCAGAGUCUUUAACUCGUAACAGAUAGCAGCCUGAUCUCAAAUCUAUCUUCGAAAACACAAUAGCCCCUUUUAACUGAUCGAAUAAAUCAGCAAUCCAUGGUAAUGGAUACUUAUUCUUUAUUGUCACCUUAUUGAGCUGUCGGUAAUCAAUGCACAUUCUCAUCGUUCUGUCUUUCUUUCUCACGAAUAGAACUAGAGCACCCCAAGGAGAGAAACUCUGUCGUGCGAAACUUUUAUCAGUCAACUCUUGCAACUGUGCUAUCAAUUCUUUUAAUUCAGUCGGUGCCAUACGGUAAGGAGCUAUCAAAAUUAGAGUCGUCCCCGGUAUUAACUCAAUACCAAACUCUACCUCUCGAAUAGGUGGCAAACUCGAUAAUUCUUCGAGAAACAGGCCUGAAUACUCACAUACAAUUGGCAUGGAUUCAAUCUUCUUUUCGGUCACUUUACUAUCAAGAACAAAUGCAAGGUAAGCUUCACAACCUUUUUUCACAUACUUCUGAGCCAACAUCGAGGAUAUUACUGCUGGUAAACCAUUCAGAUCAUUAGAUUCAAUCCAAAUAAUCUCAUCAUUUUAACAUCGUAGAUCAAUAGUUUUUCGUUUGUAGUUUACAAUAGCAUCAUGCAAAGUUAACCAAUCCAUACCCAAAAUUAUAUCAAACUCGUCGAAUGGCAGCAACAUCAAAUCAUCCAGAAAACAUAAAUCUCGAAUCAUCAGCAGAUAAUUCUUACACACUUUGUCAACCAAAACACACCGGCUCAGGGGGUUUGAUACUUUAAUUACAAAUUCAGUAGACUCAACAGGCAAAGUCUUGCUGAAUACUAAAGUCUCACAUACAUAAGAAUGAGUCAAACUAGGAUCAAUCAAUGCAAUAUCACUAGUAUCAUAAAGAGUGAAAAUACCAGUAAUAACGUCUAGGGAUGACGCCUCAUCACGUGCUCGAAUGGCAUAAGCUUUGGUAGGUGCGCGAGCUUCAGAUCUAACAGAUGUAUCUUUAGUACCUCUCUGACUACCACUCACAUUACCCAUAUUCCUGGGUGAUUUACCUCGAGCUGCUGUGUUGCCUAAUCUCGUAUUCUGAGCCAAAUUUCGAUCCACAAACUCUGGGCACUCCCGAAUAAAAUGAUCUUCCGAUCUACAUUUAUAACAAACUCAAUUAUUGUACUUGCCCCAACACUCACCAACAUGUCUCCUACCACACUAUUGGCACUCAGGUUUAUUCGGUCGGGUAUUACCAACACUAACAACUGAGGUGGCUCUUGAACUCAUUGGUGGUCGUUCUUGUAUAGAAAGCCCAGUAGUAUCCUUAGAUUGGCUACUAACAUCUCUGAACUUCUUUGUUGUCAUCUGAAAAGUUUUAUUCGCUGAUUUCUUGCGGAAAUCACUUGCUUCAAACUCAGCUUUUCUUUUCUAUUUGCUGAAUUCUUCAGCCUUGCAAGCUCGCUCGACGAGUACUACAAACUCUUUUAUUUUGAGUAUGCCGACAAGCAAUUUUAUGUCUUUAUUCAACCCUUCCUCGAAUCUUUUACACAUAGCAGUCUCGGUCGCAACACGCUAUCGGGCAUAUCAGUUGAGUCUCACAAACUCACGCUCAUAAUCAAAUACAGUCAUACGAUCCUAUUUUAGCUCAAGAAAUUCUUUGCAUUUUUGAUCAAUGAAUCGCUAACUGAUAUACUUUUUGCGAAAUUCUGUCUGAAAGAAAUCUCAUGUGACACGCUCUUUCGGAACAAUCGAAACUAGAGUGUUCCAUCAAUAGUAAGUCGAAUCCCAUAACAAGGAUAUAGCACAUUUCAGGCACUCAUCAGGUGUACAGGAUAGUUCAUCGAAGACACGAAUGGUAUUAUUGAGCCAAAAUCCAGCCCGUUCAGCAUUAUCACUAGCUGUGGCCCUAAAUUCUUCAGCUCCGUAUUUUCUUAUUUUAUCAAUAAGAGGCUUAUUCAAUCUCAUAGGAUUGAUAGUUGGAGGUACCACAGGCAUCGAAAGUGGGUUAAUCGGGGUCGAAAGUUGUUGAAUAGCCAGAUUUGUCUGGAUAUAUUGAGUAAACCAUUCAUUCAUCAUAGUAUAGAAAACUUGUUUAGCCUCAUCACCAUGGUUAUUCGUAUUCGGUCGAGAAUCAACCGGCUCCAUCCCUUGCACGAGAGCAGGCGCUAUACUCUCGACAUCAUCUACUACAAUUCGAUCGGGAUCAGGAUCCAUUCACUAUAUGAAAAACACUUUUUUUAUUGUCAGAAGUCGUUAAACUAUCACAGUAUAAUAAAUGGCAUGUAUAGCUAAACUCAUACACGCUACUUUAGUCCUAGAAUUGACUAAAUCGUAGCUCUGAUACCAAUAAAAUGUAACACCCUUAACCCGUAUCCGUCGCUGAACUAGGGUUAUUAGGUAUUACAGGACAUAACAUGACUCGGAAUAGUCACAAAUUAAUUUUUUUUCAUUUAUGCACAAUAGUUGAACACAUAAUAAAACCAAACAAAUAAACCAAACAUAUUUAUUAUCUAUAAUUCUUAGUCGAAUUCAUCCUUAACAUGGUAAGAUAUUUAUUAACAUUAUAAUAAAACAUAUCAACCAAACUAAUUAUACACUUCACGAUUUAAAUUUUUAUGCACAUAAUAUGCCAUGACCAAAUUAUUAUAGUUCUAACAUUAUGAGCACAUGAUUAAAUCUAAUAUUACAUACAACUUUCAUACACCUGUACUAUUAUUCAUAAAUACUAAACUCAAAUUAACCUAUGUAUAAAUCAUCAUAUCAUAGCCAAUUAGAUUGUAUAUAUAUAUGUCAUUUUUAUCAAAUCCAACUUAUACACAAUCACUUAAUUUCAUUCAAUACAUACACAUUUAGCAUGUAUUUUACCUUAAAAUCAAGUCAACCACUCUAACAUCACAUGUUAUAUCCAUAAUCCAAAUAAUUAAGCCGAACAUACAAUUUACUUAAUCAUCUCCAUCCAAUAUGUCAAAAACAAGAAAACAAAAUAUAACAUAUUAACAAUCAUACCAUAGUAGAAUAUAUGUCAUACCAAAAUCCAACAAACUAUGCACAAAAUAACAUGAACAUAUACUAUAUCUUAGGCCAUUAAAGCAUAUGUAAUAAUACCAAAUUCAAACCAAAAGAGAUAAGUCAUUUUCACAUGGCUAUUAAUUACACCUGUAUACAUUGGUUCCAAAAUCAACAUUUCAACCACGCUAUACAUGCCAUUUAUUCAAAUACGACUUAGUAAAGUACCAAAUUAUGGAUGAUAGUGUGACAAGCUUUACAGACGAUCCCCGAACACGUAGCGAUCACCGAAAUCUAUACAUCAAAACAAUUAUCCAACACAUUGUAAGCUAAUUUAGCUUAGUAAGUUACAAGCAAAUAAACUCUACAAUUUAACUUGAUAUCUCGAAUAAUAUUUAACCAUUUCAUACUACUAAAUCAUCUUACCUUUAGCUUACCAUAUCAUAAGAUAAUUAUUAACUUAAUACUAUGAUUUAACUAAAAUUAAUAUAAUUACUCAACCAUAAGCAUUUCUUUAAAUUUAAAUACAAGGCCAAAUACAUUAUGCAUCUCAUCAUCAUGUAAUAUAAAGAAUCAUCUUAUAUAUAUUUGAUUCUAAAUAUAAUCACCACAUGGUUUAAUACUUACAAAGCUCAACCUUGAAUACAACCAUAACAGUUAUUACUCAGGAACUCCAAGUAUUUACUCAUUUUACUAAUCAUGAUUACUCAAUAAGUCAAAUACUCAAUGCUAAUAGUUAUUCGAAAAUAUUUAAUAAGUUCGCACACUUAGUGCUUAAUAAUCAAACUCGCACACUUAGUGCUUCACAAUUAAACUCGUACACUUAGUGCUAAUUUUUUUAUCAUAAAUUUUUAUACCCGCACAUUUAGUGCCAAAAGUCAACAACUCAAUACAACUUAUUUUAAUAAUUUAUCACUACGUGUAUAUGGUAUAUAUAUAUACCAUUCAAUUCAGCCUAAUUACAUAGAUACUAAGAUGUUUUAAAAUGAUACAAAAUAUAUGCUUAAUAACUUACCUCAGAUUUCGUCGACUAAUAGAUCGGCUACUCAACUACUUUCGAUUUCCCCCGAUCUAAAUCCGAUUUCUUGGUUUCUUGAUCUAAACAUAUUCAAAUAAAUCUCAUUUAAACAUAUUUUCAUUCAAUUUAGUGUAAGAACACAUAAAUAGGAAAAUUACAUUUUUACCCCUAAUAUUUCACAUUUUUACAAUUUAGUCGUCAUUGCACAAAACACAAAAUACACAAAAUUUGGCCACACUCCCUAAGGGCCGGAUCUUCCUAGUACCCAUAUAAGUCCAUACAUUUCAUUUAUUUCACAUUUUAGUCCUUUAAAAUUUUAUUUUUGCAAUUUAGCCCUAAUUACUCAAAAUCACCAAAAACUCCAAUACAAAACAUAUUAAUCUUUAACAUAUCUUUCAUUUUUCAUCAACAACUAUCAAAAAGCUCAAGCACUCAUCAAUGGCAAAACACAAAAUCAACAUCAAUUCAGAAAAUUAAUACAUGGGUUUUGAAGUAUUCAAAGUAACGAUCAUAAAAAUGUAAAAAUUAUCAAAAACUAAAAUCAAACUAAACAUAAAUUGAAAUCCCUAAGAUGGCCGAAUGCUAAAGCUUGAAGAAAAAAAGUUUCUUUCUUUUGUUUUCGGUGGAAAAAGGUGAAUAAAAUGACUUUAUUUUAUAAUAUUUAUGAUAUAAUAUACAUUAUUAUUCUUUUACUAUUUUGACCUUUGUAAAAUAAUAUUUAAAACAUAUAAUGCAUGGCUUUUUAGCCAUCUUGCCAUCCACUAUCUUUUAAAUGGGCUUAUUGCCCUUUUUAGGACUUCAAGUUAAAAAGCCAUUACCACAUAGGUGCUUUACACUUUAACUAACAACUUUUACAUUUUACGCAAUUUAGUACUUUUAUCAAAUUAAACACAAAAACGGCCAAAUAAAUUUACAAAAUUUUCACACAAUCAAAUUCAAAUAUCACAGACACAGAAAAUAAUAUUAAAAUAUUUUUCAGACUCAGAUUUAUUAUCCCGAAACCACUGUUCCAAUUAGGGUCAAAAUCGGGUUGCUACAAAGUUAGCAGCUAAUGUUCUUGAUUUUCAACAGCAAAUCCAACAGUAAACUCUUAAUUUCCAAAAAGAGAUGAAGGAUUUCUAACAGAAAACUGAGGCGUCCAUCAGACCACAUCGAUCGAGAAAUUGACCUCUCAAGGAAAGCUGCCGUCACAAACAGAACCAAACCCUAGACAAAAUGCGAAUAUAGUGACGUUGCGAAGUGGAAAGGUACUAGAACCGAUUCCUGACAAGAAUCUUGGCUAAAAAAUUUCCCAAGAAAAACCCGAGAAAGACGAACAAGUCCAACCGAAGCCUCUAUUGCCUAAAAUUCAACCUCCAUUUCCAGCACUAUUCAACCAGUGUUGAAGAGGUAAAGAGGACAAGGAAAUCCUCAAAACAUUUAGGAAUGUCAAGAUCAACAUUCUGCUGUUGGAUGCCAUCAAGGAAAUACCGCGAUAUGCUAAAUUUCUUAAAGAGCUUUGCACCAACAAGCGAGAAUUAAUAGGUAAUGAAAGCAUGAAUGUUGGUAAGAAUGUAUCUGCAAUGUUACAACAAAAAAUGCUAGAAAAAUGCAAGGAUAGGGGUAUGUUUGCAAUACCAUGCAAAAUAGGCCAUCUGGGAAUUAAAAAGGCUAUGUGUGACCUAGGGGCUUCUAUAAAUGUAAUGCCAUAUUCUAUUUAUGAAUCACUUAACGCGGGUUUUUUUAACAAAAACAAGUGUUAUCAUUCAAUUAGCGGACAAGUCUAUUGUGCAUCCAGAAGGAGUCCUUAAGGAUGUUCUGGUAAAAGUUAACAAGUUUAUUUUCCCUGUAGAUUUUUAUGUGAUCAAAAUAGAUAAGGAUAGCACUCCUGGAUCUUCAAAUCUUCUGCUAGGUCAAUCGUUCCUUAGUACAGCUAGUACUAAAAUCGACAUUCGAAGUGGAACUCUCACGAUGGAGUUUGAUGGGGAGAUCGUAAAGUUUAAUGUCUACGACGCCAUUGCCAUACAAGGGAAAUCUUGAGCGUAAAUUGUAUCAACAUAAUUGACACUUUAGUGGAAGAGAAUUUUGAGUCAAUUUAUGGAGAUAAUUCUGAACUUGAUGAAUUUGAAUUUGAAUUUGUUAAUGAGUUAUUAUCUUCAAAUACUAAACUGUCACAUUCUGUUCUACAGGCACCAGAGUUGGAGUUGAAACCGCUUCCUGAGCAUCUGAAAUAUGCAUUUUUAGGGAAGGGUAAUACCCUACCAGUCAUAGUCUCCAAUAGACUCUCCAUAGAUGAAGAGGAAAUUUUGGUUCAUGUACUAAAAAUUCAUAAGGAGGCGAUUGGCUAGACCAUUGCAAACUUAAAAGGGAUAAACCCUUUGACAUGCACACACAGGAUCUACUUGCAAGAAGACACGAAACUGAGGUGAGAGGCGCAAAGACAGCUAAAUACAAAUAUGAUGGAGGUAGUAAAAAAGGAAAUAAUCAAGCUUCUAGAUGAUGACGUAAUUUACCCUAUUUCUGACAGUAGGUGGGUAAGUCCAGUACAAGUCAUGCCCAAGAAAACGGGUGCGACAAUAAAGAAAAAUGUUGAAGGUGACUUGGUACCUUCUACAUUGAUUAUAGAAAGUUUAAUUCAUACAGUAGAAAAGAUCAUUUCCCUCUUCCUUUUAUAGAUCAAAUGCUUGAAAGAUUAGCCGAAAAAACUCACUUUUGUUAUCUUGAUGGAUACUCAGGUUUCUUUCAAAUUCCAGUCGCACCGGAGGACCAAGAAAAGAUCACUUUUACAUGCCUAUUUGGUACAUUUACGUACAGAAGGAUGCCAUUUGGUCUUUGCAAUGUGUCGGCCAUCUUUUAGAGAUGCAUGAUAAGUAUAUUUUUUGAAUAUGUGGAAAAAAUUAUCAAAAUUUUUAUAGAUGAUUUUACUGUAUAUGGGAGUUGUUUUGAUAAAUGCCUUAAAAACCGAACGAUAAUUUUGAGUAGGUGCAUAGAAUUUAAUCUUGUCUUGAAUUAUAAAAGUGUCAUUUUAUGGUAGACAAGUCUGGGUCAUGUUGUUUCAUCUAAAGGAAUUGAGGUUGAUAAGGCUAAAAUUGACAUUACAAAUUCUUUGCCUUAUCCCUCCACUGUGAAGGAAAUUCUUCUUUCAUUGGCCAUGUAGGGUUCUACAGGCGCUUCAUAAAGAACUUCUUGAAGGUAGCUGAACCACUGUGUGAGUUGUUGCAGAAGGAUAAGAUAUUUGAGUUUGGCCCAAAAUGUAAGGAGACAUUUGAUACACUCACGUAAAAGUUAGUCUUCGCUCCUAUAUUGCAACCGCCAGAUUGGAAAUACCCGUUUGAAAUUAUGCGCGAUGCCAGCAAGCACAGUGUAGGAGCCGUGUUAGGGCAAAGGAUAGACAAAGAACCACAUGUCAUAUGUUAUGCCUCGAAAACUUUAGAUACUGCGCAGAGCAACUACACCACUACGGAAAAAGAACUCUUAGUCAUUGUAUUUGCUUUAGAUAAAUUUUGACCUUACUUAUUGGGAUCUAAAGUAAUUAUUUUUUCUAAUUAUGGAACCCUCAGGUACUUGAUCGCGAAGAAUGAAGUAAAACUGAGGCUCAUUAGGUGGAUUUUGCUUAUCUAAGAAUUUGACAUCGAGAUUCGAGACAAAAGGGAAUGCUAGAAUUUAAUGUUUGACAACUUAAGCAGAAUAAAAGUACCUUUUGACGACAUCCCUAUAAAGGAAGAAUUCCCUGAUGAGAGCCUAUUUUCGACUGAAGAAUGUCUCUCAUGGUAUGCAGAUAUAGUAAACUUUCUAGCCACAGGAUCAUUACCCACUGAGUUAGCCUAUUCCGUGAGGGACAAGCUUAGACGCGACCCUCGAUAUUACAUUUGGGAUGACCCAUACUUGUGGGAACACUAUUCAGACCAGAUAAUAAGAAGAUGUGUUCUAGAAACUGAGGUAACUUCUAUCCUUAAUUUUUGUCAUACUAAAGCUUGCGGAGGUCACUUUGGCCCUAAGUGGACCGUUCAUAAGGUGUUAGAAUGUGGGCUAUAUUGACCGUUCAUAGGUCACUUUGGCCCUAAGUCUUGCGAUAGGUGCCAACAUACAGGUAACAUCACUAAACAAAAUCAAAUGCCCUUUUCCCUGAUUCAUGUAUGCAAAAUCUUUGAUGUAUGAGGCAUCGAUUUCAUGGGCCCAUUUAUUUCUUCAUUUAGCAAUGUAUAUAUAAUUCUUGCAAUAGACUAUAUUUCUAAGUGGAUAGAAGCAAAGCCUACUCAAAAUGAUAAUGCCAAAACUGCUGUGGAGUUUCUAAAACGAAAUAUUUUUUUCCAGGUUUGGCAUACCUCGAGCCCUAAUCAAUGAUCGUGGCACCCACUUUUGCAAUAAGGUUAUAGAGGCAUUGUUGGCAAAAUACAGAGUCCACCACCGUAUAGCUAUGGCUUACCAUCCCCAAACGAACGGUCAAGUUGAGGUCUCGAACAGGGAAAUCAAGACUAUUUUGGAGAAAAUAGUUCGUCCUAACCGAAAGGAUUAGAGCCUUCGGCUAAAUGAUGCACUUUGGGCCUAACGAACUACGUAUAAAUGACCGAUUUGUAUGACCCCGUAUCGACUUGUUUUUGGUAAAGCUUGCUGCCUUUAUGUUGAAUUGGAACAUAAAGCCUAUUUUGUCGUUCGACAAUGUAACAUGGAGUUAGAACCCACAGGAAAGGCAACGAAAUUAGACAUCCAAGAGUUAGAAGAAAUUCGCAAUGAUGCCUACGAGAAUGCUCGUAUUUAUAAAGACAAGACAAAGUUGUUUCACGAUAAGAGAAUAGCUCAGAAGCAUUUUUCGGUAGGAUAAAAAGUUUUACUUUAUAACUCUGUGUUAAAGUUAUUCCCAGGUAAGCUUCGAUCAUGAUGGCAAAGACCUUUCAUUAUUACUGAAGUGUUCAUACAUGGAGCGAUUGAAAUAGAUAGUGAAGAAUCUGGAAAGCGGUUCGUAGUCAAUAGCCAGUGGUUGAAGCUAUUUUAUGAGAAUUUUCAAGCCCACACGAUUGAGAAAAUCCAUUUGGAACCACCAUAGAACCAAUAACGACGUCGAGCUAACGAUGUUAAACAAGCGCUUGUUGGGAGGCAACCCAAUUUUUAUUUAUUUUAUUUUAUUUACUUUAUUUAUUACUUUAUUUUAUUUUAUUAUUUUACAACUUAUUUGGAUAUUAAUAAAUUUCUCUUCUUUUGCUUAGAUAAAACAGAGCAAAAAUAUGAAGAAAAAGAAAAAACUAGAAAAAUAUAACCAAAAAGCCCUGUUCAUGGUAUCAAACAACCUCUAUUCCAGAUACUAGUCUAGCCCAGAAUGCCUGCAGCCAAACUACCCUAUUCCUGUAGCCAACCACCUUUAUCCAUGCACCCAAACACUACCUCUCAGUAUAAAUUAACCCCCCAACCCUAAAAUUUUAAAACAUUUUUUUCCAUUUUCCCACAAAACCACCAUAGCCGCCGCUCUUCCCUCUACCAUUCUCCCCCAUGCCGAACGACCCUACCAAUAAAGGCGCCCACACCUCAUCAGCCUCGACAACAGCCGUCCAAACCCUCGGCCAAACCUCCGCCAUCCUCCGCUCCUCCGUCUUCUGACCCGACUUGAAACCUUUGGCCAGCAACUGAGUGAGCUCAUUGAUAUCAUAUACGAUUGACAGUAAAUAACAUAGGGAGUUUUUCUAAACUUUUCUCCCUAUUUAUUUCUUUUCGUCCACAUUGAGGACAAUGUGCUUUCAGUAAGGGAGGUACUUUUAGCUAUUACUGUCAUUUUUUGCUAUGAUUUUGGUUGUUGUUGCUAUUACUGUGAUUAUUUUUGGCUUGUGUUGCUGUUUGAGGCUCCAUUUUGUCCAUAUUUAUUUUUUAGGAUCUCUUGCCUCUUUUCAUGCCCAAGAUUUUUACCAAUAAUUGCCUAUUGUUUGACCUACAAACAUGAUUCUUAUUUUAUGAGAAAAUUAUAGAUUUUCCAUAAUUGAUGUCAUUUCCAGUGAUGCCAUUUCCAAUGUUUUAUUCUUAUUAGGCUAAAAAUAAUUGUGAUUCAUAGAGUUAACUUUAUCUUGUUUUUCUUAAAAUUGAUCAAGUUUAAUACAAAGUGGACACUUAAUAUGUUUGCAUGCUAAAAUAUGUUCAUGACUGUUAAGGUAAUUACUGAAACUUAUUUUUGACACUUGAUUGUUUUUUUUCUCUAAAGUCCUCAUAAAAAAGUUAUUAUUAAAAUGUCAUUUAAUGUUUCCAUGGUUAUGAGUGCAGCUUAAAAACGUGACUGAUUGAGUAAUCGGGGUAGGGUGCUUGGGUUGUCAUCCUAUUUCGCAUCAAAAGGUUGUGUGACGUGUUAGGUAAAACUCUGCUAACCGAAAUUAAUUUUUAACAUGUUGGAACCGGGGUGGGGUGAUUGACUGUUAUCUCUCUUCGCGUCAAAACGUUCGAUGUGUUCUUAAGAAAAAUUAUAAAAAAUUAAGAGUUUGCUAGGCUGAGUAACCGGGGUGGGGUGCUUGGUUGUUAUCUCUCUUCGCGUCAAAAGGUUCAGUAUAUUCCUAAAGCAUAAAAAAUAUAAAUAAUAAAUCAAAAUCAAAAUAAAUAAAAAAGAAAAAAAGAAAAAGAAAAAAAUAUAAUUUAGGGACUAAAAGAGGAAACAAAUAGUUUGUCUUGGUAGGUUUGGUAAUUUACCUAAUUUUCAUUAAAUAAUUCAAGUCGAUUCUAAUUUUUGUGUGUAUUAAUUGGAAAACUUUUUCUGUUUUACUUAAAGCAAGCUUAGGGUUCUCUUUAUUUUUCAUAUGCAUUUUUGACUGAUUUUUAUAAAACUUUGGAGUGGUAUUUCUUUUAUGGCAGAAUCUAACUUUCACAGUAGAUAGGAACCAUAUUUGAGGGCAAGCAUGGGCUAAGUAGGGGGAAUUUGAUAACACUAUAGAAUAACAUAUUUUUAUGUAUUUAUUCUGAGUAUGAUCCUACUAAUUUGAGCUAUUUAUGCUCUUUUAUCUCAUAGGGACUAAAUUUGAGGCAAAAACAAAAUUAAGGGCCAAAAGCGUGAAUUUAGAGAUAAAAUAGGUCAAUGUGCGACACAAGGAAAAGUUGGUGCCAAAAGUGCAAGCAUGGAGGACACAAGGGUUGAAAUGCAAAAAGAAGAGAUUUUAUUAUAUCAGACUCUAUUUUAAUUAUAUUAGGAUAAUUAAUAUUAAGAUAAUUAUUAACGAUUAUUUAAUUUUAGGAUUUUAUUUUAUUUAUCUUUAUUUACCUUCAAUUAAAUGUAUUUAUCUGUUGGGAGUUUAAUAGGAUUAGACAAUCUCCCCUAGCAAUAUAAAUAGGGGGUGAUGUGAUCAAAAGGGAUCCAUCUUUUUCUGAAAACACUCUCUCCCCAAAAGUCUAGGCUUUUGUUCUUCUCAUAUUUCCUUUCAAUAAAAUCUCCAUUUUUAUUAUAUUUAUUUUCUUUUCCACCACAACCAUGAGCCACUGAACCCAUCUAGCCAACAGUUGUCGAUAUUCCCCAAAAAGGGUUCUUGAGACUUAGAGUCUGUACCUAGCUUCCUCGUUGAGUAUUCAUCGUUUCUCCGCACUACAAGGCUGAAGCUUCCGUCCAUGUCCCUUAAGAAGUAAGCUUUUCAAUGUAUGCAAAGGUGACCGCUUUGUAUGUUUUGGAAAGCUUGCACAGUCGGUUCGUUAGCUUACUGCAUUAGAGGCUGGCGAGCCCAAGAGACAAAAUGGCGUGGGAUUCACCAUUGAGAAGUGUUGAUCUAGCAUAAGAUGAUCCCACAGAAGUGAUUGUUGGCUAGAGUCAGGUUCCACGAAAUCGUAAGUCUAAAUCCUUGGAGUUGGUGGUCGUAGGCGUCCUCUUCCACUAUAACUGUCUUAUUCGGUUUGAGAAGGAUCAUCUAAAAGCCAAGAAUUAAACCCAAGGCGGAACUAGACAACUGGAGCCUGGAACCUCCCACAAGAAUUUCCUUUCUCUCAACUCUAUUUUUAAUUUCUCGAAUUUUCAAUUCAAUAUUCUUAAUUCUGUUUUUAUUUUAUUUUUCAUUUCCAGAUUCAAACCUUUAAUUCUAUUUUUUUUUUGUUUUUUUCAGGAACGCAGGUUUUCUUGGGCAAGAUUUUAUCUGGGAUUUCACGGAACAAGAUAUUGUGCAAAUCCAGUCCCUGAGAAUUUGACCUUACUUCCCUUUUACUAUUCUUUUUCAUUAUUUAUUAGGGAUAGGAUAUUUUUGGUGCUUUCAACGACCGCAUCAAUUCUAGUAGAUUGGUUCACAAUGUAUGAUAUGAUAGAGCUUUGUAUCUCAAUCCCAUAGAUGCUAUAGCAUCAAGGCACAAUCGAAACUUGUCAAUCUUUGAUCCUAUUUGUGGAGUCUAAAAACUCCAUUGGCAAUAUACAAAAUAAAUUAUUUUAUUUUUUUACUAUUUUACUAUACCCCUAGAGAACACUUGUCAAUCUCUUGACGUUGCUUAUAGAGACUAAAAACUUUAUUGGUAAUGUACCAAAUAAUAUUCCAAAUAAAAAAGCAUUAACUUGAUAGUGUAAUUUUUUUAUUCCACAAGCAUUCUUAAAAAAUUAACAUUUUUUUAAUUUUUAUUUGUUUAAUAUUUCACUAUACUCCUACAGGACAUUUGUCCACCCCUGAUCAUGCUUAUAAAGUCUAAAAAUUCUAUUAAUUGUGUCUUGUUAUAAAAUAAAGAAAGAUGGAGAGAAUAAAGAACAAAGAAAAUAUGAAAGCAAUAGAGAAUGUACUUUAUUGAUCAAUUGGGAUGAUUACAAUGCUUCAUGAGAGUAUCUAUUUAUAGACAUAAGAAGUAUAAAAGAAGUAGAGAUCUAAUUCUAAUAACUAUUAGAACUUAAAGUACAUUAAAACUUUAUCUUGAUCAUGAUGGACAUCCACUUAAUAAAAUAUUCAUAACACUCCCCCUUGGAUGUCCAUUGGUAGAUAAUGUACCUCGUUAAAACCUUAUUAAGAAAAACCCUAUGGAAUAAAAACCUAAUGAAGGAAAAAGAGUACGCGAUCUAUAAUACGCAUAAUAUGCUGCCUUAUUAAAAACCAUACUAAGAAAACCCAAUUAGACAAAACCUCGGUUAAGGGAAAAAGAGUACAACGUGUAUUUACUCGCCCUCAUGAAAACAUCACAUACUUUCUGAUAUUCUACAUAUUCAAUCUUGAAUACUAUUUUUUCAAAUGACUAUUUGAAUGUAUCGCUAAUCAUUUAUAUCACCAUUCUUUUAAAAGUCAUGAGUGAGGGAAAUUUGGGGAAAUAUAUUUUGAUCUCUUCAGGAGAUUCAACAAUAAUCAUAACAAAAUUUAACCAUUUCUUUUAUAAAAACAAAAAUAGGUAUUUUGGAUCAUUUUAUAAUCCUCCUUCAACUACUAUUCACUAAGUCAAAUUUACCACAUAAAUUCAAAUUAUUUCAAUUCAUAUAAAUGAACAAUUUCUUGAGAAUUUCAAUAUGCUUCUAGUAUCCUAAAUCCUUAAAAGAUUUUAUUAUAAACUUUACUAUAUAGUGAUUCAUAAAAGGUUGUAACAAUAACCAUUAGAUGCAAGUUAAAUAUUUUAAGAAUUUUCAAUUUAAUAAUAUAUCUAAAUAUUAUUUCAUCCACCAUAAAGUAAUAUUAUAUCUUUUCAUAAUCAAUGCUAGGACUUAGUGAAAAACUUCAUAUUUUUAUUCCCUUUUUGUAUAACUACUUCAAUUGAACCCUUACUGGCUUUAUACCUUUAGAUAUUUGGACUAUUGGUCAAAAAAAUCCAGAAAUUUAAUUGUACUUGAGUUACGUCUUUCUAUUUUGAUGAAUUUAUUCCAUAUUUAUAUUUCUCAAUAAAUUUAUUCAAGAUUCUCCUUUUAUCUCAUUAUUUCAAUAGUAAUAUUGCAUGCAAAAUUGUUGUCGACCAAUUUUAUUAUUCAGUUCCACAUUUUCUCGAAUUGACGUAACUUAUCGAGAUCUCUUAUUUUCAUUAUUUUAAAAUUCAGUUUCAAAUACCUGAAUUCCUAGAGCACCCGCCUCCACUAUAUGACCAUUUAGAAGAAUUUUCAUUUUUGGAACUGAUCAAUCUAUUAUUUAUUCUAACUGACUCUCCUACUGGGACUUUGAUUCAAAUUAAAAUACUAGAUGGUAUAUAACACUUGGUUAUUCUCAUUAAGUUUGUAAAUAAUAACACUUGGUUAUUCUCAUUAAGUUUGUAAAUACAUCUAUAAUUAACUUGUAAUGAGCUAUCCUUAUUGAUUUUCUGGUUCAAAUUACUCUCCCCCUAACUCAUUACAAGUUAUUAUUUCUCUCCCCCUAAUGUCUGGAAAAGUAUCAAAUCAAAAUUGUAAUAAAAAAUCAUGUCAUAAUUGAAUCUCGAAUACAUUCAAAACAUCUAAUAAUAUAAAGAAACUUGUAAUUAAUAUAUAUUCUCAUCUUUCUUUGAGGAUUCACUCAUCUCUGUGCGUUGUGGUGGAGCAAUUGGAACAUAUACGCACAUACAGAAAUACAAAGAUGAGAAAUAUUUAGUUCUUGAUCAAAAACCAAUUAUAAUGGGGAGUAUUUAUAACUUAUUGGCUUGAUGCGUACAACACAUAAAUCAACAUAAUCUCAUGUUGAAAUAGAAAGUUUAAUUCUCAUAAGUAAUGAUUUAGACCUUAAUCAAUAGAAUUUAAUCAAUAAUUUCUCUAAACCAUUAUGCACAAACUUUUACAAAAAAAUUUCAAACUCAUGAUCAGAAAUUAAUUAUUUAAAUGAGCAAUCUUGCGAACAGGUUGCAAAUUGAUAACACAUAUGUGAUUAUUUUGUAGAUGCCUGCUGAAAUCAUAUCAUAUUAAAAUCAUCUACAUGGUGGAUGAAUGAACCCGUAUUCAUUAAAUCUCAACUUUAGCUAGUGAGUUUCUAAGAAUCAAUUUUCAUUGAGAACAAGCAAAAAUGAUAUUUUUUUAAAUUAAAGAAUCUCCUGGUUCUUUAAUGGAUGUCCAUAUGAAUUCUCAAUUAAUUUUCGCAUCAUAUAUGAUCUAGGAUGGUCUAACUAAUCAUGCCAAGUAGUAAAUGCAUUUGUAUCAGUAAACUUCUGGUUUACUUUAACAUGUGUUUCAAUUGUACUAAAUUGUAACAAAUUAAUAAUUUCAAUUGUACUUAAUUGUAAUAAACUAAUAAUUUUACUAUCAUUCCUUUUACUUUAUAUCCUCAUGAAAAUGCUAUUGUGACAUUUACUACUAAAAAUGUCUAAAUCAAUGUGAAUAUUAUAAUGUCACUAAAUCAACAAAAUAAAAUAAUUUCCAAAUAAUUAUAUGCAACAUUCGCUUCAAGGAAUAUAGCAAAAUCUUCAAAUGUAGGGAAUUUACUACAUCCACGUUAAAGAUUAUGUCUUUCAAAUUUAUUAUACAUUGCUACAUUCUCUUUAGGGAAUGGUUAGGUUUCAUGUUUAAAAACUUUUUUUCAAUCAUAAGUAAUAUUUCAAGAUAUUGCUACUGUAAGAGCACAUUUGGAUCAUGAAAAGUUGAAUAAGUUCUCUCUUGCAAGGUUCUCAGCAGUAAUAUUUUUCCACGUAAUUUUAGUUGAGAACUUAUUUUGAAUACUGUAAAGUUAUACUCACAGUUUUAAAAUUUUGCAACUUCAAGUGCAUCCAACCAUAACGAGCUUUAGAUAGAAUUACCAUAUUCUACUACUCACAUUUUUCUUUUAAAUUAUUCCAGAAUUGAUUUAGAUCUUUCACAGUCAAAUAUUUUUCUUCCAACCCCUUAAUGGGGAUGAUGACAAAAGAAGAUCACAAAGAUUAUAAAAUAAAUAUAAAUUAAUAACUCAAUCCUCUCUUUUUUAUCCUUUCAAAAUAGACAUCUGAUACCAAUUAUAGGGUAUAAAGGGAAAUGCGAAAGUCUAUUGAUUUAUUUAUUAAAGAAAAUUUUUACAAUGAGAGAAUGGUAAAAGAAAAAGAAAGAUUUCUAAACUAUAUUUCAAUGCCUUCUUUAGGCUUCCUCUUUCUCUAUUUAUAAUUGAAUUCUAAAACUCUAUUUAAUUUUCUUUGAAUCUCACACAGUUUUUUGUUAAGGAUCCUGUCUCAUCAUGAACAUGGUUUCUUCCACGUUACAUUGUCUUGUCAAGUCAUUGAUUUAAUGGUUGCUUCCACUUCAUUGUCUUGUCACAUUAUUGAUUUAAUGUUUGUUUCCACAUUGCAAUCUCUUUUGUUUGCAUCUGGAUGCCUUCUUUUUCAAGUUGUUUCUUGAGUACUUUCUUUCCACUUGUCUGCAUGUUUUCACUUUAUCCCUAUUGGAUAUUAUCUAGAUUCAUUUCUUGUAUGUCAUCUAGAUGUAAUGAAUGUAAUUAAAGUUUUGGUGAUGAAUUCCAAGUCUCCCACAUGCUUUUGAUUUCUUCUAUAAUAUGAUAUAGAAAAUCUUCAAUCUCUAUUUUGACUAUCUUUUUUAAUAAUCUUAUAGAUUCUUCAUCUCUAUUCUUCUAGAUGUUUCUAGUGUCAUAUGCCAAUAUUCUUCUUCCAUCACUCCAAAUUUUAUAAAUUUCUUGCUGAAGCAAAUAAAUUUCUUGAGAGGUUUAUUUACAAAGUUGGUUAACAAGACUAUUACAUAUUGCGAUAGUCAAUGUGUCAUACAUCUCACCAAAGAUCAGAUGCAUCACAAUAGAACAAAGCAUAUAGACAUUUGUAUCAUUUUGUUCAGGAAGUGGUUGCUCAAGGAGAUGUUUAGAUUUACAAAAUCAAUAGAGAAAACAACCCAGUUGAUAUGAUGAUAAAAAUUCUUCCAAUUUUCAAGUUAUAAAAUGCUUGAACUUGGUAAGCAUCUGACAAAGAUCAAGUUAGGCCCAUAACAGGGUUCAAAAAAGAAAGCUUUUUCAAAAAUAUGAGUCAAGGUGGAGAUUUGUGGGGUUUGCCUCGCAUUUCGUCUGAAACAGAGUCUAUGUCGUGAUAAGGAAUAGCCAAUGUCCUACCGGAGCAACAAAUGAUGUCCCGAUGAGAAGAACCCGUCGUCUCGAAGAUGCGACAUGUAACGUCCUGAUGAACCAAUAGCAACAUCACGACAUGGCGACAUGUUCCCUACUAAAUCGGAUUUCUUUUCCUAAUUAAACUCUGAUAUCUUUUCUAGUCGAACUCUAAUAACUCUAGGGAUAUUCUAAUCAAGUUGGCCACAAAUUUUAACCUAUAAAUAGGGCUUUUAAAACACUAGAGAGAUUGAUUCAACAACAAAAGUAAGAGAGAGUUUUUGUGGGAAUUUUUGGAGAACUUUGUAUUUUUUUGGUUCAGGCUUUUUCUUUUCUCCAUCUUGUACUGCUCUUCGGUAAUUUGCCUGUUUAGUGAAGUGUUCUUUGCCCAUGGUGUUUAAUCCUCUUCGAUGGGGGUUUUCCACGUAAAUAUUUGUGUGUAAUUUUCUCAUUUUUUGUUCUUGUUCAUUGCACAAUGUAGGUUUAACCCAACAUGAAUCUUGAUUAUGACAUGGUGGAAGAAGUGCUGGGAAUUGAUUUGAGAGUUUUACAUAUGUAUUGAAAUAUUGACAAGUUUAAAUUGCAGGUGGGUUUGAAUGAAACUAGAGGAGGUGCUAUCGAAAUUUUUGUUAAAAAUAAAAAUUCUAUAUUCUUAAAUUGAUUAAAAAGAAUUAAGUUUGAGUUUCUUCGACAACGGAUUGUGACAUUCUAUAUUUGAAUCUACCAACUAGAUCGAUUGUAGGGUGUCACAAAAGUAAAAACUUUUGAAGAUAUUGAAGAUGCACUUUAGUCAAAAGUAACUAUAAAAAAAUUUGAAAAAGAAAAGAAACAUCAAAACGAGGAGGGGGCAAGCUCAUUGAAUUAUUAGCAAAUUGAGAUGAUCAAGUAAAUAAUCAAUGAACUGAUAAAUCUUGAAACCAGGGAUAGUACUGGGGUAAAUAAUUAAUAUAUAACAAUAUUUAAUUAAUUUAUAAUAAGGUUUUGUUUGUAAAAAAAUCAUAUACAUUAUUUAAAUUACAACUCAUCAAAAUUACAUUUAUAAUUAAUUUAAUAAUUUUAAAUGUAAAUAGUUUAUUUUUAUUAUUUAUUAUGAAAUUAUAUUUUUCUAUAAUUAAACCUUUUUUAAACAUUUUUAUUUACAAUUAAUUAUUUUAGUUAGUCAAUAAAUUAUGAACGAAUCUUAUAUAUUAUAAAUGUAACACCCUUAGCUCAACCUGAUCGCCGGGUCCAAGCUUCGAAAUGCUACAGCCAUUGCAGGAACAACAACGAAUAGUUAACAUCCAUAUUAAAACAUAAAUCAUACAGUCAUAAUCAUUUCAAAACAUAAUCACUUUAUAAGAUCUUUCUCAAGUCUUAUACUAGCAUAAUUAUGCUUUAAAGUUAACCUGGAAUCAAAUUAGGACCAAAAUUUAACAUUGUCAAAAUUCCAACGUGACAUUGCAAUGUGAGGGGGUUCCUCAUUGCAACCUAACAUAAUAACUUGGGCCUCGUUGUGGCGAUAAGGUUCAUCAUCACGCUGUGCCUAAAACCCAAGUCUCAUCGCGAUGGCCUAUGCCCACGUCACGACGUGGACUCUUUUCUUGGCACAAAAUAGGCCUUUUGGUGCUUAAUCCGAAUCAACUACACCAUUAAGACAUUUAGUGCAUUAUUGCACCUUUGUACCUGCACAAAACCAACCAAAAUACAUACCAAUACAUCCAUUUAACCAUUUCACACAAUCAAACAAUACCUCAAUUUGGCAACAAAACAUAUUCAACAACUUGUUUAAAACACAAAUUAGCAUUCAUGCCCUCAAGCCAUUCAAAACAACAUUCAAUCAUGCCAUUUCCAUGUUAAACUCAUACUAUUUGUACAUUCAAAUAAACCAUUCAAACCCUAUACAUAUGGUCCAAACACAUGACCAAAAUCAUGCCUUGAUAUAAGUGUAAGCAUUAACAUCUCAUGAUUUAUAUACUAUCCCAAAUUCAAAUGAAACAUAUAGUUUCAAUCUAACACACUUAUAGCACCCAUGUACAUUCUUACAAUAAUGAGUUACAAAAUUAACAAAAGGCUACCGAGUUGAUAGAGGGAUGGUGUGAGCUUUGUGAAGUCCAAUCAAUAAGUUCCGCAAACCAACUAUCUACAGAGAAAGAAAAACAACUAGAUAAACCUUUCUAAUGCUUAGUAAGUUCGAAGGUAAGAAAAUGGUAAACUUAUCUCGAUUUAUAAAAUAACAUAUCAAACUAAAUAAUUUGGUAAAGAUGACCUAACAUAACAAAUCACAAUAAUAAGGUCAGCUUAAAUACCAAAAUCCAUCACAUAUGUACCAUUUUAUAAUAUAUAUAUAUAUCAAUACCUAGCAUUUGAGUGAUUAUACAAGAAUACUAAAACUUAAUAUUCAAUUCAUACAGUAAUACACGUUUAAUUGUCAAUUAGAUUUCAAAUCAUUUAUAUUUCCCAUUACUUAUUUCCCAUAUUACUUGAUGAAACUCAAUAAACAAGCUCAAAUACAUAGGUACAAAUCACAUCGGAGGCUCAUUUGAGCUAAACAUAUAAUCGUGUCAGGUUACCAGUUCGGGCUAAAUCUUUAUAUCGACAUAUCAGAGAGCUUGGCCAGAGCUAUAUAUAUCGAUACGGGAUUCAAGAGGAAUAAGCGGAUCAGGAUUGAAUUCAAGUUGUUUAACUCAAGAAGGAAAGAUUUGGAUAUAGUCUGAAAAGAAAAAAUAAACAUAUUUAGUAAUAAAGAAAUCGAAAAUAGUAAAGAAGAAAUUUGAGAAUAAAAAAAAUAAAAAGCAUAAAUAAAUAAGAAAUAGAAAUUAAAAAAAGAACAAAGUGGAAGAUGGACGAGUAAAUCGAUGGAUAUGAUGGAUAGAAGGAUAAACGUCCAAUUGAACCCUUUGAGAUAUAAAUCCCAAUAAACUCAAUUAAUGGCUCUAAUCAACCCUCUAAGAAUUAAUCCUUGAAGAAUGAAUUGAAGGAUGAAGAAUGAAUUCCCACGACUUCUUCAAGAAAAUCAAGAAUAAAACUACUUCUAAAAAUCACAAGAAAGAAAUCUUGCAUAAAAAAAAAUCUCAGAGUUGAAAUCUUUAUUAAUGAAAACAAUUGUCUCCUUAAUAAAAAAUGAAGAAGCCUUUAUAUAAUCUAGCUAAGUACAUCCAAAUAAAACUCUAAAGUAUACUGAAACUCUAAUUAAUCUAAAGAAAAAGUAGUUUUAAACAAAACUUUCUUAUUAACAUAAAACUCCUAAAUAACUUAAAAUACUUAAUAGUUAUAAAAAAAUUGUAAUAAUCAAAUAAUAAGAGAUGAUAAAUACAAUAUUGGACUCAUAUAUAAUAAAAAUUAAGCAAAAAAUCCGAACCAAAUAUGAUUUAAACUUGAGUUAAAAGCACAAAACUCAUAAUUCCCGUCAUAAUCCUGUCCAAAAAUUCUACUCCUGCAGUCUUCACUAAAAUGGUCAUAAUUUGAGCUCCCAGACUCGAAAUCGAGUGAUUCAAAGUGUGUUUUGAAGCUAAGAGAUAGAACUUCAAACGCCAUGAAAUCUCAACCUGAAAAUGCCUAGAUCCCAUUCAAAAAGUCGAUGCAAGUAUGCUAAUUUCCAAAACUUAAAAAUUGACAGUUUGGGUGAAUGGAAUUUAAUAAAUUUCUCCCCAUCCGUGCAUGUAUCACAUAUACAUAUCAGGUUAUUCGUUUGAGCUAAACCUUUAAAACAAAAUCAGGUUACCAAUCCAAGCUAAACUUGUGUCACAUGUAUCUUCAAGUCCGCAACAAAUGUUGGAUUCUUGAAAUUAUCUGAAAUCAACCUGUAACCAUGUGUAUGAUACAUUUACAAAGUUUCAUCAAUGUAAUUUGCAUCAUGCAAGUUUAUAUUUAUUCUUUUUUUUUUCAAUUUAGUCCAAAUCUCACACUUUAGUACUAAAUUACAAAUAAUUCAAAGUUUAAUAAAACAUACAUGUAUUCACAAUAUUGCAUACAUAAAGGGUUUAAACAUAAUUGCACCAUAUGAACUUACUUGGAAAAAUGACAGUAAACACAAUAUCGAGGACUAUUCUGUAAUUUUCUCUUUCCCACAACUAUCCUCCGACUGGUUGAAAUCUCGAUCUAUAUCAUAAUUUAAUUCAAAUAUCAAUUCCAAACUUCAUUUAACAACCUACUAUAACUAUGUAUCAAUUCAAUUUCAUCUAUCCAUGUUUUUUAUUUUAUUUAGUUUAGUCCCUAAAAUUAGAAUUGUCAUAACUUUCAAAUUAGAGCCUCGAUUUUGAAACUCAAUCUCGAUUUCAUCUUUCUACAGUCCUAUACUAUCUAUAUUUACAAAAAAAAAAUUCAUGUUAAUUUCAAAAUAUUCACCCUUUAGUCCUUAUGUUCAAAACUAACAAUUUUCACGUUACAAACUAGUCUUUUGUUUCAUAUCUAAGCUUAGAAUCUAACAAUUUAACACCAAAAGUUUCAAGAUUCAACAAUAGAAACUUUUAAAAACUUUACAUUUUUGCAAAUUGGUACACAGGUAGCUCCCAAAACCUCAAAAACAUAAAAACUACAAUAAAAUGACUAAAUUAAGCUUACCAAUCAAGGAUCGAAAGUCUUUUAAAGCCAAACCCUAUCUCGCUCGUUUUCAUGAGAAAGAAGAUGAUGAAUGAAGAAUAAUAAAAAUUUUAGCUUUUGUUUAAUUAAUUUUAAUAUAUAACAUAAUUUAAUUAAAAAUUUUAACAUAUAUUCACUUAAAAGAAAACAUCAACCAUCCACCACUAUUUAAAAAUGGCCUAAUUGUCACUUUCAACCGUGGUUCAAUAUUAUGUAGCCUUUUUAUUAAUAAAAAUCAAUAGUGAUUAAUUUUUACCGCUUUAUAAUUUAGUAUUUGUACCUAAUUAGUCACCAAAUCGGUGAAAUUACCUAUCCAAAAUUCAAUUCACUUAUACAAUAACUCCAUAAAUAUUUAAUAAAAAUAUUUAAGGGUUCGAUUUACAGAAAUGAGGUCCCAAUACCUCAUUUUUCAACACCACUGAUUUAAGGGUUGGAACACUUGUACUUUAACUAACUAUUCAAUUAACAAAUUUUUCAAACCAAAAUUUAAUAUAAUAUUAUAAUCUUGAUCAUCAGAGAACGGGGUUCUAAAACCACCAUUUCCAGCACCACUAAAAAAUAGAUUCCUACAAUAAACAGCAAUUAAAUUAUUAUUUUUGUAUGUAUAGUUAUUAUUAUGUCAAAUUUUUAUUUUAAACUUAUGGUCAAUUAAUUAUUUAGAUUUAAAAUAUCCUUCAAAUGAUAGCAUUUUUUACUUUGGCAUAAUGAUAAAAAAUUAACCCCUAAAAGUUACUGCUUUUGUCACUUUUGUUUUUAUUCUUUUUCUUUUUUUGAUCACUUUGGCCCGUAGCGUUCAAAUUUUAGUCAAACUGCAUUUCUUUAGGUGAAAAAAUUAGUUGAACUAUUAAAAUUUUAAUGGUAUCAACAUGACAAUUUGCAUGUUCUUCAUAAAAAUUUAAAAAAUUAUUAAAAUUAUUAAAAUUUUGAUAAAGUUUAAAAAAUUCAGUAAUUUAUACUCUAAAAAGAAGUACAAGUAAACUAUUAUGUAGGGUACAACAUUAGUAUCAUUAAAAUUUUGAUAGUUCAACCAGUUUUCCAUCCACAAAAAAUAAUUUGACUAAAGAUUGAAGGUUGAUGACCAAGGUGAUCCAAAAAAAUAAGGUUAAAGUAACAAAAUGGAUACACAUUAGGGGUUAAAUUUAUCAUUAUGCCUUAAACUUUUUAAAAUAAAGAUAAAAUUAUUUUAGUAUGUAGUGAUUUAAAAUUUUAUAAAUUAUAUGAAUUCUUUUAUGUGUUUUACCAUAAAAUUAUUUUAUAUUAUUAAAUAUUGCUAAUAAUAAAUAUAUUAUAUAAUAUACACAGUAAUAUCUUUCACCUGCAACAUACGUGAGUUAAAACUACUUCCAAUUUUCGCAAAAAUGAGACAUGUCCAAAGCAAUUCAAUUAUUUAAUCAUUUGAAACUUGAGUCUUCACCCACUUUGAGACAUUUUGAGGAAACAAAUUAGUUAUAGAAAUAAUUAUAAAAUGCAUAAAUAAAAUAAAACAAGAUGUCAAGAAAUAAAUUGAAACAACGCAUAUAGAUUAAGCUCCAUCUAUUGUAAUUUAACACUAUAUUACUCUCGAAACUAGGAAAUUUAGAAGCAAACUAUUUAAAAUCAUACACCAUCGAGCUGCUUUAGGUUCAAAUGAUAAUCUGAUUACAUGCUUAGCGAGCACCUUCUUCAAGUUCAAAUGUGAUUUUGUUAUUUAUGCUAUCAUACCCCAUCCCUAUCCAGCUGCUUGUUACACCAUCAUCGUAAGUGCUGGGAAACUUACCAAGCAAGUAUUCGGAUUCUUCGCUUACUAAAUUACUUUUACUCCAAGGAUGUUUAGCCAUUGCUUGCAGUCCUGCUAAUUCAUGGGCAACUUCCUUCAUUGUUGGCCUUUCCUCUCCCUUCACUCUCACACAUCUCCUAGCUAAAGUUGCUACUUCCAUAAGCUGCUCAACAUUUUCAUCAUUAAGCACUCGAGGAUCGAGAAUGUCGAGCAAACGGUCUUCUUUCAUCAAAGAAGUGAAGUACAUUGGCAAAACUCGAUUUUCCGGUCUUUUGAAACAUACCACUUUUUGUCCUGUUAACAACUCCAUAAGCACAACCCCGAAGCUGUAGACAUCACUUUUUUCAGUAAGAAGGCUUGAAAGCAUGUAUUCAGGAUCCAAGUAACCGAAAGUUCCUUGCACAAUUGUAGUUAUUUGUGCUUGGUCAGAUGGGAUCAAUCUGGAAGCCCAAAAUCAGAAACUUUUGCGGUGUAAUUGUCAUCUAACAGUAUGUUCGCCAACUUGUUGUCUCGGUGAAUGAUUGGAAUGGAAGCUGCAGAGUGCAAAUAAGAAAGGGCUUCUGCUGUUUCAGUGACUAUUCUCAAACAGGUCUCCCAUGAAAGAUAAGAGGUAGCAUCAUCAUUAUGCAAAUGGUGAAAAUGGGUUCUGUUGGUGAUAUAUUCAUAAACUAACAGCGGAACUUGGGUCUCCAAACAACAUCCUAGGAGUUCGACAACAUUCCUAUGGUUGAUUUGGUAGAGCACCAUUAUUUCAUUGAUGAAUUGUUCAACUUGGCUAGGAUCUCCAAUUAUUGACUUUUUGAUGGCAACUAUUUGAUUAUCAGCCAAUGUUCCCUUGUACACUGUCCCUUGCCCUCCCUGUCCUAAAAUUCUGCGUUCAUUGUAAUUGUUUGUUGCCUUCUCGAGUUCCUCAGUUGUAAAUACUUUAACAUCUUCACGGUACCCUUGUUUUGAAAGUUGUUCCCGCAACAAAAUGCCACCAUUUUGCUAAAAGUAAGGUUCUUUUAAUUUUCACCAAAUUAAAGUUCAUGUAUACAAUUGUACAUGAAACCAAAGUUCAUGUAUAAUUUUGAGAUUUAUCUCUUUUUGAUUUUAAUGAUUUAUAUUUCUCAUCAGCUCACUGGAGUUGACAACUAUAAUAUUUGCAGUCGUGCGAUGCGAAUUGCGUUGAUUGCCAAAAAUAAAUUGGGUUUCAUUAAUGGUACUUGUUCCAAAGAUUUAUUGGCAGAAGAUUUGUACUCAUAGUGGGAGCGAUGCAAAGCUAUCGUGUUAUCUUGGAUAUUGUACACGGUAAGCAAAGAGCUCUCUACAGGUAUCGUUUUUGCUUCAAGUGCAACAGCAGUUUGGCAGGAUCUUAGCAAGCGAUUUAACAAGACUAAUGGUUCAAGAGUCUACUUCUUGCAUUGAGAAAUUUCUUCUCAUCUUCAAGGAAUUUCUUUGAUUUCAACCUAUUUCACAAAGCUUAGGUUGUGAUGGGAAGAGUAUGAUUCCCUAGUUCUCGUUUCUUCUUGUGGUUGUGUGCAAACUAAACAGGUUAUUGAUCACAUUGCGCAGCAGCGUUUGUUUCAAUUUUUGAUGGGUUCAAAUGAAACUGAUAGUGUUGUUUGGAGUCAAAUUUUAUUGAUGAGCCCCUUGCCUAUGGUCAAUCAAACAUAUUCCAUGCUCGUGCAAGAAGAGUCACAAAGGCAGCAUGUAUCAGGUCUAGUUGUUGCUGAUCCUACCUCUUUAUAUUCAGCAAAUGUCAAUCCAUACAUAAAUCGAUUUAAUGGUGUGUGUGAUCAUUGUAAAGUUUAGGGCCAUAAGAGAGAAAAUUGUUAUAGACUAAUUGGAUAUCCACUUGAUUUCAAGUUCACUAAUAAGCGUUUUAUGUCCGGGGCUAGUGCAAACAACGUGGUAGCAAACGAAGGGACAGUGGUUGAUAGCAGUGUGCCCAACAGCAACAUUCGAAGCUCUCUUGGUGUGUUUCAAUCUCUUGGGUUCACACAGGAACAAUAUUAGAAAAUAUUAAGCUUGUUGAACAAAGAAUCUUUGGUCGAGACGACUACAAAUAUGGCAAUUGGGGCAAAUUUAGCAGGUAUGAGUACAUCUUGUGAAUGGAUUUUAGAUACUGGUGCUCCUAAUCACAUGCUUUCUAGCUUCCAACACCUUGAAUUUCCUAUUGCAUGCACUUCUAAUUCACCAAGUGUUCGUUUACCAAAUGACUCCUCCACACCCAUAACACAUACAGGAUCGUAUACCCUCUAUCUCGGUGCCACUCUUAAAAAUGUGUUAUAUAUACCUGAUUUUCAAUACAAUCUCGUUUUUGUUUCAAAACUUACCAAGGAUUUGCAUUGUUUUGUUACAUUUUACUCACACUUUUGUAUUUUCCAAGACCUCUCAAGUGGCAUGAUGAAGGGGAUUGGUAGGGAACAUGGCGGCCUCUAUAUUCUUCAUUCUUCCCUAGCUAUAGUAUCUUCAACUCAUGUACCUUCUUCAACAGCUAAUUCUUUUCAUACAACUCUCGGUAGUUCUUUUAUCUGGUAUGUGCGACUCGGCCAUGCUCCUUUGUCAAGGUAUUUAGUUCGAUGCUUAAUUUUGUAGCGUGUAUUUCCAGAGUUUUUUUAAGUUUUGAAAACCAAAUUCUAAUUUGUCAAAUUCAAAUAAUUUUGCAGUUUACAUUAAGAACACCCAAAAAUUGACGAAUCAAACAAAACCCAAAAGCAAAAACAAAUCCGAAAACUUAGUCCAAAAAUCUUAAUUUCUCAACCAAAACAAACCAUUUUAUGUGAAAACCAAUCUGAACUCCUGCACGCCGUCCGGUCCUAAGCCUGACGAUCAUUUGAAACAUACUAAACAAACGAGUAAGCUAGAUUGUUGCAUAUUGUGACUCGGAUUGGGGAACAUAUCUGAUGACUAGAAAGUCGAUUACAGGGUACUGCAUCAAACUAAGAGAUCCGCUCAUUUCGUGGAAGUCCAAGAAGCAAAACACAAUCUCUCGGUCAUCUACGGCAGCAGAAUAUCGAAGCAUGGCAUUGACAGUUGCAGAUAUAAUUUGGUGAAGUGGUCUGUUGGGAGAAGUUAGUCUCGACAAAUUGGAACCAACAAAAUUGUUUUAUGAUAGUUGUUGCGGAAAGGAUCGAUUCGAGAACUCCGAUAUGACUACAAGUAAAUUGACCGAAACGAAAAAUAAAGUGAACACAAGGAUUUACGUGGUUCGGCUUUAAUGCCUACGUCCACGGGCAGAGGCGAAAAGAAAUUUCACUAUAACAAGAUGAAGAUUACAAGUGUUUUACACUCAAGACACAACCCGAGAACCUCACAACUCUCAACCCCUAUAGAAAACCCGAAAGCUAAAAUCCUAGCUUUCAAAGAACAAGCUUUGCUCUCUCUUGGUUUGGGAUGAUCAAUAUGGCUAAUGAACCUCUCUAUUUAUAAGAGAGUUCAAGGACAUAAUUGUCCAAAACUUUGGCAAAGAUUUGUGGUUGAAAAUGGACACCAACAACCAUCCACUAAUCCACUACCACCAACAACCCACUACCAACAACAACAAUCCACUACCAAUUUUAAGCCAUUUCUUAACAAAUCUCCACCUUGGCUUGAAAUUUACCAAGCUGAACAUCAUAGUGAACUGGAUCACCUCUUCCAAACGCCUCUCUGGCGCUAAUCAAUCCCGAAUACCUAUCAAGUCCAAGCAAUGCUUGAACUUAUAUGCAGGGAUCACCUUAGUUAACAUAUCUGUAGGAUUCUUCUCGGUAGCAACCUUGCUGAUAACAAUGUCACCUUGCGUAACAUGUUCCCGAACAAAAUGAUAUCUGACAUCAAUGUGUUUGGUCCGUUCAUGAAACAUCUGAUUUUUAGUCAGAUGUAUGGCACUCUGGCUAUCGCAAAAUACAACAGUGAAAUCCUGUUGUAAACCCAAACUGCUUACUAGACCUUUCAUCCACAAUGCUUCUUUCACUGCUUCUGCUAACGCCAUAUAUUCCGCCUCAGUCGUAGAUAAGGCUACGGUAGACUGUAACACAGCUUUCCAACUAAUGGCUCCUCCAGAAUAAGUGAAAACAUAACCCGUCAGAGAUCUUCUUUUGUCCAGAUCUCCAGCAUAAUCAGAGUCCGCAUAGCCCGUGACACUGCUAGUGCAGUCACUCUGAUCAUAUACCAAGCAUAAAUCUGCAGAACCUCUCAAGUACCUGAGAAUCCAUUUCACGGCCUGCCAGUGUUCCUUGCCAGGACAACUCAUGUAUCUGCUGACCACACUAACUGCAUGUGAAAUGUCUGGACGAGUGCAAACCAUUGCAUACAUCACGCUUCCAACUGCACUCGAGUAUGGAAUGUGAGACAUUUGCUGCUUUUCUUCCUCAGAUUGUGGUGACAACUCUGCAGAGAGUUUGAAAUGUGGUGCCAACGGAGUACUCACAGUUUUCGCUUUAUCCAUGCCGAAGCGUUGAAGAACCUUUUCAAUGUAGUUCUUCUGCGACACACGAAGCUUGCCCGCCUUGCGAUCUCUGUGAAUAUCCAUGCCCAAAAUUUUCUUGGCAGCACCCAGAUCCUUCAUCUCGAACUCACCACUCAACUGCGACUUUAACUUGUUGAUUUCCGACAUGUUUUUGGAAGCAAUUAACAUGUCAUCAACAUACAGCAACAAAUAAAUGUGCGAACCAUCUGAGAGCUUCCGAUGAUAGACACAAGCAUCAUAGUCACAUCUUGUGUAACCAUGCUGAAUCAUGAAGCUAUCAAACCGCUUGUACCACUGCCUUGGGGAUUGUUUCAAUCCAUAUAAAGACUUCUUUAAUAGACAGACAUGGUCUUCUUUACCAGGAACUGUAAAACCCUCUGGUUGACGCAUGUAGAUUGUUUCCUCGAGCUCACCAUGCAAGAACGCCGUUUUUACGUCAAGCUGCUCAAGUUCUAGAUCAGACUUGGCCACCAUGGCAAGUAAUAUACGAAUGGAAGAAUGCUUUACGACUGGGGAGAAAACUUCAUUGUAGUCAAUCCCCUCUUUCUGAGUGAAGCCUUUAGCAACCAAUCGUGCCUUGAAUCUAGUUGCUUCAACCCCUAGGAUGCCUUCCUUUUUCUUGAAGACCCAUUUGCAACCAACUAUCUUCUGGUUACUUGGCGGCUUAACCAACUCCCAAGUAUGGUUCUUGUGAAGAGAUUCUAUCUCCUCACUCAUAGCAAUUGCCCACUGUGCCGACUCAUCACACGUGACAGCCUCAUUAUAACUGGAAGGUUCUAUACCAAUGGACUCCGCCACACUGAGCGCGAAAGACACCAGAUUAGCGUAACGCGGAUUUGGUUUGAUUUGUCUCUUCGUUCUUCCAGUGGCAAUGCUAUAUGGUUUUUCUUGAGGUGACUCAUCUUCAUCGGAAUCUUGCACCUCAACUUGAUCAUCCUGGACUGAAGUACCUUCCGUAGGAAUUGGAGCGUCCACCUGACACUCCACCUGCUUCUCAACACCGUGAUCUCCCAUUCUAUCUGACUCCUCCUUUUCCCGGGAAUUUGUGGUGGAUCGAAGCAUGGAUGACUCAUCAAAAGUCACAUCUCUGCUGAUGAUGAACUUGGACGAAACCGGAUCAGGACACCACAACCUGUAUCCUUUCACCCCUUGGCCGUAUCCAAGAAAUAUGCAUUUCUUCGCCCUCGGUUUGAGUUUUCCCUCAUUUACAUGAGCAUACGCAGGGCAGCCAAACACUCUUAAACCAGAGUAAUCAGCAGGAGAACCAGACCAUACUUCCUCAGGAGUCUUCAGCUCAAUAGCUGUUGACGGAGAUCUGUUAACCAAAUAACAAGCAGUAUUAACAGCUUCAGCCCAAAAUUCUUCACCGAGCCCAGCAUUUGAUCGCAUGCAACGAGCUCGCUCCAAGAGAGUUCUAUUCAUGCGUUCUGCAACUCCAUUUUGUUGUGGUGUUCGACGAACAGUGCGGUGUCUCACUAUUCCUUCAUUCUUGCAGAACUCAUUGAAUUCACCUGAGCAAAACUCCAAGCCAUUAUCCGUCCGGAAUCGCUUGAUCUUCUUUCCUGUUUGAUUUUCGAUCAAAGCUUUAAAUUGCUUGAAGUUGAUGAGAACCUCAUACUUGCUCUUCAGAAAAUACACCCAAACCUUUCUCGAGUAAUCAUCGAUAAAGGUAAGCAGAUAUCUGUAACCACCUUUAGAAAUUGUCGGAGAAGGCCCCCAAAGGUCAGAAUGGAAGUAAUCCACUGUGCCUUUUGUCUUGUGAAUCCCAGUGCUGAACUUUACCCGAGUCUGCUUACCGAAGACGCAGUGCUCACAGAAAUUCAACUUUCCUGUACACUGCCCAGACAAUAAUCCUCGUUUGCUUAGCACCGAUAAGCCUCUCUCGCUCAUAUGCCCGAGCCGCAUAUGCCAUAACUUCGUGGUGUCAGAAUCUAGAUCAUCUGAUGAUGACACUCCCGCAACACCUGUAACCGAGGAACCAUCGAGGAAGUAAAGGCCCCGCUCCAAAUUACCACGUAUCACAGUCAAAGCACCCGAGAAUACCUUGAGAACUCCACCUUCAGCAGAGUACCGAAAGCCUUUCUUGUCCAACGUACUCAAAGAGAUCAAAUUUUUCUUCAUUUCUGGAAUGUGCCGAACAUCAGUUAGAGUUCUAACAAUACCGUCAAACAUCUUUAUACAAACUGUGCCAAUCCCCAUGACUUGACAUGCGUGGUCAUUUCCCAUUAGUACUGAACCAGAAUGCUUCUCGUAUGUUGAGAAUGCAUCUUUCGAAGUACUUAUAUGAAAUGUAGCUCCCGUAUCAAGAAUCCAUCUCCCACCAGCGUAAGAGUCGGAUACUGCAAGAACGAUCUCGGCAUCACUUGAAGAAUCUGCAUCAGCUACAUUCGCACGAUCAUUUUGUUGCUCCUGUGAUUCUGAUUUCUCCUUCCUUUUCGGACAAUCUACCUUCAUGUGCCCGUACUUCUUACAGUAGUAGCACUGUAUUCUCUUCUUGGACUGCGAUCUAGGAUGGCUUUUACUUGAACUUCCACCCUUUGCCUUGGAUCUUCCUCGAGCAACCAAGCCUUCGCCUUCAUUGUUUUCGACCACCUUACCAGUGAUUUUCUUCCUCAACUCACUGGAACUUAAGGCAUUUUUCACCUCCUCUAGAGUCAGGUCAUCACGACCGUACAUCAUUGUAUCAACAAAAUUCUCAUACGAGGGAGGCAAAGAACACAAAACAAUUAUUGCUUGGUCCUCAUCAUCGAUUUUGUUAUCGAUAUUAUUCAAAUCCAUGAUAAUGGAAUUGAAUUUAUCCAGGUGCUGGGAAACAGGUGUACCUUCCUCCAUCUUCAGGGCAUAGAGUCUUUGCUUGAGGUAGAGCCGGUUCGUCAAUGACUUCGUCAUGUACUUGCUUUCUAACCGGAGCCACAAACCGGACGCGGUUUUCUCAUCCGCUACUUCUCGUAGCACUUCAUCUCCUAGACAUAGCAGAAUAGCACUAUGUGCUCUUUCUAGCAUGUCAUCCUUUUGCUCUUCCGAAAGCGUGCUUGGUAAUUUAUCUUUACCAGACAAUGCUUUUAGCAAUCCUUGUUGAACCAGCACUGCCCGCAUCUUGAUGCGCCAUAAACUGAAACUAUUUUUCCCGGUAAAUUUCUCGACAUCAUACUUAGUCGAUGAAACACUUGUAGCCAUAAUUUGGAACCUUUGAAUGAAUGAUAAUAUUUUCUUCCUGAUGUGAAAGAUCAGACAAAGCUGCAGUCACAGGGCAAUUCAGAAAAUAUUAUCACUCCUUCAACUACGCUCUGAUACCAAUUUGUUGCGGAAAGGAUCGAUUCGAGAACUCCGAUAUGACUACAAGUAAAUUGACCGAAACGAAAAAUAAAGUGAACACAAGGAUUUACGUGGUUCGGCUUUAAUGCCUACGUCCACGGGCAGAGGCGAAAAGAAAUUUCACUAUAACAAGAUGAAGAUUACAAGUGUUUUACACUCAAGACACAACCCGAGAACCUCACAACUCUCAACCCCUAUAGAAAACCCGAAAGCUAAAAUCCUAGCUUUCAAAGAACAAGCUUUGCUCUCUCUUGGUUUGGGAUGAUCAAUAUGGCUAAUGAACCUCUCUAUUUAUAAGAGAGUUCAAGGACAUAAUUGUCCAAAACUUUGGCAAAGAUUUGUGGUUGAAAAUGGACACCAACAACCAUCCACUAAUCCACUACCACCAACAACCCACUACCAACAACAACAAUCCACUACCAAUUUUAAGCCAUUUCUUAACAAUAGUCAAGUAGCCCUUCAGAGAGUAGCCAAUGUAUUCCAUGAACAAACUAAGCACAUAAAAACUGAUUGUCACUUUGUUCGGGAGAAAAUCAAAGGGGGGUUGGUUAAAACACAACACAUAUGCAUCAGUGAGCAAAUAGCAGGCUUAAUGACAAAGGCCCUCGGUGUGCAUCAGCAUGAGUAUUUGCUGUCCAAGUUGGGAGUCAAAGAUCUUUAUCACCCUCCAACUUGAGGGGAAGUGUUAAAGAUACUGGUAAUUGGGUGAAUAAUAGAAAAAUCUUUGUAGUAGUUAGAUUAGUUACUAGUUAAUAGUUAGUUGAACAUAUGCUAUAAAACAUCUUACUAUUGUAAUUUAAGAAUGAAGCAGUAUACUUUUCAUUCAGAUACAAUACUGGUCUAACUUGUAGUUCAUCAUUGUUGGACAUCUCCGACACUUUCAAUAUAUAUAUUUGUAAUUAUAUUCAAUUUUUUUAAAAAGAAAAACUGGUAUUGGAUAUUUGGUUUGCCAAAGUAAGAAUAUACUAUCAAGUUAUUUUGCUGGUAUUUUGUAAGGCUUAGCAAUCAAAUAUAGUAGCUUACUAAUAAAACCCGUUGAAAUCAUUAAACUGGAAUUUGGAACUCAUGCAAGCUUUGGAUAGCAAAUGAAAAAAAUUACCUCUAAUCUCAUUAAUGCAUGAAACAGGAUAAUGUUGAUGAUUAAUUUAACAACUAGGAUUUAUUUUAUUAUGAACGUCUUCCACGUAGUUUUUUAAUUUUUAUUUAAUUACUUAUAAUUUUACUUAAUUGUCGGUAUCACAGAUAAAGAAAUAUCAAUUUAAUUUGAGAAUUUUAUUUAGAAUUCGAAUGGAUUUUUUAUUUGGUAAAUAAAUUUUAAAAGAAAAUUUAAAAAAGAAAAACUAACAACCGAAAAUUCCAUCCAACCAAAUUGAAGAAUUUUAAUUCAAUUAAUUUGAUUUUAACAAUAAAUUAAUUGGAUUAAUAAGUUUUAAUGACUUAUUCAAUUUAGAUUUUUGAAAGAAUUUAUUAAAUUAUUUAUAUAUAAAAAAGGAAUUGACGAACCCACCCAAUAUACGCUUUCAAGUUUCACUCUCCCUUUCAUCUAGAGUUCACAGUUCUAGAGGUGCUCAUGGGCCGGGCCGAGUCCAGAAAAUUUUUUUGGCCCGUGUCCUAGGCCCAGGCCCGGUCCAAGAAAAAUUCCUAAGCCUAAGCCCGGCCUGACCCGACCCGACCUAUAUUUUAAUAAACACCAAUUUCUUUUAAAAAAUAAAAAUAUUUUAAAAAUAUUUUAAAAAUAAAAAAAGUAUUUUAAAAAUAAAAAAUAAAAAUAUAUAUUUAUUAUAUUCGGGCUGGGCCGGGCCCAGGCCAAAAAAGUGGUGCCCGAGGCCCGGCCAAUUUUCUAAACGGGCUUCAUUUUUUCCCAAACCCAUAUUUCGGGCCUAUAUUUUUACCCGAACUCUCUCAUAUUUCGAGCGGGCCGUCGGACCGGGCCAGGUCGCCCGGCCAUGAGCACCUCUAGUUCACACUAGCAAUGCCUCUAUUAGAGAAUAGGAGUUGUUAGUUAGUUAGUGAGUCUAGUAUGGUUGUUGCUCAAUUCAGAGUAGUCACUAAAGUCUAUAAAUACUGUACAUUAAGAAUUCAGAAGCAAGCAAGUUUGAAUAAACAAACAAGAAGUUUAUUCUAUUAUUUUCUCCAUUUCACUCUCUGUCUGGAUAGAUAUUUCUUCCUUUUUAUCUAGUUCUUUCAUGGUAUCAUUCGCCAAUUGAUUCUAGUUAUUGUUUCUCAUGGCUUCUGCUGAUUCCGCAUUUGGUGAACCUAGCUCUAGUGUGUUUGCUGCCGAUCGAGUCACAACCGUUCUUCCUCGACAUGAAGUGGUCAAACUCGAUGAAGGUACUUAUCUUCAAUGGCGUAAACAGGUAAAACUGAUUGUUAAUGGCUAUGGACUCAUAGGUUUCUUAGAUGGCACUGUUGCUCCGCCAUCACGAUUCGUUAUUCUAUCCGAUGGCUCUCGUGCUCCAAAUCCGACGGCUCAGGUGUUUACGCAGCAAGAUCAGCUGCUGAUGUCCUGGCUUUUGUCUACUGUAACUUCCUCUCAUCAAUCCUCCUUUGAUGAUACUUGCACGGCGUGCGACAUAUGGAGUAUGGCCAUUAAUCUUUUUGCAGUUGAUACGGGCGCCAAGUAGUCGAGGAUUCGGCAUGAGCUUCACUCGUAGAAGAAAGGUAAUCUUUCUAUUAAGGCAUAUGUUGCUCGGAUUAAAGAUUUGUGUGCUAUGUUAGAUGCUUUUGGCUCUCGUAUCUCCGAUGAAGAGAAGAUUAAAGUGGUGCUUGCGGGUUUACCGUCGAACUUUGAGGCAGUUAUCUCCUCUGCUCGAUUGUCGCCUGGAGUUUUUCCGUUACAACGUUUGGUGGAUGCGUUAGUCGAUUGUGAGAAUCGCCAAGAUCGAGUGUUGCAGGAGGUAAGUUUGAACGCGAAUCUUGUUCAAAAUGAGCCGUCGAUGGAAGGGGCCGGUCGUGAAGGCCGUGCGUCUGUUCGUGGUCGUGGUCAAUUCUUCAAAUCUCGUGUUCAAUGCCAGAUCUACAGUCGAUUCGGUCAUGUGGGUUAGAAAUACUAUUAUCGGUAUCACCGAGACUCGAAUGAAUCAUCUGGUGUUGAAGGUUCUGAUUCUGGAGUUUUUGUGCAAAAUGGUGAAGACCAGGUGGUGGCUCCUUAUCAGAAAAGUCAAAGAGUUUUUUAUGGUCAAGGGAGUCAUGGUGGUCAAAAUAGAUAUGCUAGUCAAAAUGUGUGUGCUGGCAUGCAAAAUAGGUCAUUGGCACGUGGGCCACAUGUGUCUAAUGCACAACAUUAUGCCUACAAGCCCAAUUUGUGCAAAUUCGGUCAUGAUGAAGGGCAAGGAUAUAAUGGAGACACGUCACAUGGUUUUACUACUGGAAAUGGACAGUGGCAAGGUUAUAAUGGAAACAAGUCACAUGGGCCAAAUAUUCAACAUUCCUCUCAUGGGCCGCAUGUUCAAUUUAAUGCUGGGCCGAAUAUUGUACCAUCCUCUAAUUUUGUUCAAGUUGAUCAAUAUGAUCCUGGCUCACCUGAACCGAUUGGUGAUGGACUAGGUAUUGGUGGUCCGGUUCUGCGAUUUACCAAACCGCGUGCUCAGGCCUAUACUGGGUCUGACUCAUGUAUUGGGCUUCCUCAGCUAUGGGACUUACAUGCGUCUGAUUAUUCUGAUCCUUCAGUAUCAGGCUCUCAUGUUAAUACUGCUCAACUUGGAUCUAGUACUGGUAAUGAUGAUUCGUGCAUUCUAGUGUGCGGUGGCACCACAUCUUGGUAUCCUGACUCGGGAGCGAGUCAUCAUGUCUGUCGCGAUGUGUCAAUUUUACGUGAUGUCACGCCAUAUUCAGGUAAGUCAUCUUUUUUAAUGGGCGAUGGUACUCUUGCGGUAAUUUCGUCAAUUGGUACUGCUAUUUUACCUACUCAAUAUAAAUCGUUACGGUUAUCAAAUGUUUUAUGUGUGCCAAGUAUACGGAAAAACCUCUUAUCCGUCUCACAGUUUGCUCGUGAUAAUGGUGUGUUUUUUGAGUUUCACCCUACCUAUUGUGUUAUUAAGGAUACGGUGACUCAGGAGAUAUUGCUGACAGGCCGUAUUCAUGAUGGUCUAUAUCAGUUUUCUCUGCCAGUGGUUUCUACUUCGCCUACGACUGCUCCAUUUGUUCCUCAUUCGCAAGUUCCACAUACAGUUUCGACUACUUCUGUGUUUGCUUUAUGGCAUAAUCAUUUAGGCCACCCGUCGACUUCUGUGGUCAAAAAUAUUCUAAAUAAAUGUAAUGUUGUUUCAAAUAAAACUAGUUUGGAUGGUAUAUGUAUUGCAUGUCAAAAAGGCAGGUCACAUAAGUUGCCUUUCUCCCCUUCGACUAGUAGCUAUCGUCCUUUUGAGUUGGUUGUGUCUGAUCUUUGGGGUCCUACACCUGUUGCUUGUGGUGAUAAGAGAUAUUAUGUUUCAUUUAUUGAUAUGUGUACUAGGUUUACUUGGGUUUAUCUUUUACGUUAAAAAGCUCAAGCACUAGAAUGCUUUACUCAAUUUUAACAAUUGAUUACAACACAGUUUGGCAAGUCUAUUAAGCAGUUCCAAAGCGAUUGGGGAGGUGAAUACCGUGGUUUUACGUCUGUCUUAGAAUCUCAAGGGAUCAUACAUCGACUGACCUGUCCGUGUACUUCAGAACAAAAUGGAGUAGAUGAGCGUAAACAUCGUCACAUUGUUGAAAUGGGUAUUACAUUGUUGGCUCAUACAAAUUUGCCUAUGGAAUACUGGGGGUAUGCGUUUUGUUGUGCGGUUCAUCUUAUAAAUCGACUUCCUACUGUUUUACUUCAUGAUAGUUCUCCGUUUAAGGCACUAUAUGGAAGUGACCUGACCUAUGAACAUCUUCGAGUGUUUGGCUGCUGUUGUUAUCCUUACUUACGUCCGUUUGUAGGUCAUAAGUUGGAAUUUCAGUCUCAGUCGUCUACGUUUUUAGGCUACAGUCCUCAUCACAAAGGGUAUCAAUGUCUUUUACCAGAUGGUAAGGUUAUAAUUUCAAGGCAUGUGGUCUUUGAUGAGCAAAGAUUUUUGUUUGCUGAGACUAGUCCAGACAAGUCUGUAUCGACAACCAGUCAGACUAGUUCGACGGUUGUUCCUCUCGUGUGGCCAUCCUAUUCCUCAAAUCUUGAGCCUUGCAUGAUGACACCGUCUUUACAAGGGUUGCAGUCUCAGUCCACUGAUCCUGUAUUAGAUGUUAAUUUGGAGCAUCCCCAGUCUCAUGAUUCUUCAGCUGAUGUUGGGACUGGGUCGGGUAAUCUUCCAGCAGUGCAUGGCUCAGGAUCAUCAAGUGAUACCAAUGCUCACUCCCAUUCUACUAUGAGAAUGUCUACAGGUGUUUCGUCGGCAUCUGAUAGUCAGAUUAGUCGGACACCUGUAGGCAAACUCACCCAAUGGUCACUCGAGCUAAAGAGGGAGUUUACAAGCCUAGGGUUUUAAAUGUUGAAGCUGUUGAACUGACUACAAUUGAAGAAGCCUUGGCUACUAUUGAGUGGCGUGCUGCUGCGCAAGAUAAGUAUGAUGCUCUUAUGCAUAAUUCCACAUGGGAGCUAGUUCCUGCUCCGUCUAAUCGUAAGGUCAUUGGGUGCAAAUGGUUGUUCUGAAUCAAGAAGAAUUCUGAUGGUACUAUUGCUCGACAUAAGGCUCGAUUAGUUGCAAAAGGCUACUCUCAAGUUCCAGGUUGUGAUUUUAAGGAAACGUUUAGUCCAGUGGUCAAACCGGCUACUAUCAGAGUUAUUUUGUCUAUUGUUGUGUCUAGAGGGUGGUCGCUUCGGCAAGUGGAUGUGAAUAAUGCGUUUCUAAAUGGCGAUCUUGACACUGAAGUUUUUAUGCAUCAACCUCCCGGUUAUGUUUAAUAUGGCUCAGAUGGCAGACCUUUGGUGUGCCGUCUGAAGAAAGCGUUGUAUGGUCUUCGUUAGGCUCCUCAUGCCUGGUUUGAGAAGCUAAAAGGAUUUCUAGUCUCUGUGGGGUUUGUGGUUUCAAAGUCUGAUGCUUCCUUAUUUGUUCGAGUUGUGCCAGCUUCAACAUUGUAUGUUCUUGUGUACGUUGAUGAUAUUAUUAUUACUGGUGAUGUACCUUCUCUUAUAGAGUGGUUUGUUAAAUUGCUGAAUAGUGAGUUCUCGCUUAAGGACAUGGGUGAUCUCUAUUAUUUUCUUGGGAUAGAAGUUAUUUGUUCUUCGUUAGGUUGCCUUCAUCUUUGUCAGAAGAAGUAUAUACGUGAUAUUCUUAUACGUUGUUUGAUGGAAAAUGCGAAGAGUGUUCAUACACCGAUGGUUAGUUCCUCUAUUAUGACUAGAGAUGGUGGUGAGCAGUUAGAGGAUCCGACUGAAUACAGGAGUCUUGUAGGAGCAUUACAGUAUGUCACUCUUACGUGGCCUAAUGUUGCCUAUGCUUUAAAUAGAAUAUGUCAGAUUAUACAUUGUCCUACUUCCAUUCAUAUGACCGCUCUGAAGCGCAUUUUGAGAUAUCUAGGUGGAACGAUUGAUUUUGGGAUUGUGUUUCGUCUGUCCACCGUUUUGUCCUUAGAUGGAUAUGCUGAUACAAACUGGGGAUUAGAUUUUGAUGACCGGAGAUCCACUACUGGAUACUGUGUUUAUUUCGGACAUACACCUGUGUCGUGGUGUACGAAGAAACAACAGGUUGUUGCUCGGUUUACUGUUGAGGCAGAAUAUCGAAGACUUGUCGCAGUUACUAGUGAGGUUACGUGGCUUUUAUCGUUACUUCAAGAAUUACAUGUUCAGUCUAAUAGUAUUCCCAAUAUUUGGUGUGACAGUUCUGGGGCAGUUGCGGUUGCUGCUAUCCUGUUCUCCAUUCAAAGUUUAAGCAUGUUGAGUUAGAUUUAUUUUUUGUUCGUGAGAAGGUUGCUGAUGGUCCUGUUGCCAUUGGCGAGGUUCCAGCGUGUGAUCAGGUAGCUGAUGUUCUCACUAAGCCACUUUCCCUAUCGAGUUUUACUCAUUUUCGGAGUUUUCUACGGGUCUUGCCUGUGGAGAAGAUGGAUGAAUAUUAGAGAAUAGGAGUUGUUAGUUAGUUAGUGAGUCUGGUAAGGUUGUUGCUCAAUUCAGAGUAGUCACUAAAGUCUAUAAAUGCUGUACAUUAAGAAUUCUGAAGCAAGCAAGUUUGAAUAAACAAACAAGAAGUUUAUUCUAUUAUUUUUCUCCAUUUCACUCUCUGUUUGGAUAGAUAUUUCUUCCUUUUUACCUAGUUCUUUCAGCCUCAAAUGCACCUUUUUUUUUCAAUUGAUAUUAGUUAAAUUACCGUGAGACUAUCUAAAAAUAGAAGUUUUAAAUAAAACUUAUAAAUCUUAUCAUAUUGUGAAACAAAAAUUAGAAUAUAAAUAUAACGUAUUUACUAGAAAUGACAGGUAUAACAAAUCAAAUAUCUGUAUUUCCUGGAUUAUAUAAAUGUAAAUCCAUAAAUCUAUUAUUCGCAAAUUAUUCGGGUAUUAUUAUUUAAAUACAAAUCUAGAUCAUAUAUACUAUUGUAAUAUAAUGUUACAAAAAAUUAAUAAUAAUUGUAAUGCCUAAAUUUUGCCCGGGUACAAAUAAUAAAAGGGCCCCAAAUAAAGACACAGUCCAAUUACAACAAAAUGGGGCCCAAACCAAAAUAAAACACAGGCCCAAUGUGCGGUGGCCCAAAAUCGCCAGAAACCCUAGGGUUUCUAAUCUUCAACAGCACCGCAACUCCAAUCUAGGCCGAAUCUCCAUGGAUUCACCUGCAUAGCAAGAAACAGAGAAAAAGGAAAGAAAUCAAAGAUUUCGAACCAGGAGUGAUUAGUUUCUUUAUUUUUAUUUUAUUAUGGCUAUAAGAAGCCGGUAAACAUAUUGUAAUAAGGAUUGAAAAAUCAAAUAAAAAUCGAGGCUUUUACUUUCGCAAUACAGAGAGAGCAUAGUCGAUUAAAGGUUGAUACUUGCAUUUCUAUUGUAUUUUUCCGUUAUAUCUAUUUGUUUUUAUUAUUUAUGUAAAUAAUAUAAAUAUAAAAGGAAGGAAAAAACCUGUAUUAGAGCCCUAACUGCCGCAGAUGGCCGAGGAAGUCGUCACCGAGAAUUGACGACCGGAAGCCGAAAGGUUUCUCUGUUUUUAGGGGCCCUUUCGUUAAUAUUUUGCGAGAUUUGAGAUCGGAUCUAGGCUCAGGGGUCGAGAAGGUUAAAAGGGGAAUUUUCCCCUUUCCCGGCCACCGCGGACGGUGGUGCCGGUGCCGGAGAUCGGCGACCGGUGCCGUGGCCGGUGAAGGGCCGAUGACCAACCGAUGGCCGAAGGACGGACUGAGGGGAGAGUGUUGCUUUAAAGUUUUUUUGUUUUUUUUUAAAAAGGGUUUCAUAUGAUUUUUUUUUUAGGAUUGGGAUAUUUAUAGGGCACCAAAACGGCGUCGUUUUGGAGAGCCCCCAGACGCCCAAAACGGCGUCGUUUUUAGGGAAGCCGACCCGGCUCCGACCCGACCCGGCAUAGGAUCCGCGUGUUUUUUUAACGGAGGGGUAAAUUGCACUUUCAACCCCUCCGCCUUUUAAUGUUUUCUGCAAUUAAAUUUUUUUAUUUUAUUAAGUUACCCAUUAAUUUAUUAUCGUUUUCAAUUUGGUCCUAAUGUGAAUGAUGUCGUUUAGAGGAGAAUGGAAAAUUGCCCUUCCAGCCCCUUUGUAUUAUCUGCGCGUUCAAUGUGGUCCCUUUGGCUUUAUUUAUUUGUGGAUUUACCUUAAUUUUUUUUAUUUGAAAUUCAAUUUAGUUCUCUUUUAUAUCUUUCUUAAAAUUGGUUGAUUUUUAGGAUGUAAUUAUUAUUUUUAUGUAAUUAUUAUUUAUAUAUAUAUGUAUAUUUAUUGUUUCCUUAUAAACAUAUUUAUUUUCUUUCAACUAAUAUUUUUUUAUUUAUAUAUUCCUACUUUUUUUAUGUAAAUGUUAAUUAAUCCUUUUUUAAUAAAUUUUACAUGUAUACAUACAUAUAUUUUUUUGAAUAUUCUAUUAUAUUUUCAUAUAUCUACGUACAUUUUUUAUUUUCGAAAAUACUAAAAUACAUGUUUUUUUUACACAUAUAUUUAUAUAUAUUUGUUUUUCUUUAUUUUCAUAAGAGCAUUAUAUGAAUUUUAUAAUUAAAAUUUUAUAUGUAAAUUAUGUACUUUAUUUCUCAUAAUUCCAAUGUGUAUAUUAUGCGAUGUUUAUCCUUUAUUGUUUCUUUCAUUUGUUUAUUGACCUUUUUUUAUUUUAUAUUUUGUUCAUUUAUUUAAUAUUCUUGUAUGUCAAAGAUUAUUUCUUUUAUGAAUGUUAGUUUCCUUUAUUUAUAUGUUUAUAUUGUUUCUAUGCCAUUGUGAUAAUUAUUAUUGCAUUGUAUAUUUAAUGUAGCAUCACAUCAUUUUUUACUCGAUUUCAAACUUCUCAAAAUUGAGAUAAUGCUUGUAUUUUGGAUUUUCAAGGAAAUUGAGCCCUAAUGUAUUGGGUUCCGAUUUUCUUCGUUAAAUCUAAGAAUCGAGCAUUUCUCUUUAAUCAAAAAAAAAAAGAACUCAUUAUUGGGAAUUCAACACGUUGUGUCCUAACGUAUUGGAUGUGACGCAUUGAUUUCUCGAAAUAAAUAUUUUUUAAAAAAAUAAUAAAGGAAAUAUUCCGAGUUUGGGAUUCUAGAGGAAUUGUGCCCUAACGUAUUGGGCCGCGAUUUCUUAAAUCUUGAAUAAAUGGAUAUUCUUUUACAUUUUUUAUUGCACUAGUAUUUUGCCCUAAUUCAUUUUUGGGGAAAAUUAGAAUGUCGUGCCCUAACGUAUUGGGUGUGGUAUUUUCUUUCUCUGAAAUGAUAAGGGUCUUAAUACGUAACGUUUUUAAGUUUUUUGCUAAGGAUUAUAUUAUUCAAAUUUUUGACAUUAAAACAUUAAUUAAUUAACUAGGUACCAAUUUUUGGACGUAAUGAGGGUGCUAAUCCUUCCUCAUACGUAACCAACUCCCGGACCCGUUUUUCUAAAAAUCGUAGACCAAAAUCGUUUUUAGGUGACCCAAUCACACCUCAAUAAAAGAUUGGUGGCGACUCCCAAUUUUCAUUUUUUAAAGUCGACAAUCUAAAAUUUUUGUUUUUUUUUCAAAAACAAAAAAUGGUUUCGACAGCUUGGCGACUCCACUGGGGACACAUACGAGAGUCGAGCCACAAAGUUGAUUAAUUUCUGUCUUAUUGUCGAGAAAAUAAAUUUUUAAAAAACUCAUGAUAUCCUUUCGCAUUCAUUAUCUUAUUGCUUAAAUAUUGUUUGCAUUAUACAUUUCAUGAGUUGAACAAUUUUACCCUUUUAAGUGGGAGUGAGAAGCUAUGCCUUCAUGAGGUUUUCACCUCCGUGUAGGGUAGUGGAUUGCUUCCGGGAUACAUCCGUACCUAUUUCUUCGUGAGAUUUUCGUCUCAGUACAACCAUAGGGAAAUGUAUUCCACUGAACCGAACUUGAUCCAUUGAGCCUAUAAUGGGUGAGGAUUGAGGAAUCUGCUGGUUCGGGUACCUUUACCCUAGAAGUCAAACUUCAUAUAAUGAACCUUAGGAAUCCACCCUAGGUAGAACUAUACUAAACCCUAGUAGAUAUCCAAUUAGGAAUUUUACUAUUUCUUAAUUAUAUAUUAUGUUUUAUGAGAUACUGACUUUUUGUGUUUUAUUUUGAUUGCAUGACAUGGCAUUUCAUUUCAUCAUAAAAGGCGUCAGUCUAUAUUCAGUUGCUAGAUAGAAGGCUUAUCAUGGAAAGAGGGUUUCUUGAUAAAGAGGAGGACAAUGCGGCUGUCCGAACUUGGUCUAAAACAACACAGGAAGAAAAGGGUGAUAGUUUGGCUGACGGGCAUGUAUCGGAUGUAUGGGACUUUACGCAUAUCAGUGUAACUCAAAACAAUUUGCAAGAAUUGAAGGAAAUCUGGGGUUAGUGGAGUGAUGAGGUUAGACAGCUCUUUUAUAAUGAUUAUGGGGAUCUACCUUAUUUGCUUGAUGUGAAGGUAGACAAGUGUUUGUUUCAAGCCCUCGCCCAAUUCUGGAAUCAUGCUUACAGCUGCUUUACGUUUGGGAAGGUUGAUUUUGUAUCUACGAUAGAGGAGUAUAUGGAUUUACUCCGUUGUUCAAAGUUUCAAGUGGAUAGGGUCUAUUUAAGAGUGGUAAAUGUGCCAAGAGUGUAACAGGAAUGAGUGAGCAGUGGGUUGUCGCACGAAUUAAGCAAAAGGGGGAUAGUAAGUGCGUUCCUUGGAGAGGCUUGAAAGAUGCAAUUCUCACACACCCAGAUGUAAGGAAAAUGUUAGAUGUUUUUGCUUUAAGUAUAUACGGCUUGGUUGUCUUCCCUAAAGCCUUGGGGUAUGUGGAUGAAGCAGUCACUGAUAUAUUCGAUCGUCUCGAUAAGAAGGUUACACCGAUUCCAGCAAUUUUGGCAGAAACUUUCAGUUCAUUGAGUGCAUACCGGAAGACGGGCGAAGGUAGAUUUAUUGGAUGUGCACAGCUUCUACUCGCAUGGUUUCAUAGUCACUUUUGGAAGGUGGAUAAAGUUUCCUAUCGGGUUUUCUCUAAAAAUUAUUCACCACUAAAGGAGAUAGUCGUUACGCCAAGGAGAGACGACAUUUCGAAGGAGAAGUGGAUGGCAAUUCUUCAAAAUCUUCGAGAGGAGGACAUUGAGUGGAGAGCUCAUUGGUUACUUCCAGAUGAGAUCCUGUAUAGGUGUGGUAGUUUUCGUACAAGGAUGAUGGUUAUAGAAAGAAGAUUCAAUAGAUGGCUAGUGCGUGGAAACAAACUCGCCGAAUGAAGAGGCUAGCUGUGGGUCCAAUAACAACUCCUGAGUAUCAUCAAUGGUGGGCUAGAAGGAUUAAUGAUAAUACACCUAAGUUAAAUCAGGAAGACAGUCAGUCAAUCGAAGAGCAUUUGCGAGUCAUUCCUUCUGAGUUAGAAAUCAUAAGGAAAGAUUUUGAGAGGAGAAAUGCGGAUUUAAAGAAAAAGAUAGAGCAAAUGGAGGCGGAAAAGACGAAUUUAAGAUUAGAUAUAAACGUUCAGAAGCUUGAAAAUGAGAAGUUAAAGAAAGAGAAAAACAAGGCUGAGGAAGAGAUGGGUAGUCUAAAGAUGGAUUAUAAAAAAUGCGUUUGUCAAUGAGAAUUACUGGGAUGGGAAAGACUUCAGAACAAUGGUGAGCAGAAAUCCGAGAUGAAAAGGACAAAGCCGAUAGAUGGGAACAGAAAUGUCAGGAGAUGCAGAGACGAACUGAAGAUUUAGAAAAGAGUUUGUCAGAAAGCCAAAAGGAGAAAUGCGAGCUAAAGGAUAGGGUGGUUGUGCUGGAAGGAUGUCUUCGUCAAUAUCGAAAUCGAAAUUUGGCAAAAAAGUUGAAAGCUAGCUUGAACAAGAUUGAAGAAAUGAAGAAAAGAAUCGAAGAGCUAGAAACGGAGCUGCAAAAUUGUGAGAUCUAGAUCAAGCACUUGAAAGCAAACGAGAGUCGUAAUAAUGAACAGCUUCAUCACUUUCAGAGUCAAGUUAGAAGGAGAGAUCAUCUUAUCGAGGAAGCUGUGGUCCAGAUUCGAGAAGUAGCUGAUCAUAUACAGACUUUAGCAGUACAGGCUGACACGCUGAGUGUAAAGUAUGAAUUAGAAUCGGAUCGGGGACAAGAAUUAGCUUUGUUACUUAGAAAGAUUAGAGUUCUAAGUACUAGGGCAGAGUCUUAUUUGUAAUUCACUUUAUGUAAAGGAAUUUAAUUUCUAGUAAAGUUUUCUUAUAUGGAAUUGAAUCAAAAUUGACGCCUUUCUGCAUUCAUUUCAUGCAUUACAUUGUUUCAUAUGCAUUAAGAAAUAUAUUAAGGGAUUCUAAUUAAUUUUAAUCACUCAUCAGUUAAUCUGGAAACCAACCAACCCACCAAGCACCACUACGGUACCCAAUCGAAAACUAAAGAUAUGGAUCAAAAUAUGGAAAUACUAGAACAAUCCCAAAAAGAAAUGCAGGAGCAGCUUCAAAAGCAAAUGAAUGAGCAGCAAAAGAUGGUAGACAAAAUGAUGGAAUCUCAAGGGAGUGUGAUGGCUCAGUUAACUCAGUGGUUCAGCAAAGGAACUGAUAAAGGAAAAGGCUUUGUGCUCAAUAUUGAAGAAGGAGACAAUGAGAGACCUAUCUAUCCUCCGGACUUUACCCUCCAACAAGUUGAGAUAUACCUACGUAGGUCCUCUGUUACCAUUAAUCCUCCAGGUGACGCUACAACGCUAAUGAAUCUCCAAGCAGGAUCAGGCUCUAACCCUAGAGCCAACUUUGUUAAUCCUGCUAUUCCUGAUUUCGAUGAGACGGCUGGAAAGGAGAAAAUGAAUGAUGAAUUGCCAAAACAGCUAGAGGAAAAGUACAAAUGGCUGGAAGAGAAAUUUAGAGUGAUGGAAUGCGCAGAAGGCUACUAUAGGAUGGAUGCUAAAGAAUUGAGUCUGGUUCCGGAUUUAGUGCUCCCUUACAAAUUCAACAUGCCAGAGUUUGAAAAAUAUAAUGGAACCAGUAGCCCCGAAGCUCAUAUCACCAUGUUCUGCAGACGAAUGACCAGUUAUGUCAAUAAUGACUAACUCUUGAUUCAUUGCUUCCAGGAUAGCCUCACAGGGGCAGCAUCCAAGUGGUACAAUCGAUUGAACCGUACCCAGAUUAAUUCAUGGAAAGAUUUGGCACAGGCGUUCAUAAAGUAGUACAGCCAUGUGACUGACAUGGUACCUGAUAGGAUCACUCUGCAGAAUAUGGAAAAGAAACCAGGUGAAAGCGGGAAAAUAAAUGUUGGAGAAAGUAGUAGAAGGGCGGCAUCAAAGAAGAAAGAGAAUGAGGUCAACAACACAAGUUCAUAUUCAAAGACAGUUACAGUGAAUCAGCCGGGAAAAGUGGCUGUUAACCAGCAAGGAUUAUCAAAGCAGAGAUUUCAUACAAGACAAAAUACAGAGAAGAUUCAAUUUACGCCAAUUCCAAUGAUGUAUAGGGAGCUAUAUUAGAAUCUAUUCAAUGCACACGUGGUUUCCCCUUUCCACUUGAAACCUCUGCAGCCCCCAUACCCCAAGUGGUACGAUGCAAAUGCACAGUGCGACUAUCACGCGGGAAUUGAAGGGCAUUCUAUAGAACAUUGUAUGGCGUUCAAGAAGCUGGUGGAAAGACUUAUAAGCCUGGGUGUGGUUAAAUUGGAUGAUUCACCUAGUACAGAAAAUUCGUUACCUAAUCAUAACGGAGUGAACAUGAUAAGUGAGAGUAUGGGUAGAAAAAUCAAGGAAGACAUAGAAGAAGUAAAAAUUCCUUUGAGGUGGGUAUGGAGAAAUAUGGUAAAAAGGGGAUUGAUUGUUCCGAAUUCAGAGGGAAGCUUUGAAAGGAUGGAAAAUUACUGUGAGCUCCAUCACAAGGAGGGACAUGAAAUCCAGGAAUGCACUGAAUUCAGAGCCCUGGUUCAAGGCCUGAUGGAUAAUAAAGAAAUGGAAUUUUGUGAGGAAGUUAGGGAGGAAGGGAGUAUUUGCACAUCCAAAUCCUCGAAGGUUCCAAGAGUAGCGCAGCCUGUGGUCAUCAUCUCACGACCAAAGAAGGAUGAAGUGAGAACGCCAAUGAUGCCAAGAAUCAUAAUAAAGAAACAUGCAACCUUCUUUUACCAGGACAGUAGGAAGGUUCCAUGGAGCUACAUGUGCAAUACAACUGUCCCUGGAAAAGAGACUACAAAGGACCAGUGUGUGAGUGCCAAACUAGAAUCUAUGAAAGGGGUCAUAAUAGGGGAGUAGAAAGGGAAAGUAGUUGAGCCAGUAAAGGAGGAAGAAGCUGUGGAAUUCCUCAAAUUUCUGAAGCAUAGUGAGUAUAAUGUCGUCGAUCAGUUGCAUAAACAACCGGCUCGCAUAUCUGUACUAGCCUUACUCUUGAAUUCAGAAGUACAUCGAAAUGCACUAAUGAAGAUGCUAAAUGAGACUUAUGCGUCCAAGGAUAUUUCUGUCGACAAACUAGAUCGGUUGGUCAAUAAUAUCAGUGCUGAUAAUUUCAUAUUUUUCAAUGAUGAUGAAAUACCUCCUAGGGGCAUAGGAUCUACCAAAGCUUUGCAUAUCACUGCACGAUGCAAGGGGCAUAUUUUGCCAAGAGCACUGAUUGACAACGGAUCAGCUUUGAAUGUAUUGUAGUUAUUCACACUUAAUAGGCUACCCAUAGACAGUUCGCACAUGAAAACAUGUCAAAAUGUAGUUAGGGCGUUUGACGGUACAGAAAAGAAGGUCAUGGGAAGAAUUAAGAUACCCCUACAGAUUGGCCCAACAGUUUAUGAGGUAGAUUUUAUUGUAAUGGACAUCAAACCUUCCUAUAAUUGUUUAUUAGGAAUAUCAUGGAUACAUUCAGCGGGGGCAGUACCGUCAUCAUUACAUCAGAUGUUGAAGUUAGUGUCAAAUGGUCGGCUAGUGACAAUAAAAGCCGAAGAGGAUAUAAUAGCAGCUGUAUCCAAUGAGACGCCAUACAUGGAGACCAAUGACGAGUCAAUAGAAUGCUCAUUUCGAUCUUUGGAGUUUGAAAAUGCGGCAUUUGUUCCCGAAUGGAGUAAAAUUUUGGUGCCAAAAUUAUCCAAAACUACAGAGAUAGGUUUACAGUUGUUGGUGGGAAAAGGAGAUUUACCCGGAAGAGAGGGCUAGGGAGAUAUCUUCAAGGGAGGACUGAGGUUCCAAUGCUGAAAGAAAAGCAGGAUCACUUUGGCUUAGGAUACAAGCCAGAUAGAGGACAAAGAAGGAAGAAGAUAGAAAAAAGGCAGGAAAGGAGAAAGGCGCGUUUAAAUGGGGAGGAAGCUAAGUGGGAGCCAAUGAUAAUCCCCCACAUAUCCAAAACUUUCAUAUCUGGAGGAGUUAUUCAUCAUGAGAGAAAGAAAUCGGUUGAGGAAAGCAUCGAGGAGACGUUGGGAAGUAUGCACAUCAAUGCCAUUCAUGAGCAUGUGAAUGAGGAGAGGAGCUGGUUGGACAUUCGUCCUUAUGAGCCCGAGAAUGUUCCAGAUAAUUGGACUGCGGAAGAAAUACCCAAAGUCUUUAAAAAUGUCUCAGAGUAAUAUUCAGAACAAACUUGUUGUUUUAGCCUAGAAAUAACGAGAACUCUUUUGUGAAAUAGGCUUAUGUUUAAACAUCAUUAUUUUAAUAAAAUACAUCUUUGCAAUUGUUUCGAGUAAAUAUUCUUUCAUUCUUUCCAUACAAGUAAAUAUAUUCUUUCAUUGCACAAAUAAUUGUACAUAAAUUCAUACAUUCUUUUGUAAUCAUAUUAGGUCCUUGUGUAUCAACGAUGUGAAUGACGCCGCUACGAGCUCAGAAUGCCCUUUUGAACGAAACGUGUGUUUGGAAGGAUCGCACGACUUUGAAGGUGAUGAAGAUGGUGGCUUAUCUUUGGACUUGUUGAGGAUGGUGGAACAAGAGGAAAAGAAAAUCCUACCUCACAAAGAAUCAGUAGAAACUGUGAGCUUGGAAGAAAGAAAAGAGGUGAAAAUUAGAAUUGAGAUUUUUGCAAAGACAAGACGAGGCCUCAUUGAAUUACUACAAGAAUUCAAAUAUGGCUUCGCAUGGUCAUACUAGGAUAUGCCCGGAUUGAGUGCUGACAUUGUAGUGCAUCGCCUACCUAUAAAAAAGGAUUGCAAACCAAUGCAACAGAAGCUCAGAAAAAUGAGGCCUGAUAUUGUGCUCAAAAUAAAAGAGGAGGUUAGGAAACAGUUUGAUGCUGGAUUUUUGCAGGAGGUCAAAUAUUCUGAAUGGGUAGUCAACAUCGUUCCAGUCCCUAAAAAGAUGGAAAAGUACGAAUGUGCGUGGAUUACAGUGAUUUGAACAAAGCAAGUCCAAAGGACAAUUUCCUAUUGCCACAUAUUGAUACUCUGGUGGACAAUACGGCGGGAUUUUCAUUGUUUUCUUUCAUGGAUGGGUUCUCAGUAUAUAAUCAGAUAAAGAUGCAUCUGGAAGAUAUGGGAAAGACUAUGUUUAUUACUUUGUGGGGAACAUUUUGCUAUAAGAUGAUGCCAUUCGAAUUAAAGAAUGCGGGAGCAACAUAUCAGAGAGCCAUGGUAGCCUUGUUUCAUGAUAUGAUGCACAAAGAAAUUGAAGUAUCUGUUGAUGAUAUGAUUGCCAAAUCCAGAACAAAGGAAGAACAUGUGCAGGUCCUGAGAAAAUUGUUCGUAAGAUUAAGAAAGUUCCAACUCAAGCUUAAUCCGACAAAAUGCACUUUUGAAGCCAGGUCAAGAAAGUUGUUAGGCUUCGUAGUUAGCAAAAAGAGAAUUGAAAUUGAUCUAGACAAAGUCAAGGCAAUACGAGAUUUAUCGCCACCACGUACCCAGAAAGAAGUUCGAGGCUUAUUAGGAAGACUGAAUUACAUUGCUCGGUUCAUUUCACAGUUGACCGAAAAAUGUGAUCCCAUAUUUCACCUUUUGAAGAAACAUAAUCCUGAUGUUUGGAAUGAAGAAUGCUAGAGUGCCUUUAAGAAGAUAAAGCAAUACUUAACCAAUACUCUAGUUCUGUCACCACCCAGCCCAGAUAGACCCUUGAUUUUGUAUUUAAUGGUGCUCAACAACUCUAUGGGAUGCGUGCUGGGUCAACAUGAUGCGACUGGAAAGAAGGAAAAGGCGAUUUACUAUCUCAGUAAGAAAUUCACUGACUGUGAGAUGAGAUAUUCGCCUAUCGAAAAAUUGUGUUGCACCCUGAUUUGGAUGACCAAGAGGUUGAGGCAAUACUUACUCUAUCAUACGACUUGGUUAAUUUCAAAAUUAGACUCUUUGAAGUAUAUGAUGGAGUCAACAGCAUUGAAUGGAAGAAUGGCUAGAUGGUAAAUCUUGCUCUCUGAGUUUGAUAUCGUAUAUGUAAGUCAGAAGGCCAUCAAGGGGAGUGCGAUAGCAGAUUUCUUGGCUAGCAGAGCUCUGGAAGAUUAUGAGCCUCUAGAUUUUGAUUUCCCGAAUUAAGAUUUGAUGUAUGUGGCAAAUGCUGAAGAGGAUCCCCAAGAGAAUCAUUCUUGGAGAUUAAACUUUGAUGGAGCAUCAAAUGUACUAGGCAAUGGGAUUGGGGCAGUCCUGGUGUCUCCGAAUGGAGAUUAUCAUCCUUUCACCAGUAAAUUAGACUUUGAUUGCACUAAUAACAUGGCUGAGUAUGAAGCUUGCAUCAUGGGUAUACGGGCAGCCAUAGAGCGGAAAAUCAAGACAUUAGAGGUGUACGGAGACUCAACAUUAGUAAUAUACCAACUAAGAGGGGAAUGGGAGACAAGAGACCCUAAAUUGAUCCAUUAUCAGAGAUUAGUUUUGGAAUUGAUCGAAAAGUUUGACAACAUUACCUUCUGUUAUCUCCCACGGGAAGAAAAUCAGAUGGCUGAUGCUCUUGCUACUUUAGCUUCCAUGAUUAAAGUAAAUCAGUUAGAGGACAUGAAGUUCAUUCAAAGUAGUAUUUAUGAGAUCCCAGCCCACUGUUAUAGCAUUGAAGAAGUGGAGAAUGAUAAUAGUCCCUGGUACCAAGAUAUAUUGAUAUAUGUGAAGAAUCACGAAUAUCCUGAUCAGGCAACAGAGAAUGAUAAGAGGACAUUGAGGAGACUAGCUAUUGACUAUGUCUUAGAUGGGGAGAUCCUAUACAAAAGGGGAAAGGAUCGAGUACUGUUGAGAUGCGUGGACGCUAUAGAGGCUAAGGAAAUUUUAGAAGAAGUCCAUGAGGGUGUUUGUGAAUUCACCAUGGCUAGACAGAUUAUGAGAUUCGGGUAUUACUGGUCCACCAUGGAAGGAGAUUGCAUCAAUCAUUCCAAGAAAUGCCAUAAAUGCCAAAUUUAUGGGGAUAAAAUGCACGCGCCUCCUUCUCCUCUUCAUGUUAUGACUUCUCCAUAGCCUUUCUCCAUGUAGGGUAUGGACGUCAUUAGACCAAUAUCACCGAAGGCUUCUAAUGGACAUCGUUUCAUUUUUGUGGUUAUUAACUACUUCACUAAGUGGGUAGAGGCAGCCUCAUAUGCUAAUGUCAUGAAGUCAGCAGUCAGUAACUUUUUGAAGAAAGAGAUCAUAUGUCGAUAUGGAAUGCCUGAAAGGAUCAUAUCUGACAAUGCGCUGAAUUUGAAUAACAGCACAAUUCAAUAUCAGACACCAUAAUUCGUCACUGUAUUGUCCAAAAAUGAAUGGUGCAAUAGAGGCGGCCAACAAAAAUAUUAAGAAGAUUGUGGCGAAAAUGGCUGAAACUUAUAAUGAUUGGCAUGAGAAGUUACCAUUCGCUCUUUUGGCUUACCGAGCAUCGAUCAGGACUUCUAUUGGGGCAACACCUUUUUCGUUGGUUUAUGGAAUGGAGGCAGUUUUACCCAUUGAGGUUGAAAUUCCUUCUCUUCGGGUAUUGGCUGAGUUAAAAUUGGAUGAGGUCGAAUGGAUCCAAUCUCGGUACGAUCAAUUGAACCUGAUUGAAGAUAAAAGAUUAAAAGCCAUUCGUCAUGGUCAAAUGUAUUAGAAGCGAAUGAUGCGAGCUUAUAAUAAGAAGGUUCGUCCUAGAGAAUUUCAUGAAGGGGAUUUGGUUUUGAAAAAGAUCCUACCUUUACAAAAGGAUUUCAGAGGGAAAUAGAUGCCAAAUCGGGAAGGACCUUAUGUUGUGAAAAAGGCUUUUUCUGGAGACGCUUUGAUUUUAAGUGAAAUGGAUGGCAAAAAUCUUCCGAAUCCUGUAAAUUCAGAUUCGGUCAAGAAAUAUUUCACUUGAAGGAAGAGAGGAAUCAAAGUGAAAACCCACAAAAGGCGCUCUGAUUUCCUAAAAAAAAGGAAAAAGGAGAGGCCAAGGUGAAAACCCAAAAAGGGCGCCUUGAGACCAAAGGGGGUUUGAGUUGAAAACCUGAAAAGAGUGGCUCAAACAUUGUCAGAUUGGGGCAUAUGGGGAUCUUUUUUCACUUAAGUCAACAAUAAAAGGAUAUACGACGUCUUAGGGCAUUCACAGAGUACUGUAGAUCCCCUAAACACAUGCUAAAUUCAGAAUGGUUCUUGGCUUGCACGGAGAAGUUCAAGCGGUGAUAUCCAAAGCACCUAGUCUUCAUUUUAUUUGUACCAAAUUUGUUGGUUCUUGUAAAUACUUCAUUCUUUGCUGUUCUUGAAUACUUUUUCUUUUCAGGACACUCACUAUCAAUGAACUCUUGAAUUAAUUCAUCUCUUACUCAGUAUUUUUGAUCUUUGUGUAAGCAUGUCACAUUAGAAUAAUGAUUGAUGGACUAAUAAACUUUCACAAAAGAAGUUUGGUAUAUUACUCUGGGAAUUUCUAAAUAAUUUGGUAACCUGAAACAGGACUAUUGUUUAAAACACCCCGAGUUCAAAAGAUAAAAAGCCUAAGAAGUAAAAAGUUUAAAUUAAGACUACUUUUUCGAAUUUGGUUGUCCAAUAGUGAAUGAGACAGCAAGAAGUCUUGAUAGGGUAGGAAGAAGUCUCCUAUGGAAAGAAAGCUCCUUAUUUAGGCAUAAGCAUUUGAUAAGACACCCUGAGAGAGGUGUAAACAAAUUUCAUAAUCUGUAUCCUUGAAUUACGAUAGGAGAGGACUGAGAAGAGUCAAAUUUUCCUACUCUUAAGUCACGGUGGAAGAAAUAUAGUACAAACUCUGUGUCCUUGAGAAUUGAGCUUUGAAGUGCACAAUGGGGGCAAUUUGAUUUAGUGUUUUUCGAAGAUAUUAGCCAAGUAAAAGGCGCCAGCGACAAAACCUUAAUAAACUUCAAAAAAAAUGAUAAUUCUUGAAAAAUGACAUUCUGCAUUUAUUCAAAUGUCAUUCGUACAUGUCUAGUUGGGAGCCUUUGAUGCAUUUUAUGCCAUCCUAAUCAUUAGGCAUAAUUAGCUUCAUUAUACAGGUCAUGUUCCCCAGAGAGCAGAUCAGUGAAGAUAACAGAUCGAGUCUUAUCUCCCUGAAGUUACAGUGGAGCAGACUAAGUAGGCAAGUCUUAUCCACCUGAAGUUGCAGUGAGGCAGACUGAAGGUGGCAAAUCUUAUCUCCCUGAAGUUACAGUGGAGCAGAUUAAAGCUGGUAAUCCUAUCUCGCUGAAGUUGCAGUGAGCGGAUUAAAACCUUAGAUCUUAUCUCUCUGAAGUUGCAAAGAACAGAUCACAUCUAGUCUUAUCCUCCUGAAGUUGCAGUGAGGCAGACUGAAGAUGGCAAAUCUUAUCUCCCUGAAGUUGCAGUGGAGCAGAUUAAAGCCGGUAAUCCUAUCCCACUGAAGUUGUAGUAGGCGGAUUAAAACCUUAUAUCUUAUCUCUUUGAAGUUGCAGAGAGCAGAUCGCAUCUAGUCUUAUCUCCCUGAAGUUGUAGUGGAACGGACUAAGUAAGCAAAUCUUAUCCUCCUGAAUUUGCUGUGAGGCAGACUGAAGAUGGCAAAUCUUAUCUCCCUGAAGUGGCAGUGGAGCAGAUUAAAGUCGGUAAUCCUAUCCCACUGAAGUUGCAGUAGGCGGAUUAAAACCUUAGAUCUUAUCUCUCUGAAGUUGCAGAGAGCGGAUCGCAUUUAGUCUUAUCUCCCUGAAGUUGCACCAGGAGCAAGUUGAAGCCAUAAAAGUUACAGUAAAGAAGAUUGAAACAUUAGUUCAUAUACCUCUGAAGAUGCAGUAGGAAGGAAUGAGGCUACUUGAAGAAGAAGAAGAGCGCCAAGGUCCAGCAUGACCGGACAAAAUUGGGCAUUUUAAAGUCUUUGCUCUAUUCCUGUUACACGAUAACGAGCAAAGAGGGGCAACUGUAAUGCCUAAAUUUUUCCCGGGUACAAAUAAUAAAAAGGCCCUAAAUAAAGACACAGUCCAAUUACAACAAAAUGGGGCCCAAACCAAAAUAAAAACAGGCCCAAUGUGCGGUGGCCCAAAAUCGCCAGAAACCCUAGGGUUUCUAAUCUUCAACAACGCCAAAACGGAGGCCCAAUGUACGGUGGCUCAAAUGAUUUUUUUAGAGGAUUGGGGAUAUUUAUAGGGCACCAAAACGGCGUCGUUUUAGAGAGCCCCCAGAUGCCCAAAACGGCGUCAUUUUUGGGGAGGCCGACCCGGCUCCGACCCCACCCGGCAUAGGAUCCGCAUGUUUUUUUAGCGGAGGGGUAAAUUACGCUUUCAGCCCCUCCGCCUUUUAAUGUUUUCUGCAAUUAAAUUUUUUUAUUUUAUUAAGUUACCCAGUAAUUUAUUAUCGUUUUCAAUUUGGUCCUAAUGUGAAUGAUGUCGUUUAAAGGAGAAUAGAAAAUUGCCCUUCUAGCCCCUCUGCAUUAUCUGCGCGUUCAAUGUGGUCCCUUUGGCUUUAUUUAUUUGCGGAUUUACCCCAAAUUUUUUUAUUUGAAAUUCAAUUUAGUUCUCUUUUAUAUCUUUCUUAAAAUUGGUUGAUUUUUGGGAUGUAAUUAUUAUUUUUAUAUAUAUGUAUAUUUAUUGUUUCCUUAUGAACAUAUUUAUUUUCUUUCAACUAAUAUUUUUUUUAUUUAUAUAUUCCUACUUUUUUUUAUGUAAAUGUUAAUUAAUCCUUUUUUAAUAUAUUUUACAUGUAUACAUACAUAUAUUUUUUGAAUAUUCUAUUAUAUUUUCAUAUAUCUACGUACAUUUUUUAUUUUCGAAAAUAUUAAAAUACAUGUUUAUUUUUUUACACUUAUAUUUAUAUAUAUAUUUGUUUUUCUUUAUUUUCAUAAGAGCAUUAUAUGAAUUUCAUAAUUAAAAUUUUAUAUGUAAAUUAUGUACUUUAUUUCUCAUCAUUCCAAUGUGUAUAUUAUGCGCUGUUUAUCCUUUAUUGUUUCUUUCAUUUGUUUAUUGACCUUUUUUUAUUUUAUAUCUUGUUCAUUUAUUUAAUAUUCUUGUAUGUCAAAGAUUAUUUCUUUUAUGAAUGUUAGUUUCCUUUAUUUAUAUGUUUAUAUUGUUUCUAUGCCAUUGUGAUAUUUAUUAUUGCAUUGUAUAUUUAAUGUAGCAUCACAUCAUUUUUUUACUCGAUUUCAAACUUCUCAAAAUUGAGAUAAUGCUUGUAUUUAGGAUUUUCAAGGAAAUUGAGCCCUAACAUAUUAGGUUCCGAUUUUCUUCGUUAAAUCUAAGAAUCGAGCAUUUCUCUUUAAUCAAAAAAAAUAAGAACUCAUUAUUGGGAAUUCAACACGUUGUGUCCUAACGUAUUGGAUGUGACGCAUUGAUUUCUCGAAAUGAAUAUUUUUUUAAAAAAUAAUAAAGGAAAUAUUCCGAGUUUGGGAUUCUAGAGGAAUUGUGCCCUAACGUAUUGGGCCACGAUUUCUUAAAUCUUAAAUAAAUGGAAAUUCUUUUACAUUUUUUAUUGCACUAGUAUUUUGCCCUAAUUCAUUUUUGGGGAAAAUUAGAAUGUCGUGCCCUAACGUAUUGGGUGUGGUAUUUUCUUUCUCUGAAAUGAUAAGGGUCUUAAUACGUAACGUUUUUAAGUUUUUUGCUAAGGAUUAUAUUUUUCAAAUUUUCGACAUUAAAACAUUAAUUAAUUAACUAGGUACCAAUUUUUGGGCGUAAUGAGGAUGCUAAUCCUUCCUCAUACGUAACCAACUCCCGGACCCGUUUUUCUAAAAAUCGUAGACCAAAAUCGUUUUUAGGUGACCCAAUCACACCUCAAUAAAAGAUUGGUGGCGACUCCCAAUUUUCAUUUUUUAAAGUCGACAAUCUAAAAUUUUUGUUUUUUUUUCAAAAAUAAAAAAUGGUUUCACCAAUAAUAAAUAAUAAAGAUUUUACAUUUAUUUGAAGCACUUAUUUACAUUUUGAAUAAACUAUUAUUUUAGUCAUUGCCUUUUAAUUCUUAAUUUUUCUUUUAAAUUUUUUUAUAUGUUAAAUUUUAAGUUGAUUUUAAAUAAAUUAUUUCUUUAUUUUAAGAUAUUACUUAAUUAAAUUAACUUUUAAUAUUAUAAUAUUAAAAUUAAUAAUUAUUAAAUUGGUUAACUUAAAAUAUAAUUUUAAAAAAAGACAUAUUGAUAUUAAAUAUAUUUUCAAAUAUAAUAAGAGUUAAUAAUAUUAAUGAUUAAAGUAUAGCAAGUAUAAAUAUAAAAUUACAAAUAUCAAAAUUUAACAAUUUUAACAUUAAAACAAAUUAAUUUAACAAUAUAUAUUGUUGGAAAAAUUAUAUUUUAUGGGAAUUUUGAGGCAUAUUAUCAAUAAGUAAAGGUUGAGAGUUGAAUAAUAAAAUUAUAGUUCCAUAUUCUACUCUAUGAGACAUUUACAACUGUGUAUCAUAUACUCAAAAUGAUUGAGUGAUGAAUGAGAAAUUGAUGCUCAAAUUAAGCUAUUUAAAAAUAUUUGUUGAGGAAAAGUAAAAGCUUAGACCCCACAUUAGUUAAAUACUAAGUGUGAGAUGUGUAUGUAUAUGGAACCCUCUUAAAUAGUAAUUAAAUGACUAAAUUUGGAACCUUGCCUCACGCGAAAGGUUGGUUAUAGGUCCAAACUCAAUGGGGUAGGGGCACCUGCACAACGUGGGCGACGCAAAAUGUCGGGCUCAAAAUGGGCUUGCGAACAUUUUAGUCCAACACGAAAUUAUUUUUCCUCAACAGAUAAAAUUUGUUUAUAUAAAGAUAUUUCUCUUAUUUUAUUUGAUUCCAAUCAAUUUUAUUUAAUUUUUAAUUAAAUUGAUUUGUUGGCUCCUUUAAUAGUAGAUUUGAUAUUUCCAAAACUCCACCAUACUAAAUGCCUAUAAAAUGAUAUGGAUGAAGAAUUUUUCCACAUUGAUAUCCUCUUAGGCCGAAUUUAUUUUGCUGUCAAAAUUCUUCUUUUCCUCUCCGUAUUUUCCAAAGUUCCGGUGAUAGAAAAAGGUAAUGUUUGUUCGUUGAUCGCUGCAGAGACGCUACUGCUUUGAUCAUUAUGUUGUUGUAUUUUGAGAGACAUUCGACCAACAUUUCUCCAAGUACCGUAGGAGCGGCCGAAUCUAUGUUAAGGAAACCGUGUUAAACAUGCCUCAACGUUUAGUAAAUCUCUAUUCUUCCUUUCGAUUUCAACUUAUUGUUACGGUUUUUUUUUAUUUACGUAUUUGACAAUUUAAAUAUAAAUUAUUCUAUUUAUAUUUUAUUUCAUAUAUAAAUAUGUGUUUAUUUAUAUUUCAAUAUUUUAUUCGCUAAUGUGUUUUGUCCAACGUAUAUAUAAAUAAAUAACUUGUAAUAAAUUAUUAAUAAUAUUAUUUAAAUUAUAAUAUAUUAAUAUUAAUAUUUGAAUCAUAAUGAGUUUUUGUAUUAUUCUAAUAUUAAAUAUUAUUAAAAUUAAAUAACAUUAAUAUAAGUGUUUCUAAAAUAAUUGAAUAUUUUAAAAAAUAUUUUGUAGUUACAUUACUUGUCAAUUUAUUAAUAAAUAUUUUGAAUAAAUUCAUUAAUUUUUUUAAAAAUAAUAUUAUAAAUUUAGUGUACACUACCGACCUGUACAUGAUAUGGGAAUACAAGCUAGUUAAAUACUAUUAUCUACUGGAUAUCCAAUCUGCAAAAAGUAAAAAUAAAAAUAAAAGAUUUUCAAUCAGUUUUUAGAUAUCAAAAUUCACAAAAAUCUAAAUCGAAUCUAGUAAAAUUCUUUAUAUACACAAAAUCAAAAUUAAAAGUACUUUGUAAUUAGUGAAUUCAGAUAUUAAAAUCCACAUCUAUUAUUUGAAUAUGCGAUGCAGGUUUAGAUAAUGGACAUUCGAAGUAUCUAUCUGCAUCCGCAAUAGAUAGUAAUUUCAAAUCCGAAUUUCAAUAUUAAUCAAAUCCGCAAAAAAAAAAAAAAAAAAACUAAUUAGAUAUUUAGCUUCAACUUGAAUUAAGUAUUUUAAAUUUAUAUUUAAUUCAAUUAUAUGUUAAUUUUGGGAUGAAUUCAUUAAAUUAUUUAUUUUUAUGUAAAAUUAAUAAUUACCAUUAUUUAGAAUGCUUUAAUGGAAAAAAUAAAAUAUAAAAGUAAAAAGAAAUUUUAAAAAAUUCAUCUCAAAGUUAAUUAUUGUUACUAUAUAUAAUGAAAUUAAAAUUAAUUUUUUAAAAUUUUAACUAUAAAAAUUAUUAAUAUAUAUGAAUGAUAUGUUUGUUUUAUUAAAUGAUGGGUUACUAUAUCACUUCAUUUCUAACAUUUUUUUUUCUUUUAUGUUAGGAUAUUAAAAAUGAUCUUGUUUGAUAAUUGAAAAAUUAAAUAUAAAAAAAAUUAAAUGUUAAGUUUAAGUUAUGAAACUUGUUUAAUAUAUUUAUUAAAAUUAAGUGUAACAUAUGAUUAAAUUAUUUGAUUAAUGUAAUUUUUAAAAUUUUAAAUGUAAAGUUAUUUAAACAAGAAAUAAAGUAAAUUGAAAUGAAUUGAAAAAAAUUCUAAUUAGUGUACUUAUGGGAGGAAAAAGUUUAUUUAUUGCAUAUAUUACUAUAGUUAGAUAUAAAAUAAAAUUAGUAUAUAUUUAAGCUUAAAAUUAGAAAUAUGAGAAAAAAUUCAAGUAAAAAAAUAAAAUCUCUUGAAAAAUAAAUAAAAAGUUUUCCUUCUAUUUUCCAAAAGCAAGCCAUGGAAGUGACUACAAAUUACUAAUUGAAAUUAGUUUAUGGUUAGCUUAUAUACUAAAACAUAGUAAAAAAAUAAUACUCUUACCAAAGGUAGCAUGAGUGAUCAGAAACUCUUCAUCUAUUUAUUAUUUUUCACUUUUUCUCAUUCUAUCAUUUUCUCUUUAUGUUAGAUUAUCAAAGAUGCUUAUAAAUCACUGAAAAUAUUAAUUUUAGAUUAUUUAAUUAUUUUCAAUCAAUUAUCUAAACAGGGAUCAUGUUACUUUGAUGAUAACCUAUUAGGUUUUUUUGUGAAUAAGUACAUUGCAAUAGGGAAUGAGGAAACGGUUUACAAAUAUUGGAAUUGAAUCCCGAACCUCUUGUUAAUUAACUUGAAAUCCGCACAAAUUUAUCGCUGAGUCGGUGGACGGUCCACAAUAAUCAAUUAGUUUUAUCCUUUUAUAGUUUCGUAUGGUAAAUCGAUUGCUGAACAGAAUAGCCAAAAUCGUAGCUGAACUAAAUAUGCACAAUAUCAACACAUAAUUUGUUUGUAAAUUGAAUCACAAUGAUAAACAUUAUAGCAGUUUGUUUUCUAAGAUGGCUUUUCUAGAACUUGCAAUUUCAUUGAAACAUCACCGGAAACUUGAAGAGAACAAAGGCAGAGUAAUAAUUAUUACAGGAAGAUGACAAGUCUGCUUCAUGUAUAUAAAAUAUAGGAUUGUACUGGUCAAAAUGCAUCAGACAUGUCAAAAUGUAUCAGACAUAAGUGGAUGAACAUCUGAUACAGAUGUAAUGAUGGAAUCCCUGUAAAAUCCGUGUGAGAGUGAAGUACCCGAUCUCAGUUGGUUUUGUGACAACAACCUCUGCUUGUUUUGGCUGAGUCGGAAAAAAACCUCGCAAAACUCUAAUUCUCUCCAGUUCCAUGACCACUUCUUUCAUUGUUGGUCUAUCUUUGCCAUCUAAGUUUAAGCAUCUUUUAGCAAGGUAAGCAACUGCAACUAGUUCCUCCUUUUGGCCAUCCUUCAAAACUUGAGGGUCAAGUGUAUCUAGAAAAUGGUUUUGGUCCACCGAGGAGAUGAAAUAGGAGACUAGGCUUUUCUUUUCUUGCGAUCCAGAUGUUAAGACUGGCUUUUGUGCUAUUAAGAGCUCGACCAGAACCACUCCGAAACUAUAAACGUCACUUUUCUCAGUGAAUUGACUUGACUGAAAGUAUUCAGGGUCUAAAUACCCAAAGGUUCCUUGAACUUGAGUUGUCAAGUGAGUUUGAUCAAUGCCGAUUGAUCUCGAUGUUCCGAAAUCUGAUACCUUAGCUCGGAACUUUUCAUCUAGUAGUAUGUUACUAGACUUUAUAUCUCUGUGAUAGAUGGGGACAGAAGCAGAGACGAGUGUAAGUAAGAAAUUGCAUUUGAAACUUCAGCUGCUAUGCGUAAUCGCAUAUCCCAAGAUCUUGGGUAUUCUUCAUUUUGGUCAUGGAUUAGCUGAGAAAGGGUUCCAUUUGGAAUGAAUUCAUAAACGAGUAGAGAGACUUCGGUCUCUAAGCAACAGCCUAAUAAUUUGACAACAUUUCGGUGAUCAAUUUUGGCAAGAAUAACGAUCUCAUUGAUGAAUGGGUCGAGAUGCUCUUGGUCUACUAUUUUGGACUUUUUUACAGCCACAAUUCUCCCAUCAUGCAACUUUCCUUUGUAAACCACGCCUUGGCCACCACGACCCAGGAUUCUGUUCGUUAUAAGUUUGUAACUCUUUGGAAGUGAAGAAUUUAAUAUUCUCCACACCACCUUCCUUAGAAGACUACUUUUUCUCAAGCAGUAGCCCACCAUUUCUUUUAAAAUGCUCUUGCUUGCAUUUUAUAUUUCUCCUUUUCUCUAGUUUACUAUAAAGCCACCAAACUCCAGCAAACAACAAGAACCCUGCAGCUAAGCAAAUACCUGCGAUCAAAAUGAAAGUCAGUCAUCGAUUAACUUCUGACAUUCUUAAUAUCUCCAUUUUAAGCUAAGAUUUGAAAUAAAAUUUUCCAUUUUAAGUUCUAAUGUAAUACUAUCCUAAGAGGAGAGCAAGAAAGCCAAUACUAGUUUCUAACAAUUAAAUGAAUAGGUUAAACUAUUCUCCAGCAAAAACAGAGAUCUAGUAGACUUGACCUAAUCUUUAUGCAGCUUUUCAUGUAAUACAAUAUAAUUAAAUAGAAUGACCUUAUUAUGAACCAUGAAAUUGUUUAUGAGUCAAGCCGACCCUAUUAAAGCUUAGGGCCUGUUCUUCAUUACUUAAAAAAAGAACUUCUGACUUCAAAAACACUUUUAGAAGAAAAGCUAUGCAUAAUAAACUGCUUUUGGCUAAAAAUUUUAGCUUUUCCUCUUCUAAAAGCACUUUUGGUUCUUAAUUACUUUUUCAUCCCUUUAAUAACAUAGUACUUUCCUUUUUUGUUUUUUUUUUGUGCUUAAUUACAAAUGUAUUAAAAUCAUUAAUUAAAAAUAAAAAAAAUAUUUUUUAAAAUAUUAAUUAUAAAUAUUUAAUGGUUAUAUUUAAAUAUUUAAAAUAUAGUUUAUAUAUUCUAAUUAAAUUUUAUUAAUAAUUAAUAUUCAUUGCUUAAAAAUAUUUAAAAUUUAUAUUUUAUAUAUUAAAAUAUUAACAACAAGUUAUAAUAAUUUUUUAUAUUCUUACUAAAAAAUAAUAAUAUUAAUUAAUUUAAAUAUUAUUUAAAUGCAUUUGUUACUUGAUAAUAACAUGUCUAAAAUGAACAUUUUAUUUCUUAAAAGUACUUUUUGACAGCAAAGCUAAACACUCAAAUUUUAAAUCAAACUUUUCAAAAGCACUUCUCAAAAGUACUUUUCCACAACACUUUUCAAAAGCACUUUUCAAAAAAUUACCAAACUAACCCUUAAAAGUGCAAAUAAGCUUUAAUUUCAUAUUUUAUUCAACAUUUAAUUCACUUUCCAAUAUUUUUUGUGAUUUUCCAAAUUGAUACUAUUGCAUGCUGUCCAUACAAUUUUUAUCGUUAAUUUUAUUCAAUCAAAUUUUCUUUGCAUUAAUUCUCACUUACACUCACAUAACACUAAAGUAUAUUCAUAAUUAGUCAUGCCAAAAGCUAUUCAUCAUCAAUUAAUUACAAAUCUUCAUUGUAACACAUUCUCCAUAUCAACUUCACUCAAAUUUGACCACAUAUCGCUCACAUUGCUCACCACAUAUUCACAUUCAUUUGCACUUAAUCAUUUUCUGGUUGAACACUUAGGAAUAUUAUUGGAUACGUCAGAAGUUUGCACAUAAGUGCCACACUUGUAGCAAAAGCUACUUAACAUCAUUUUUCACAUAAAAGCUCAUUCUCGAGCUAUUCACUUUCAUGGGUCUGCUCACACAAGCUGUCAGUCUUUUGUUACUACUCAGUGCUGCUCACAUAAGCUGUCAGGCAUCCGCAACAUAUGCCGGUAUACCCAGCCACUGGUAGAACUUAAGACCAGCACCCGAGUUCACAUUAAUCACAAUUUUGCAUCACGAGCCUGCUCACACAAGCUGUAAGUCAUUCAUUACUACUCAGUGCUGCUCACACAAGUUGUCAAGUAUCCGCAACAUAUACCGGUAUACCCAGCCACUGGUAGAACUUAUGACCAGCACCCGGAUCCACUUUAUUCACACUUUCACAUAGAUCUCUAACGACAUGUCACUUGUAUCCUAUUCUAUUCCUAAGGUUCAACCGAGAAAAUUUCUCACACUUUAUUAUUUCGUAAAUUUUAUUCGAUAUUCAAUCACAUAUAUCAUAAAAUAUAUCUUUCGUCCACAUAUCAUAAAAUAUAUUAAGACAUAAAAUCAUAAAUAAAAAUUUAUGCAUUAUUUACAUAAAAACUUACCUCGGCUCAAAAUAUAGAAAUUUCUGCAGUUUAAUCCACAACUUUUUCCUUUCCCCAUUCGAGGUUGAUUCUGCGUCUUUCUUCAUCUAUAAUAGAAAAUUUAGCUUGUUUAAUAUUCACAUUUAUCAAAACAGUACUCGGUUCAAAUUUUAGAAAAAUUACGAUUUUACCCCUAAAUUUUUACAUAUUUCCAUUUUUGUCUCAAAGCUCGGAAAUUAAAUUUUAUUCCUUAUUCUUGUGUUUUAUAACAUGCUGAACACUUUUCCCUUCUAUAGCAACAUCCAAUUCUCACUCUAAUACUUAUGUACAUUAGGUAUUUUUAUCGAUUAUGUCAUUUUACUCGUUUCUACUUAAAAUCACUUAGCAAAAGUUGUUUAACAUAAUUCUAAGCUUCAUAAUCUAUCAUGAAACAUCAAAAUACACACUUUUCACCUAUGGGUAAUUUUCCAAAUAUAAACCCUACCUCGAAUUAAUGGUAAAAUAAGCUAAAUCGAGCAACGAGAACUUCAAAAACGUAAAGAAUAUUAAAAACAGGGCUAGGAUGUACUUACAAUAAAGCUUGAAAGUGGCCAAAACCCUAGCUAUGGGAGACUUGUGAUAUUUGGCCAAGGUAUGAGGAAGAUGUACACAUUUUGGCCUUAUUUUCCCUUUUUAAUUCAUUUAAUUUCUAAAUGACUAAAAUGCCCCUAAUUAAAAAAAUCUAUUUUUCUAAUUCUAUGUCCAUUUUUGUCUCACAAACUAACCAAUGGUCUAAUUGUUAUAUAAGGACCCCCAAUUUAUAAUUUCAUAACAAUUGAGCAUCUUUAACAUUAAAAUUCAACUUUUUCACUUUUUAUAAUUUAGUCCUUUUGACUAAAUUGAGUGCUCAAACGUCGAAAUUUUUGAACGAAAAUUUCACGUAAUCUUUUCGUGAAAUUGUAGAUCAUAAAAAUAUAAUGAUAAUAAUAUUUUCCUUUAUCGGAUUUGGGGUCCCAAAACCACUAUUCUAAUUAGGCCCUAAAAUCGAGCUGUUACAAAUUGUAAACUCAAAUGAAAUAAAUAAAGUACAACACAUUGAAUAGUUUUUGUUAACAUUCCAAUUCUCUUAAUCAUCACAACUGUACAUGUUGACAAACAAUCUUCACCAUCACCAAGUAAUUACUCCAAAAUUUGUCGAAACUAAUAUUAAAAACAUCCUUUACCUUCCCUAGUUUAAACCCAUUCUAAGCAAUAAACUUCUUGGAAGUGAUCAUGGCUUGCAAAUGACCCUUAUAAUCAUGCAAAUUCUUCAAAGUAAUAAAAGUAAUAGCAAAACAUUUCUCACUAGGAUGACAACCAACCCAAAGUCCAUUUGUGAUUAUACACAAAAAUUGUAAUAGAAGAAGCAUGCUAAAUUAAAAUGAGAUGUUUUACCAACAUCCUUCAAAAUUAAAUUGAUACAAGGUGCUGCACAUGGUGACCAAAAGAUGUUAGGAUACUUCUCAUGACAAAAUUUCCUAACAUCUUUAUAAUUUGAAGCAUUAUAUGUAAUUAGCUAGACCACAUUGCUCAAACCAACAAUUUUUACAAUCUUCGCAAAUAAAUUUUAAACUAAACUUUUCAAAAGCACUUCUCAAAAGUACUUUUCCACAACACUUUUCAAAAGCACUUUUCAAAAAAAUUACCAAACUAACCCUUAAAAUCCUCGGGCUUCGUUUGGUUUUUGAAAAUAUUUUUUAUUUUAAAAAAUUAAAAAAUAUAUGAUAAAUAAAAAUAAAAUUUUGUUUUCAUUAUUGAAAACAUGGUUGAUAACUAUUUUUCUAUAAUAGAAAUACGAAAAUUAAAAAAAAUUACAUUUAUAUGGAUUUAAAUGAUGAUAAUAAAUUUAAUAUAUGAAAAAUUGUUGAAAUUAAAAUAACCCGAUAUUUUUAUAUUUAUUUGGGUUUGAACAAAGGAUAACUCAUUUAAAGUUAAAAAAAAUUAUUUUGAUCAUUUUGAGUUUUACAAAAUAUUUUUAGUGAAUAAUAAAAACAAAUUUUUAUUAUUUUUCUCAUUUUUACAUAUUUUCAUCUGAAAAUUUACUUUUAAAAUUUCAACUAAAUGAAUGUUUUCCAUUUUAAGGAAAUGAAAAUGAAAAUGGCCUCUAUCUAUCCCCUAAAACUAUAUGGAGUCUUAAUUUUUAGGAUCAUUGAUGUAAGAUUCUUCUAUAAUUAUGCAAAAUUUGGGAUGAGCAACAACAAUAAGAUGUCUUGGACUGAUCCUUGUUGGAUAAACUACAAAUUUAGUAAUAAAGAAAUCAAAAAUAGUAAAGAAGAAACUAGAGAAUAAAAAAAUAAAAAUCAUAAAUAAAUAAGAAAUAAAAAGUGAAAGAUGGACGAGGAAACCGAUAGAUAUGAUGGAUAGAAGGAUAAAUGUAUAAUUGAACCCUUUGAAAUAUAAAUCCCAACAAACUCAAUUAAUGACUCUAAUCAACCCUCUAAGAAAUAAUCCUUGAAGAAUGAAUUGAAGGGUGAAGAAUGAAUUCCCACGACUUCUUAAAGAAAAUCAAGAAUAAAACUACUUCUAAAAAUUACAAGAAAGAAAUCUUGCACAAGAAAAAAACUCCCAGAGUUGAAAACUUUAUUAAUGAAAACAAUUGUCUCCUUAAUAAAAAAUGAAGAAGCCUUUAUAUAAGCUAGCUAAGUACAUCCAAAUAAAACUCUAAAGUAUACUGAAACUCUAAUUAAUCUAAAUAAAAAAGUAGUUUUAAACAAAACUUUCUUGGUAACAUAAAACUCCUAAAUAACUUAAAAUACAUAAUAAAUAUAAAAAAUUCGUAAUAAUAAAAUAAUAAGAGAUUAUAAAUGCAAUAUUGGACUCAUAUAUAAUAAAAAUUAAUCCAAAAAUCCGAACCAAAUAUGAUUUAAACUUGAGUUAAAAGCACAAAACUCGUAAUACCUGUCAUAACCCUGUCAAAAAAUUCUGCCCGCGCAGUUUUCACUAAAAUGGUCAUAAUUUGAGCUUCCGGACUCGAAAUCAAGUGAUUCCAUUCAAAAAGUCGACGCAAGUAUGCUGAUUUCCCAAACUUAAAAAUCGACAAUUUUGGUGACUGGAAUUUAAUAAAUUUCACCCCAUCCAUGCAUGUAUCACAUAUACAUAUUAGGUUACCCGUUCGAGUUUAACCUUUAAAACAAAAUCAGGUUACCAAUCCAAGCUAAACUUGCGUCACAUGUAUCUUCAAGUCCGCAACAAAUGUUGGAUUCUUGAAAUUAUCAAAAAUUGACCUGUAACCAUGUGUACGAUACAUUUACAAAGUUUCAUCAGGGUAAUUUGCAUCAUGCAAGUUCAUAUUUAUUCUCUUUUUUUAAUUUAAUCCAAAUCUCACACUUUAGUACUAAAUUGCAAACAAUUCAAAGUUCAAUAAAACAUACAUGUAUUCACAAUAUAGCAUACAUAAGGGUCUAAGCAUAAUUACACCAUAUGAACGUACCUGGCAAAAUGAAAUUAAACACAACAUACUAUUAUGUAGGCUACAACAUUAGUGUCAUUAAAAUUUUAAUGGUUCAACCAGUUUUCCAUCCACAAAAAUAAUUUGACUAAAAAUUGAAAGUUGAUGGCCAAGGUGAUCCAAAAAAAUAAGGUUAAAGUAACAAAAUAGAUACACAGUAGGGGUUAAAUUUAUCAUUAUGCCUUAAGCUUUUUAAAAUAAAGAUAAAAUUAUUUUAAUAUGUAGUGGUUUGAAAUUUUAUAAAUUAUAUGAAUUCUUUUAUGUAUUUUUACCAUAAAAUUAUAUUAUAUUAUUAAAUAUUGCUAAUAAUAAAUAUAUUAUAUAAUAUACACAGUAAUAUCUUUCACCUGAGUUAAAACUAAUUCCAAUUUUCACAAAAUGAGACAUGUCCAAAGCAAUUCAAUUAUUUAAUCAUUUGAAACUUGAGUCUUCAACCUUGCAACUUAGUUAUGCUUCAAUAAAUGAACCCCACUCUGAGAAAUUUUGAGGAAACAAAGUAUUUAUAGAAAUAAUUAUAAAAUGCAUAUUAAAAUAAAACAAGAUGUCAAGAAAUAAAUUGAAACAACGCAUAUAGAUUAAGCUCCAACUAUUGUAAUUUAACAUUAUAUUUCUCUCGAAACUAGGAAAUUUAGAAGCAAACUAUUUAAAAUCAUACACCAUCGAGCUGCUUGAGGUUCAAAUGUGAUUAUGUACAAAUGAUAAUCUGAUUACAUGCUUAGCGAGCACCUUCAAGUUCAAAUGUGAUUUUGUUAUUUAUGCUAUCAUACCCCAUCCCUGUCGAGCUGCUUGUUACACCAUCAUCAUAAGUGCUGGGAAACUUACCAAGCAAGUAUUCAGAUUCUUCGCUUACUAAAUUACUUUUACUCCAAGGAUGUUUAGCCAUUGCUUGCAGUCCUGCUAAUUCAUGGGCAACUUCCUUCAUUGUUGGCCUUUCCUCUCCCUUCACUCUCACACAUCUCCUAGCUAAAGUUGCUACUUCCAUAAGCUGCUCAACAUUUUCAUCAUUAAGCACUCGAGGGUCGAGAAUGUCGAGCAAACGGUCUUCUUUCAUCAAAGAUGUGAAGUACAUUGGCAAAACUCGAUUUUCUUCCGGUCUUUUGAAACAUACCACUUUUUGUCCUGUUAACAACUCCAUAAGCACAACCCCGAAGCUGUAAACAUCACUUUUUUCAGUAAGAAGGCUUGAAAGCAUGUAUUCAGGAUCCAAGUAACCGAAAGUUCCUUGCACAAUUGUAGUUAUUUGUGCUUGGUCAGAUGGGAUCAAUCUGGAAGCCCCAAAAUCAGAAACUUUUGCGGUGUAAUUGUCAUCUAACAGUAUGUUCGCCAACUUGAUGUCUCGGUGAAUGAUUGGAAUGGAAGCUGCAGAGUGCAAAUAAGAAAGGGCUUCUGCUGUUUCAGUGGCUAUUCUCAGACGGGUCUCCCAUGAAAGAUAAGAG
Molecule: long non-coding RNA, 127188 nt
Filed under: Gossypium barbadense (sea-island cotton)
Lineage: Eukaryota; Viridiplantae; Streptophyta; Magnoliopsida; Malvales; Malvaceae
Description: long non-coding RNA (GBAR_LNC014029)
Source: RNAcentral